CAACGUUAAGCCCGGAACCGUUCCUAUCUGCCAUUUCAUUUCCACUGAUGCUAUUGCCUGGGUUCCAAAACACAAAUCUGCAUGAUCAUCACUUAGCACUGUACGUAUAAUAAGCUUGGUUGGGUUGCACCCCUGUAUAAUUAUCUCCCUACUUAUUUCUGCCUCUUCAUCAUGUGGUGUAAGAUAUAUGAUGAAAUGAAGUUUUUGGGAUUAGUGGUCGGGUUGCCUGAAAAACACAGAUUAUAGAAACUGCUUGAAAUUAACCCGAUCAUGUUUUCUCUUGUAACGAUAUAGACUUCAACUUGUACUCAUAAUAAAGCAUGCUAUAUUUAUGAAGAGAUAUUAAUCUAUAUAUGCUUUGGCUUUGUGGUUUUACCCAGUGUUUGAAUGUUGAAUUGUUACGUUGGAAUAGGCUGCUAAUGCAUGUAGUUAGAGAAGCCUUCAUUUAUAUCAAAGUCCUCAAACUAUCAAGAACUAAUGUAUCCAGAAACACAUACCAAGACGCAAAACAACAUAUUUUCCAUGCUGUCUGUAACACCAAAGCAAACUUCCUUUAUCACAUCAUUUAAAGGAUCAAAUUCCAGUACUAAUCUAAUCCAUUAUGUAAAGCAUCAGGGACAGACUCAAGAUUUCAAAAUGGAGUGGGCUAGAUUUUAGGUCCGGCUAAACUUUAUAGGGAGACUUAUGAAAUUAAUCAUAAUAUUAUAUAAAUUUAAUUUAAAAACAUAUCAUUUUUAUUUUAUUUAUUUAAAGAGUCCAAUUUUACACCAACAAUGUCAUCAACAAUUGAUUAUAUAUGCUUAAAAUUAACAUUAGUUGACAACUCACAACUCAUAUUGCAACUUAUUUAGUAUAUGUGUUUUAUACUAACAAUAACAAAAGAAAAACACUUGACUGGGCUAUAGCCCAGUUUGUACACAUUGCAGGCCCGUCCUUAUAAAGCAUACAAGUGCCUCCCUAAAUUUGUCCGUUGGAUAUAUAUAUGUCACUUUUUAUUUUUUGAUAGAGAUAUAAAUGUUGAGAAAAUUAGAGUACACAACUCUAAUAUCAUAAAGCAAACAAAAUUUCUAAGUUAGUUUGCUUUAUGAUAGUUGUUUUUUGAAGGGGUCCUUAGAUCUAAUCUCAAAAAGUUUGGCUUUUAUUAGGUUUAACUCUGGUUUUUGCAAUUCUUUAUCUCGUAGUGGCAAUGUUCAAAUGCGAUGAGAUUUCUAAUUAAUACCUCUGUAUGAUCGCUUAUUUUCAAUCUUGGAAUUUCAAGAGUCCGGUCAGCAAAUCUAAUAAGGUAUUCGUUGAUCCCUCAUUCAACUUGAUCCCUGCCCUGUGUAGCUCUGUGAUGCUGGGUGUGUUUAUAGUUAUGAGUUUCCUGUCAUCAAUUUUUAGGGCUAUUCGUUAUAUGAGUCCCUGAACUUAGACUCGAUUUGCAUUUUAGUCCCUCAAUUUCCAAAAUCGUUUCAGUGGUCCUUCAACUUCAGUUUCGUUAGGACAAAUGGUCCUGCCAUCAAACGAUUAUAAAGUGGAAAAAACAAGAACAAAAAGGGAAGUGAGUUAAAUUUGCACCUACUAUGUUCAAACGACAAAGUUGGUUUCCCUUUGGUUGAUUACAAGAGAAGUGAAAGGACCCGCCCGAAUUUUCUCAAAAUCCGAGACAAACCCUUUGGAAUUCCUGACAUCACCCUGAUGCCAGGCCCACUUACUAAAAACCGAGACCUCCUGCCGAAAUUUCGGCAGAGUCUCCCCUAUAAAUUGGACGUUUCCCAAAAUUUAUACCUGCAUAAAAACGCAUUUAAUAUUCCCAACUGGCAGCAUGCACAAUAUAAUUUCAUGCAAUUCACACAAAUGGCCUUCGGCCUUUCAAUAAUUCAUAUCCAACUACCAAACCAUUCAAAUACCAAAUAUGACUAACAUUUAGUCUGCGGCUGCACCUAAUAACCCUAGGCUGCCUACGUACCCUCCUUGAGGGAUCAAGCCACACGUAGUUCUUCCCUAAAACCCAAUUCCACACUUGGGCGAUACCUUAUUUCAUUUCUCUGGAUUUCAUAUAAUCUCCCCAUACGCCGGUACAACCAACGCCACGUAUGGGGCCUGUCAACACGCCGGAUAACCUACGCCACGUGCGACCAUGCCAUACUAUCAUAAUAUCUCCCCAUACGCCGGUACAACCAACGCCACGUAUGGGGCUUGUCCCAACGCCGGAUAACCUACGCCACGCGGGACCUCAAUAUUCAUAUCACAAAUCUCCCCAUACACCGGUACAACCAACGCCACGUAUGGGGUCUGUCGACACGCCGGAUAACCUACGCCACGUGCGACCUCACACAAUAUCACAAUAUCUCCCCAUACGCCGUACAACCAACGCCACGUAUGGGGUUUGUCUCAACGCCGGAUAACUACGCCACGUGAGACCUGAAACAUCAUAUUACAAAUCUCCCCAUACGCCGGUACCACCAACGCCACGUAUGGGGCCUGUCCCAACGCCGGAUAACCUACGCCACGUGGGACCUAACUUUCACUUGGUGGUGCUUGUAGUGAAUCCAAAAUCCGGGGAGGUAUCUAAAGUAGUGCGUUUAGCACUCCAAACUGACACUCUAGACUCUGUUGUACCCUUGUACAACCAUAUAUAAUUAUAGUUAUAUAAAUUAAUUCUAAUAUUGUGUAACCCUCCACAAUAGUCUAGCUCCCGAUAAUCCCCCCCUUAGAAAGGUGAGAUUACUCCGGGAGACUCACGGUCAACCAAGGGUCAAACUACUCUAACCCUGGUCAACCGGACCUGCAGAACCCACUACCUCCAAUUUCCGAUCCGAAAGUCUCUAUGGGUUCUACCAGGUAUAGGACACUUGUCCUGCAAGUUUGGUUCAAAUCGGACGGUCGGAUUUCUCACGAUCGCACGAUCUGACGGUUAAUAUAAGAUAUAAAAUUAAAAUUAUUAUUCGGAACAUCCGGGGUUCCGAUUCAUGAUCCGUAAAUUCCUACACGAUCCUAGAAAUACCUAGAUUAACAUAUAUUAAAUUUGGGACCAUCCAACGGUCCCAACCUAUCGAACUCGGAUAACGCACACUAUGCGAUUAUCCGUUCGAUAGUCAAACGACGUCCGAAUUGAGAUCCGCGAAAUCCUACGCACUCGUGACAACCUAAGGAUCUCAUCGGAACACAUCGCUACAUUUUCUACAGUGCCCACGCACCGGCAGUGCGUGGGUGCCCAAAGCGAUAACGCUUCGCCGGAAAAUCUCAAAACCACGGCUCCAAACUCCUACCCUAGGUAUAACACCCUAUUUGGAGCCACUUUUGUUUUGGACCUACCCCAAAAAGUGGCCGGAAAUGGCCAAUCACGGCGGCCGAAGUUUCGGCCGAUUUUCAAUUCGAAAAUUGAGUUGCCUACGCUAAGAAUCGAUCUAAUCCUACCCAACCAUCAGCUAGAGCAGCUCGAGAGGUUCAAAAUCCAUACCUGGGUCGACGGAUUUGGUGGCCGGAGGAGGAGGAUCGACGGCGUUGAAGUUCCGGCGACAUCUGGGCGAAAAUCGCCAUUUUCCGGCGGCUGGAGCGGCGGCCGAUGGCGGGGAUGGGCUGGGUCGUGACGCCGAGGUCGAGCCGGUUCUUUUGACACCGGCCCCGUCCGCAGCCGCGGCCGGUGGCCGGAGUUACGAAGAGAGAGAGAGGAGAGAGAGAGAGGAGAGGCCGACGGGAGAGAGAGAGAGAGGAGUCUCGCAGGAGAGAGAGAGAGAGAGAGAGAGAGAGAGAGAGAGAGAGAGAGAGAGAGAGAGAGAGAGAGAGAGAGAGAGAAACCAGAUUUUAUAAAAAAAAUCCCAUUUCGAAAUAUUUACGAUUAUGCCACUGGACUUCUUUUGACCAUAUCUCUCUCGUUACAACUCCGAUUCGAGCCCACUACGUGUCUGUGAACUCGUCUCAGUACGACCUAUCCAAAAAUAUAAGUCACGGUCCCAAACUCUCUCCGGUUAAAAAUAUGACUAAAAUACCCUCAAAGCAGCUUACUUGGUUCCUCUAGUAGAUGGAAAUAUAAUUUUUCUAGCUAAAUUUCUCAAAUGGUCCUCAAACUUGUACGCGAUUUACAUUUUGGUCCAUCAAUUAAAUUAUUAGUCCAAAUGGUACAUAAACUCUAUUUUAAUCGCCCAUUUGAUCGAACCGUCUAAUUUUCUGUUAGAUUUAACCAAAUUUUAGGGUAAAUAUGACUUUUCAUAAUUAACAAAUAAAAUAGGAUUAAAAUAAUUAAAUACAAAAUUAGAAAAAAAAAAUGAAGAAAAGGAGGAAGAACAGAAGAGGAAGAAACCCAGAAGAAGAGGAAGCGGACAAGGUUAUUGCAAUGGCUUUCUUAAGUAAAAUUGGGAAUAUACUCAGAUGGACUGCAAAGAAGCAUAUCUGAUCUGAAUUAUCUCCUUUCAAACUAUCUAUCCAUCAAGCAGUAAGAUGCAUGUCAAACAUGGUGAGUUCAAAACUCUUAUUGGAGGUAUUUCGUACCAAACAGAUGAGCAGAGUCUGAAGGAAGCUUUUGCAAAAUAUGGUGAAGUUAUUAAUGCAAGAAUCAUCAGUGACCGUGAAACUGGUAGAUCUAGAGGAUUUGGGUUCAUCACUAGCGAGGAGGCAUCCAGUGCAAUCCAGGCCUUGGAUGGGCAUGAACUUCAUGGCCGUCGAGUAAGGGUGAAUUAUGCUACUGAUAGACCUCGCCCUAACUUCGGUGAUGGAGGUGGUUUUGAAACUGCUAGCACUGGAGGUGGUUUUGGCAAUAACAUCAAUUUGGGUGUUGCUGUUGCUGUUGGUGGUGCUCAUAACUUUGUUGGCGGUGCUGACAACAGCUUUGGCAGUGGUGGAGCUCAAUUGGGAGAGAACAAAGGUGGUUUCAGCUUGCAUGAUCCCUUGAAAGGAAAUGAUAAGGAUGAUGAUGAUGAUGCCGGCAACUUUCUCAAGAGGGCUUGAUAAUAUUUAGAUAAGAGGAGCGAUUUAGUUUGCUUCUAUGCAGAGCUACUAGUAGAUUGUCUUUUUGUUACAGCUGCAUGUCCCCCCUCCCCGUCUUUCUAAACUAUUAAUUUCAUUUGGCGGAAUUUUCUGUGAAUUUCAUGCACCUUUUAGUGUGCUUUGUCAACUAAGGACCUGGAUUGUGGGAAAAAAAGAAGCAAAAAAAGAAGAAACCAGGAAGAAGAAGAAGAAACCCAGAAGCAAAAGAAGAAGAAACCCAGAAGAAGAAGAGAGAGAGAGUUGGUGGAUGCAAUGACCAAGUUGCCCUCAUAUUUAACGGAAAUAUUGAUAGAAUGUAACGGUAGGAUCAAUGAAGCGAAUAAUAUAGAGUUGAUGUACCAUUUGGACUAAUAAUUUAAUUGAGGAACCAAAAUGUAAAUCGAGUAUAAGUUUGAGGACCAUUUGAGUAAUUUACCCUAAUUUUUCUCCUAAUAAUAAGGGUUUAGUGCAAUCAAUGAUGGGCUGUAUAGAACAACUUUUUUGUUUUAUAUGUUUAUGUGAGACAAGUUUUGCCAGAUUGAAUUAAUGUCUUCUAGCUAUGUACCUUAUCUUUUUGCCGGGCCAUGAGUUGAAUGUAGAGGCAGAGCAUGGACUUGGGGUCAAGUUUGACUUGUAAAAAAUUAGGAAUUGAAUGGCUAAUACGUUCAAUUAUUUAUUUAUUUAUUUAUUUUUGUCCGAGCCAUUCAAUUCCUAAUUAUUUAGAUUUUCAAUCCAGUGAGCAUCCACAAUCAUGCUCUCUAUUUUUAAGUUAAAUUUUAGCUAAAAACAUAUAAAAGUUAUUUUAGGAGCUCUCUAUAAAAUUUAAACUUCAAUCGUUUUCUCUAGUUUAGGGAGUCAUAAAUGCCAUAACUCUUUUUUGAUUGGUCUAUCUCUAUUAAAAAAUAAAAUAAAAAAUAAUUAGCAUUAAAUAAAGAUUUGAAAUACUCAUUAAAUAAAGCAACAUUAAAUUAUAGGGAGCCACUAGGAGUCCUUUCUCUCUCCUCAAGUUUAGGAGCUCCUAGAGGUCUCCCUAUUUUAAGAGGUGGAUAGGGAGUAUGGUUGGAAUUGUAUUUUUACAAUUCCUCCCUAAAAUUUGUCUAAGGAGGUGGUUUAGGGAACCCAUUGUGGAUGCUCUCAUCUCAAAGAAAGAAAACCUCAAGUUUGCAAGCAAGUUUUCUACGUAUGUAUAUAUGAAAAAAUGAUAUGAAAAUAAUAAAUCCAUAUUUUUAUGUAAGCCAACUUUCUAAAUCCAUGUACUAUAUUUAUUAGGGAAAUAUUGGAGAAACUGAUUAUUUUGAAAAAUUAAAUGUGAAAAACUGAACAAAAAUUUGACAGGUUACAUAUUUCAACUCAUUCAGCAGCUUAGGUUGUGAAGACCUAAGCAACAAAUCUGCUACUGGGGUGUUGGGGUUUUCUACGUCAUGUGGAGCUUCAUUGCUGCAUCCUUCCACUUCCAUUAUGUGUUGUUCUGAUUCUAAGUGAUGAGGGUAUUAUUGGCACCAUAAUAAACAAAUCAUUUCAAGAUGGUUCCUUCAAAAAUUUAGAAAACAUGCAUCACGAAAUUUUUUAGAAAACAUGCAUCAUGAAAAAAUUACGUGAACAAUAUACUUACACCAUGGGAUCACUCCCACAUAUUGUAACACCCCGACUCCAAAUUAAAUGAUUAUUUUAAUCGAUUUUUAUAAAAUUACGAAUUUACCCUUGGGAUAGGGGUAACUUGGUCACUUUCUUCUUCGGAAGGAUUUUUGGACCAUGAGUGGUAUUUCUGGGUAGUUGGUACCGAGACGAAUUCGUAGACAUGCGGUAGGCUUGAAUCGGGGUUGUAACGAAAAAGUUACGGGCAAAAUAGUGUCAGUGGCAAACUUGUAAAUAUUUCGAAAAGGGUUAGGGUAAAAAUCAGAUUUUUCCAGUUUUACCUCACUUUCUCUCUCUUCCUCCCGAUUCUCUCUCUCUCUCCCGCGUCUCUCUUCCUUCUCCGAUCUGCAGAUCGCAGAGCCGCCGCCACAGGCCACGGCUAGCCCCGAGACCGGACCCAAAACGAUCGGCCAAACCUCGCCGACGUCCCCCGACCCAUCUCCAGCCGCCAGCCGCCGCCUCGUCGCCGGAAACCACGGAUUUCAGGCCGAUUCUUGUCUGAGCUUCCAGUCGAUCGUUCUCUCUCCUCCGAGCACUAUUUCAGACGGGUGAGGUAUGGUUUCUCAUCCAAUUUUUGAGUUCUAGCUGAUGAUGGUAUAGGUUUUCAUUGAUUUUGAGUCUAGAAAACCGAUUAGGAAUCUAGGUUUUGGGCCGAAUUUCAAAAUGAAAUUCUGGCCAGUUGCCGGCCGAAUUGGAGCUUCUCGUAGUUGAAUGAAGUGAUCCUGACCUCGAGUAGAAGCUAGAGUAGGAAGGGUGAGCUCGGGUGUGGAGUUUUUCCGUCACCGGAAUUACUCUGCACACCCACGCGCUGCCGGCGCGUGUGGCGGUGCGUGGGCGAGUCUGGUGAGGAUGUAAAUUGACCCGAUGAGAUCCUUAGGUUGUCACGAGCGCAUAGGAAUUCGCGGAUCUCGAUUCGGAUGUCGUUUGGCUAUUGAAACGGAUUUUCGCAUAUUGUGCGUUAUCCGGGUUCGAUAGGUUCCGACCGUUAGAUCUUUCCCAAAUUAAAAUAUGUUGUUCUAGGUAUUCCUAGGACCGUAUGGGACUUCACGAAUUCUGAAUCGGAGCCCCGGAUGUUCCGAUUCAAAAAUGCAAAGUUUGCGGGUUAGCGAUAACCGUAAAAUCGUGAACGCUUCCUAAACCUGUAAUCGGACCUUAGGGUACCAUCUUCGACGUGCACGUAUGGGAAUUUGGGGAGUUAAGCAUUUAAUUUGUAAUUUCCGCUUAGACGUGGUUUUUAUAUUAAUUAACGGUUCGUAUUUCGAAAUAGGUAUUUCGACUGCACGCACGCAGCAAGCAGGACCUUCACGUGGUCAGGCAGCGAGGGAAUACUUGUGAGUGGACUUUGUUUUAAUCAUAUGCCUGGUUUUAAUUAAUGAAAGAUUUUGCAUAAUGUUUUAAUGGCUUCUGGAUUUUAUGUAUUAUAUGCAUGAAUUAAUUUCAAUGGGUGUAUAGCAAUUGGCAAUAUAUUAUGAGUUUGGCCUUUUGGGUUUUGAGAGUGUAUUUCAUGUAUAGAUUGGGGAAGUAUAUUUUGAUAUAUAUAUAUUCUUUUAGAGGAGAUAUUUGGGUUGUUGGAGAGUGAUAUGGAAGAAUGUGAUUAGAGAGGAGUUGUGGGAUUACACUACGUAAGUACCUUCCCCGGUUACUAGUCUCACUCGCGGCGUUGGAUGUUCCGGCGGGUGAGACACUUUCCGUAUGCGGCGCUGGAUGUUCCGGCGUACGGAAAGACUGUGUAUAGAGUUUAGGGUCAUCACCAUGGCGUUGGAUGUUCCGGUGUGUGAUGAUCCAGUCUGCGCGCGUAGGACAUAGUUUGAGAGCUACACAUGGCGUUGGAUGUUCCGGUGUGGGAGCUUUGGAGUUUCGUCCCCCGGUUGGACCGCUCAUCCCUAAACGCAGGAUAGCACCUGGAAAUCCUGCGGACUAGUCAAACGAUCCCCCAGUUGGAUUGUUUUCCCCGGUACCUAAGUGGUGUGAUGAGUAUAUCAUAUAGCUAUUUAUAGUUAUUUAUAUAUAUAUAUUUAUGUGUAUAUUUAUUGAAUAUGUAUAGUUGAGUGUGAAAGGAAUUGGAGUUUGUUUAAUAGUUGAUAGGAGUGGUGAGUUUGAGAGAAUGGGGUUCUUUUUGAAAGAGAUAACUGAUGUUUUUAGAUGAGUUUUACUGAAGCAUAUUUUGAGUAAUUUCUUAUUGAAUUGUGAACCUGCAUGACUUGAGCAUUAUUUUACAUGGUGGGGUUACUAUGUUGUUUUUAACUGCAAACCUGGUUUUUGUCCACUCACAUGUUUUCUGUUUUGCGCCCCCCCAGCCAGUAGUUGCUCUUGGAAGUGCAAGUGGUGUACGAAGCGGAAUCGGUGCAUCUUUCUAAUUAGGAAUUGUGUAAAUUCUUCUACUCAACUGUUCUUGUAAUCUAAAUUCAGUAGAUGCUCUGUAUUUGCCAUGGUAGAUUUUACUUGUGAGGCCGGAGGCCACUCUAGUAUGACUUAUGUAUGUAUGAAAGCAUGCUGCUGGUUGGGAUUAGUAUUACUGUGUGUGCAGGUUGAAUAAAUUUUGUUGGGUUUGUUUAAAUUGCAGGGGAGACUCUGCCAAAAUUUUGGUAGAAAGUCUCGAUUAUUUAGUAGUGGGCCCGGCAUCAGGAUGAUGUCGGGAUCAAGACGGGGUCCGCCUCGGUCAACGGGAAAUUCCGGGGCGGGUCUUGUCACAUAUUUGAACACAUAACACGUGUUCAAGGUUAUAUAUUUCAUUACCUUCACAAUAGGUACCAAACCGUACCAUGGGAACAUUCAUAUACGCACAACAUACUUAUAACAUACUUACACUCGUGUAUAUUUGAACACAAGAAGACGUGUGCACCACCGUGCACGGUUCACAUGAAGUAAGAAGAUGAAGAGGAAAUAAAGAAGAAUACAAAAGAAAAUGGAGAUGAGAAGAAAAAAAAAACACGAAUAAUGAAAAAUGAGUUGACAAUUAUAUAUGGUUGACAUUAGAUGUAAUAUUAUAUGUAAUAACUAAUGAUCUAAAAUAAACAUUUAAUCUAUUCACUCGUUUCGUGUUUACUCCUGUGAUGGAAGGGCAAAGUUCCCCAUUGCCUUGAAAACCAUUGACUGGUCAACAAGACAACUUUCUUUGGUGUGCGAGCGUGCCACUACUAGCAAUAAAAAACAUAGCAGACUUCUUUGAAAUAUAUAACUUGCGUCCUAAGUUACUAAUUUCUAAACAAGCGAUCGUGAAUUUGGGUGAGGAAUAUCUCCCAAGUAAGUUCUUUUCUUGCCUCAGACUGGUGAGGACUUCACAAUUUAUCUUAGUACAAGAUUGGUAGUUUUGGCCAGAAUAAAUGAUAAUAAAGUGGACUUUUUUAGGCAGAACUGCCUUUUACAAAACUAGAAAGGAAAAGAUCAACUCUAGAAAGACAAAAAAAUGGCUGAAAUUCCAUUUCUGCCUGGAUAGAAGCUUCUGAUCCGGGCUGGACUGGGUAUGUUUGUUCUGGACUGAAUUGUCAACAACUUCAACUACUAAGCUUCAGCUGUAAAUCGAUACCAAAGUUUGAGUUUGGCAGAGUUUUAAUAUAUUUCAAGCCCUGGAAGGCUUUUCGAACGGGCAGAACUGCAACUUCUUUGGUCUGAACGGGGCAGAAGUGGCUGGACUUAAGGAUUACUAAGCCGGAACUGCACUAUGGUACCUGUUCUGCUUGAUCCGGGCUCUCUAUAAAUUUGUUGAGGUUUCCAUAUUUGUGAAAACUCAAACUCGGCUUGUCUUGGCUUUUGCUGAACCAAAUUUGUAACGCGAGAAGUCUCGUUUUGAAUGACUUAUUUAUCUGAGUAUGAACUUGGAAGUUCGAUCUAUAGCUGGCUUCUUUUGUGGCUCGAAUGAGUUUUUGGUUGCUCUAGUUUGUUUUGAAGGUUCUCAAUGAUCAAGUGAUCAUUUUGAGUUUUUGCCUUUGGUUGAUUUUUGAUUGUUUGAUUGAUUGUUGAAAAAUGAGUGUGUUUUGCUCUGUUCACCCUCUCCUAUAUUUAUAAGAAAUGCUUUGGAGUAGGGUUUCUAAUUUUUUAGAAAUCGGCGGCAGAUUUUCUCAAAAGAUCUUUCAUUUUUUAAAAUGUAAAGAAAUAGGGGUUUUAUCAAUUCUGGUAGAUAAGCUCUCAAUGGUCAGUUUCUUUAAGUCAAUCACUUCUCUGUUUUUUGAAAGAAAACUUAAUCCCUCUUUAAUUCCAACUGCCCCUUGUGAGAGCUCAAACUGUGAUGGUUAGUUUGAUUUUCCAGUUUAAACAACUUCCUGUUUCAUGCUUUAUCUUUUUUUAGAAAACACAGUCUGCGUAUCCUGAAAGAUGGUGCCUUCUUUGGAGUAUAAACAAUAUCUCUGAAUAUAUAAAAGGGUUUUGAUCUUCUGGUGGCAGAGAUUUCAGAGACAUCCCUUCUUUUCGCCUGCCUCUGUCAACUCUUUAUUAACCUAGUUGAAAUUGUUGACUUUCCUAAAUCAGAGAAAAAGAUUCACUUUGGUAUGUUUCCUUUUGGGCUCCUUCUUCUCUUUUAAUAUGCCCAAACCCUUUUGUUUUUCCUGGAGCCAUGAGCUGAUUGCUCUUUUUUUCUUUUUUCGAGGCCCAAGUUUAUUUGCAGAGUCCAGACUGCUUGGGCCCUGUGGUUUGUCUUUGUUGUUUUUGGGCUGGGUGUGUCAAAUUAGGCCCAAACAAAGUCAAACAAUAAUUAAAAGAUUUGACAAUAUAAAAAUAUAUUGAGAACAAAAAAAGGCAAAAACUUUUGAAAAAUGGAAACAAUAAAUAUGAAUUGAGUCAUCAACUCACCAAGGUAAGUUUGCUGAUGUGUAAAAAUAGUCAAUGGACUACAUCGAAAAAUAAUUGGCUUACAUCAAAAAUUAAAAUCACGUGGUUUAUUCUUAAGAAACCUUAAUAUUUUUGGGUUCAUAUAUUUUUUGUAUUUUAAAAAAAAAGAAAAAAAAAAUCUGACCAUGUAUGUAUGAUGAUGAUAUGCAUGUUAUUUUUAGACCUAAGGUAAAACAAACAAACUUUUUACUCCAUUUUUCGUGAGGUUUAUCAAAAGAAUUAAACUGUUAUAUCCUCCAUUUUAGAUUUCAUGCUUCCAUUUAAAGAAAAGAAUAUCAACAACAAAAAAAGAAUAAAGUUACAACAUUGAUCAAUUCAAAUGUCCAACUAUCGGAUCAUGAGCCUCUGCACUUAGAGACUACGCAUUUACCCGUAUUUCGUUAAAUUUAGACCAUUAUAAUAAUCUAACCCCUUAGAAUGGGACACAUCAUCAAGUUUUUUUUCCUUUCACUAAACAGAAGAGUUAAGUUUUAUUUGUGGGUAACUAAACUCUUGUUUAGAGCAUGUUUUUUAUUUAUUUUUCUUUGUUCUGUGUAAAUUAUAAUAGGUUAGAUUAUUAUUUGUGGGUGACUAAAAUCUUGUUUAACAAUAAUAGUUAACGUUUGUUUAGAGAAGAAAAAAAAUUUGAUGAUGUGUCAUGUUCUAAAGGGUUAGAUUAUUAUAAUGGCCUAGAUUUAGCGAACUGUAGAUAAACGCGCAGUGUCUUAAUGCAGAGGCUCGAGAUCCCCAACUAUCAUUGAAACAUAAGAAACUAAAAUCUUCAAGAAAAUGCUAUCAAUUGAAAAAACAAUAAUUAAAAAACAAAAAAAGGAAGGGAAUUCGCAGCUGCUAUGCAAAAAAGAGCAAGUCGGUUCAAUGAUUUUUUCUUCUUCUUCUUUUUGUUAUGGAAAUGAAAAGCUAAAUGAUGGGCUAUAUAUGGGAAGAAGCUCAAUGAUUGAAUUAAUAUCUUCUAUCUACAUUCUACCCUCUUCCUCGCUACAUACACAAAUGGUGCACGUACAUGGACAUGGGUUGACAUGAAUAAGAACAGCGACGCGUACUUGUUUUUAUUUUUGGUUCUUUAGAUCCAGUUGCACGUACCAAAGAAAGAAAACCACAGGUAUGCAAUGCAAGCUCUUUUCCCAUGUUUUCCUCUGUUUUCUCCUAUUUUUCUCUCUUUUUUAAAAAAAAAAAAAAAGAUAUACGGAAGUGAUUAAAAUACUCCUCUAACUAAGCUUGUUUUGCGUUCGGUGGCCGACUGUAAAAGCUCUGCUCAAACCUAACGUACUAGGUAUUUAUUUUAUUGCUCUGUUCAGACCUAGUGAUUAAAAUGCACUUGCGAUUUUGUGUUUCAAUUCCCUCUCCCCUAAUAUUGCUUGUAUAAAAAUAAAAACUUUUAAAAAGACAUUAAUAUUGUAUUCUAUAUUCUAUAAAGUGUUGGACAUGUUUUAUAUUGUUGACAACCCCCUAAUAUUUUGGUGGUGCCCAGUUAUAUUCAAUUCGUAUGUAUUUAAUUUGCCACUUACAUUCUUGCCUUAAUACAUUUAGGCUUAUUUUUAUACAAAUUUCUCUAACAUAACUUUUGCACAUUCUUUUAGUCUCUAAUAUAUAUAUAUAUAUAUAUAUACAGAGAGCUUCCAUUGAGGGAUCCCUCAAAUAAACUUAUUUGAGGGACACUCCUUGUAGGCCCCACUCCGAAUUGUAUUUCACUAAUACAAACCGUCUAUUUUGUAGAUACUCAUUCAAAGAUCAUCUCUACAAAAAAUCACUUGAAUCCGAUAUCAUUUGACCACUCAAUUAAGUUAUUGAAAUUUUAGCAUUUUCUUGAAGCACCGUGUUCAUUGAUUUUGUAAGACACAAUUGGAUGUCGAAACGGUUUCCGAUUUGUCUAAUUUUUUGUAAGGAUGAUCUAUGAAUGAAAACCUAAAAAAUAGGUAGUUUGGAUCAUUGAGAAAAAAAUUGUAUGGUACCUUAAAGGGCGUCCCUCAAAUAAAAUUAUUUGAGGGAUCCCUCAAUAGAAGGGGACUGUAUAUAUAUAUAUAUAUAUAUUUUCUAAUAAAUAAUCUUACCCAUUUGAGUUAUCAGCUAUUUUCUUUUAGCCCGGAAAAUCGACAUUUUGACAGAGAGUUGAAAAGAACUCCCCAAUUUUAAUGUCAGCCACUUGAAAAAAAAAACAUAAAUUUAAUGACAACAAUUACAUUUAGCAAUGCAACCUAAAAACUCAACCUUUGCGCCCCUUUCACAACGUAGAUAGCAGAGUAAGGAUAUUCGGAUAAGAACCAAGACAUAAGCCAGAGAAACUACGAUAGCCAACCAGGGCCUUCAUUUCUUACCAUCUGAACAAUGCCACCAUUUUGUUUGGUAAGUAUUUAAUAACAUUUCUUGCUCUUCAUAAAGUAAUAUUAAAACGAAAUUUGCCUAAAUUUUUCUUACCAACAAUGCAUACGAAAAAAAAAAAGGAAGAUUCACUAUUAUACUCAAUAUAGGAGCCCAAAUUAUUUAUAAUUAAAAAAAAAACCUUACAUGAAAUGGACUUUAGAAACACACUCAAAACCUAUUUACAACAAAACAAAGACUUUUAACUUCUUUUAAAUUACAAAACUAUCAUUGAUUUCUUAAACAAACCCAACCCCAAUACCUCAUAAAAAAACCCAAAAUACUUGAUAAAGCAUCAAAGUAAUUUAAUAAUCAAAAUUAAAUUCAAUAGGACCAGCAGUUAUUUUUUGGGUUUUUUUUGUUUGUUUAUAGAAAUUAAAUGGUGUAGGAUCUAUCUAUAUUAUUAGUGCUAAGAAUGGAUAUGUGACUAAAUAAUUCCAAAAAAAAAUUAUAAUAAAUCUACAAUUUUUCUUUUUAUAAAAAAAUUCUACAAAAAUUUAUUAGAUUAAUAGGCACUACUAGAAAAUCUCCAUAUAAGCCACUAAUACACCCAUGACAGUUGUCCAAGCGUAGUGUUGUCAUUCAAUAUUCCCCACAGCAACCAGCAUCCAAUAAAGGGUUGCCUCUCUGUAUGUAGCUAUUUGAGAAUAUAAAAGAAAUAUUUUUUAUUCAACAUGGACGCAGAAACUGUUGCUAAACUGCAAACUUCUUAAAAUAUUUAUCUAACUUUCUAGAUCCAUGUACUGAGAUUUAUUAGGGAAAUAUUGUAGAAACUGAUUAUUUUGAAAUAUUAAAUGUGAAAAACUGAACAAAAAUUUGAUGGGUUACAUAUUUCAACUCAUUUCAGCAGCUUAGAUUUUGAAGACCUCAGAAGAGGCUAUGCAAUGAGCCUAGCUAGUGCACUGUUGAUCACUUCAGUGUUUACCGAUCUGUAAUUUUUCCAGAUUGGUUAUAUUUUCCUUUACAUAUUCUUAUAUUUUCCCAGUUGGGGAGACUUAUAAAUAAGGGAAAUAGCCCUAAAUGCCACCAAUUUUAUAAUUUUUUGUCAAAAUACCACCCCUCCCCAAAAUUUUUAAAACUACCACCUAUAAAUACAUCUUUAUUGUAAAUUAAUUGCACCCAUAUCACUUUUUCAGAAAUUGGGUUCUCCCUCAACUCUCUUGGCUCUGUCUCUCUCUUUAGCCUAGCUCUCUCUCUCUCUCCGACAUAGUCAUCUUCCUCCCUCAGCCAUCCAAGCUUAACUCCACAGUUCACAUCCACGAGGUACUGUUCACGUUCCUUUUCUUAGAAAUUUGGGGUUUUUGUGAAUUUGGUUUAUGAUGUAUGGAUUUGUAUGAAAUUGGUUUAGGGGUUUCUUCCAAAUUGGUUUGGUAAGAAGGUGAUGUUGUUGUUGCUGUCACUGACAGACUAUUUUUCCUGGGUUGUGGUUGGUGGGUGUUACUGCGAAUGCUUACAAGGUUGCUGAUUCUCCUUCUAAGGUCUCUCUUUCUCUCUAUUUCUACAAAUUCUAAGGUUUUUUUUUUUUUUUGGGUUACUUUUUUUUUUUUUUUUAUUUCUUUUGCUAAUUGUAAUUGGGCCUUUGUUGCAGAGGUGGAUUUGUUUUGUGCCCAAAAGAUUGUGACUUUGUUGAAAGUUCGUAAAUAGAAAAGGCAGCUGCCCCCUGCGGCUUGGAACGCUCAAUUCGGAGGUAUUAUGCCUUGAAUUUUUACAAAAGAAGAAUUGAAACUACCUUAUAGAAGGCAAAACAAAAAUAUAUAAGAGGAAAAAAGGAGAAAAUUUAUCUAAUUUCCCUUUUUUUAGUUGUAUUUUUNNNNNNNNNNNNNNNNNNNNNNNNNNNNNNNNNNNNNNNNNNNNNNNNNNNNNNNNNNNNNNNNNNNNNNNNNNNNNNNNNNNNNNNNNNNNNNNNNNNNNNNNNNNNNNNNNNNNNNNNNNNNNNNNNNNNNNNNNNNNNNNNNNNNNNNNNNNNNNNNNNNNNNNNNNNNNNNNNNNNNNNNNNNNNNNNNNNNNNNNNNNNNNNNNNNNNNNNNNNNNNNNNNNNNNNNNNNNNNNNNNNNNNNNNNNNNNNNNNNNNNNNNNNNNNNNNNNNNNNNNNGGGGGAAGGGACACCCUAUUUCGUUACAGGGUUUAUUGACUGCAUUCUUCCUUGUUCUAGAAGACCUCCUCAGUUCCAUUGAGCCGACAAACCUUAUGAAGUUGAAUGUGAAGUGUUACCUUGCAUCUACAUGUUUCAUCUUUUAACUUUAUUUUCAUGUUUCACACUGAUGCUUGUAGUUAUUUCUAGUUUUGCAUACAGAUUAGCAAAUAGGUUAUGCAUUUACUGUUUAGUCAUCUAAUGAUUUGAUAUCUAAUAUUUAGGCAUAUGGGAAUUUAUAGAUGUACCGAUUAUGCAUACAUAUAGGUUUUGUGCUUGUAUUAGGAAGUUAGAUUCUUGUGGUUCCUCUUCAAUGGCAUGAAUUUAAAUUGUUGUGCUUCAUGAUUAGGGUCUGAAGAACAACCAUGUAGUAAGAAAGUUGGAGAAACGUCAACAGAUUUGCACCCUUGACCAACAUAUUGAAGAGUAAUUUGGUGGUGGUCGUCUAUUGGCUUGUAUCUCAUCACGACCUAGAUAGUGGCUGUGCUGAUGGGUAUGUGACUUUAUUUGCCUAUGUCUGUUUCUAGUCAGCCGAUAUGUCAUUGGCAUAUUAGUGUAGUUACCAUAUUGCAAGGGCUGAAAUCUGGAUGAUAACAGCUUCUUUUUAUUGUUGUUUUAAAGUGAAGUAUGUAUGGAUCUUAUGAAAUUUUUACAGAAAUAUAUUGGAGGGCAAAUAAUUUUAUUUUAGUUUUUUUAUUCCCAAAUGAUACCCAAAACAUGUAAGCUUCACACUAUGUUAAUUUCUGCAGGAUGGGAAAACAUUGGACAAUGAGUUGGAGGUUGUUAAGGGAAUGAAGCUAGACAUGGGCUACAUAUCCCCUUAUUUCAUCACCAACCAGAACAAUUAGAAAUGUGUAAGUUUUGGUUUGAUUCAGGGAUGACUAUGUCUUGAAACUGUUAGAGGGCUGCUUGUUAAAGUUAGUAGCACCUCAAGUCCCUUUUUUAUUGAUGCUGAUUAUCUUCAAACUUGUGUAUGUGCUGAUAGGAAUUGGAAAAUCCUCUAAUCAUAAUCCAUGAGAAGAAAAUCUCAAGUAUUAAUGCUGUGGUUAAAGUAUUGGAGUUGGUCUUGCAGGUUAUCAUUUCUCUGGUUAGGUUCACUAGUUUCUUCUUUUUUAUCAUGAAUUGGUUGACAAACUUUUGCUCUUUUUCAAAAGCAAAGGUCUUUGCAUUUUGUUAUAUCUUUCAGAACCAAAGUUAUAAAAGAAAAUGGUUUUCCUCUUUGUUAAUUGAGAAUCAUCUGCAGUUAUGAUUUCAGAUCUAUAGAUAACUUGUUGUUGCUGAUAUUGCUACACGGGAGGAGAAUAGAACAGCUUGAAAAAUGUGCAAGAAGAGAGAGCUAACUCAUACACCGAAGAACAAAUUGGUGAAGUUAAGAUCAAAUUAGUAGAAUUUGUGAGCUCUCCAUUAUUUAUAAUUAUAGGUAGGAAGUAUGUAUGUAAUAGAGUAAAGAUUGGUUGACUAUGUAAUAACAAUUGAAUUUUCAAGUUUUAUGAAAGAAAUAAUUUUUGAGCAUAUAUAUUUGUUAAUAAAGCAUUAUAAUUGGUUUUCUAGUUAAAAUCGUUGUAUAGAAUCGUAGGAAACAAAAACCUAAAUAUAACAGCUUGGGAACUUAUUAGACGACAGAUUUAAAGAUAAUAAAAUGUAGUCUGAAUUGUUAGGGUUCGGUGGCGAUUUAUUUUGCAUGUCUAAAUUGUAGUCUGUAAUAUAUGUGUGUGUAUUGUAUGUAGAUUGACUUAAUAUUGCUAUCCUAUUGCAUGCGUAUUGUACUAAUAUUGCCUUUGUAUUGCAUACAUAUUGUAUGCAUAUUGCCACCCUAUUGCAUGUAUAUUGUGAUGUUAUUGCUGUUGUAUUGCCGUUAUAUUGCCCUAAUAUUGCCUCUCUAGUGUAUGUAUAUUGGCCUAAUAUUGCCAUUAUAUUGUAUGUAUAUUGACUAUGACUCAUCAAUGGGUUUACGGUUUAGGCCCUACUUCAUUCAAAAAGAAGACGACGACGAGAAAGAAACAAUGUGCCUUUCAAAAACAAGCAGUCAGGUGCAUUAUAAUUGCACCGUAAGACAUUGUAAGAAAUUAUUUUAAAAGAUAAUAACAACUAAAAAAUAAUUUACCAAAAAAGGAAGGUAUGAAUAAAUAUGCAAAUGCUUCGUCAUGGGUUGAAGAAAAGGAUGAUUACAUUUGGUGGUUUGAUUAUGUUUGGUGAUAUGAUAUGUUGUUCGUCUGAAUCUUCAUAUAUGUAAUUGUUAUGUUAAUACUUGACACAAAUUCAUCUCGUAAUCAUCCAAUUAUUAAAGCUAAGUAAAUGAAAUGAAACAAAAGAAGAAGCCCAAAAUAAACAGAAACAGCAAUUUCUAGCACCCAUUUAUCGCUUCUGUAUUACCACUGUAUCACCAACGUAUCACCAGCUUAGCGUUGAUGACCAUUAGUUCAAACAUUAUGUGAUCUAAUAGGGAUAACUAAUUUUUGGAACAACUAAUGAAUCUUCAAAAAGAUAAAGAACAACUAGUAAACUAAUGUAUGCAGUUUAACUUUGCACGGGUCAUAGUGCUCAACAUGAUAUUUGGCAACCAUCUCUACACUUGGUGUAUAUUGCAGGCUUCUAUGCAUUCCAAACCUUCAUUCUUCUGUGAUAAAACUGUUAAAUUACCAAGAUUUCUAACACAUGGAAGUAAACAAACGAAUCUGCACAUUUAUUUGUACAUACACACUGCGUAUUGCACAUCUGCGCAUCUAUUAAUCACCACACCAAUGUUUCAAAGAUUGAUUCAGAGGGCAAAAUGAUUGAUUACAUAUUUCAAAUUAGUCAUCUGCUCAUAAGAACUUGGCCCUAAAACUGUACUAAUGGUAAAUAUACUGACAUAAUAGCUAUUAAUGAAAAAUUCUAAACAAACGAGGGACUUAUUUUUCUAAUAUUGUAGUGGAAGCAUGUUAAGUGAUUUUCCACAUUUGUUCAUGGGGGUAAAGUAUAUCUUACCCCUUUCUAAACAUUAUGAGGUUUCAAAUUUCAAUAACAACAGAAUGCUAAGCAGAAAAGUAGAAUUGCUACAUAAAUUACUUAGAAGGAACAAAGUCAAAACUAAUUUGACAAAUCUUAAGAAAGCUGUAUGCUUCACUAAGUCAACUAACAGAUUCCCAGUGCAGGAAAUGAAAUAUACCUAUAUCACAUAAAUUGCAAAGAAAACCACAGAGACUAAAUGUUAACAAUGGAUACAAAAAUGAGUAGAAUUCAGUGGAAACGAACACAUCGUUUCAAACAAGUAAAUUGUUAUAUGUCCAUAAAGAGCAACUAUGUUUAUAUAUGGAGGUGUACGAAAUAGUUCAACUUCAAAAUGGAAACAGUUUAUGUGCCAUGUAAGGCAAUGAACAUAUAACAAGGUGAGUCUUCAACAAAUUAAAAGUAGACAAUUAUUUUCAAACAAUCUGACAGCUGCCCGAGAAAACUGAGGGAGUUAAGGCAUGAGAUGCAAACAUGAUAAACACUGUUAAGCACUCGGACGAACCCAUGCUAUAAUACAAGCCAACAGACAAUCACCACCACCAAAUUGCUCUUCAAUAUGUUGGUCAAUGGUGCAAAUCUGUUGAUGCUUCUCCAACUUUCUUACUACAUGGUUGUUCUUCAGACCCUAAUCAUGAAGCACAACAAUUUAAAUUCAUGCCAUUGAAGAGGAACCACAAGAAUCUAACUUCCUAAUACAAGCGCAAAACCUAUAUGUAUGCAUAAUCGGUACAUCUAUAAAUUCCCACAUGCCUAAAUAUUAGAUAUCAAAUCAUUAGAUGACUAAACAGUAAAUGCAUAACCUAUUUGCUAAUCUGUAUGCAAAACUAGAAAUAACUACAAGCAUCAGUGUGAAACAUGAAAAUAAAGUUAAAAGAUGAAACAUGUAGAUGCAAGGUAACACUUCACAUUCAACUUCAUAAGGUUUGUCGGCUCAAUGGAAUUGAGGAGGUCUUCCAGAACAAGGAAGAAUGCAGUCAAUAAACCCUGUAACGAAAUAGGGUGUUCNNNNNNNNNNNNNNNNNNNNNNNNNNNNNNNNNNNNNNNNNNNNNNNNNNNNNNNNNNNNNNNNNNNNNNNNNNNNNNNNNNNNNNNNNNNNNNNNNNNNGAUAUGAAGAAACAAAAUGAAUCUCCCACAAGCCUAACAGGCUAAUACCAUUAACAAGGUCUGAAAUUGACUCUAUAUCAUGUACAUAUAUAUAUAUAUAAACUCCAUCUUUACAUAUUGGAACUACAUCAAUGUAAACCAACUAGAUCGACCCUGCAUCCUGAACACCACCCCCCCUCCCAAAAAAAAGACCGAGAAAAAAAAAAUACAACUAAAAAAAGGGAAAUUAGAUAAAUUUUCUCCUUUUUUCCUCUUAUAUAUUUUUGUUUUGCCUUCUAUAGGGUAGUUCCAAUUCUUCUUUUGUAAAAAUUCAAGGCAUAAUACCUCCGAAUUGAGCGUUCCAAGCCGCAGGGGGCAGCUGCCUUUUCCAUUUACGAACUUUCAACAAAGUCACAAUCUUUUGGGCACAAAACAAAUCCACCUCUGCAACAAAGGCCCAAUUACAAUUAGCAAAAGAAAUCAAAAAAAAGUAACCCAAAAAAAAAAAAAAAAAACCUUAGAAUUUGAAGAAAUAGAGAGAAAGAGAGACCUUAGAAGGAGAAUCAGCAACCUUGUAAGCAUUCGCAGUAACACCCACCAACCACAACCCAGGAAAAAUAGUCUGUCAGCGACAGCAAAAACAACAUCACCUUCCUAUCAAACCAAUUUGGAAGAAACCCCUAAACCAAUUUCAUACAAAUCCAUACACCAUAAACCAAAUUCACAAAAACCCCAAAUUUCUAAGAAAAGGAACGUGAACAGUACCUCGUGGAUGUGAACUGUGGAGUUAAGCUUGGAUGGCUGAGGGAGGAAGAUGACUAUGUCGGAGAGAGAGAGAGAGAGCUAGGCUAAAGAGAGAGACAGAGCCAAGAGAGUUGAGGGAGAACCCAAUUUCUGAAAAAGUGAUAUGGGUGCAAUUAAUUUACAAUAAAGAUGUAUUUAUAGGUGGUAGUUUUAAAAUUUUUGGGGAAGGGUGGUAUUUUGACAAAAAAUUAUAAAAUUGGUGGCUUUUAGGGCUAUUUCCCUAUAAAUAAACCCAAAAUGGGUACAGUAUCUAUACAGAAGGACAAAAUUAAAGUGUUUGGACAAUAAUGCCCCUAUUCAUUUUGGGAUUGCCUAAGGAAUCCUUUUCCUGAUUUUCAAUGAUGCCAAAGGACUGUUGUUUGAUGCUUGCCGUAUGGAGCUAAGAAAACUUGCUUUGUGUUAUAAAAAUAACCUGGAAUAUGUACGAAUAUUGAGCUGCACGAAAAGUAGAUGAAACACAGCAUUUAACGAGGUUCGGCUAUGCCUACGUCCUCGGAGAGCAACAGCAGUAACUUUUUCACUAUAUGAAAUAAUAGGGCUACAACUUUAGAGUUUACAAUAUGUGAGGCUCACUGAAUUUUCUCUCUCUUUCUUCUUCUCUCUUUUCUUUCUUCUUUUUCUCUUCUCCCCUUUCUUUCUUUUCUCCGUUGGUCACACUCCCCUUUACAAUUGGUAUGCCUAUUUAUAGGCUAAUGUUUAGGCAAAAUACAGGGAAGGGAAGGUUCCUGGAAGAUGCAAGGAAACUUCCUGAAUUGAUAAUGUCACACCCCGGACCGACUCCGCCGUAGCACGAUAUUGUCCGCUUUGGGCCCUCCUCUCACUGCCCGCACGGUUUUGUUUCUGGGAGCUCACGAAGCAACUUCCCAGGGUGGUCACCCAUCCUGGGAUUGCUCCAGCCUCCCACUCGCUUAACUUCGGAGUUCUUACAACUCCGAAGCCAAUGAGCUCCCAAAAGGCCUCGUGCUAGAUGGAUGCGGGUGUGCCAUAUAAGGCACAUCACCCCCCUCUCCGUUGGUUUGAUGUGGGAUCUUACAAUCCACCCCCCUUAAGGGUCCGACGUCCUCGUCGGCACACUCGCACCACACGGCAGAGUGGCUCUGAUACCAAAUUGUCACACCCCGGACCGACUCCGCCGUAGCACGAUAUUGUCCGCUUUGGGCCCUCCUCUCACUGCCCGCACGGUUUUGUUUCUGGGAGCUCACGAAGCAACUUCCCAGGGUGGUCACCCAUCCUGGGAUUGCUCCAGCCUCCCACUCGCUUAACUUCGGAGUUCUUACAACUCCGAAGCCAGUGAGCUCCCAAAAGGCCUCGUGCUAGAUGGAUGCGGGUGUGCCAUAUAAGGCACAUCACCCCCCUCUCCGUUGGUUUGAUGUGGGAUCUUACAGAUAAAUACAGGGAAGGAAAGUUCCUGGAAGAUGCAAGGAAACUUCCUGAAUUGAUAAAUACAGGGAAGGGAAAGUUCCUGGAAGAUGCAAGGAAACUUCCUCUGUGGGCUCCACCUUCAAACUUUUACAACACUCCCCCUUGGAGACCACAAAUGAUAUGAAAUAUGCCUCGUUAAAAACCUUGCCAGUAAAAACCCAGUGGGACAAAAACUGGUCGAAGGGAAAAAGAGUACAUAAUCACGUGUAACAUAAAAUUCUGUGUAUAUUGACGCGCGUGCGACACUGCCUCGUUAAAACCUUGCCAGGAAAAAUCUAGUGGGAUAAAAACCUGGACGAAGGAAAAAGAGUACAGUGUGUAAGGGUCUGUAUUGACAGCACGCUCCUCCUGAUGCUUGGCAAAAUAUCUUUAAGCCAUACUGUUGAUCAUCUGUCUGAAUAUCAUAGUUGACACUGCUGCUGUGAGUCAAUAGUGUAUGAAGGUCUUUAUUAAUACCAUGCUCCCCCUGAUGAAUAUCUCCCCCUGAAAACUUCAUGACUAGCUUUUUCCAGUAAGCGACCAUAGAGAUUUCCUGAGUCCGCAUAUCUUAGAACACUUGGGCUAUUUAUAAGUUCACUAAAAAAAUAUGCCCGUAUAUGGUGUUAUGCUUAGAUAGCAUCAAAUAUACCUCACAUCAUCCCAAAAUGAUGGUGAUGGAGUUGAGCCCUAUCUGGAAAAUAUGAUGUCCGGUCCAAUAUACUUCCGGAAAAUCAUUAAAGUGUCCAACGGAUAAUCCUCAUAAAAAUACUUUAAUACUUUCUUAGUAUAAGCAAGAAUCUCGUUGGCAUAAUGCUCGAUCGAGACAAAUAUUUCAUGAAUUCUGCAGAAACUUUAAUGUGUUGCAAUCACAUUAUAAUCAAUGUACUCACUGAGGUAAUUUAUGCAUAUUAAUAUUGAGUACAAAUUUUGUGCUUCAAGCACAUGUCCUUUAAGGACUUGCUUUAUGCAAUAUCAAUCCUCUCAACGGAUUUUGUCUAAAAGGGAUUAAGCUUUAUGACACAUUAUAUAGCUUUUACCCAGCUAUUUAUACAUCUUUAGGAAAUCGCUUCUGGCGAUAUGCUCCGUGCAUUCAAUAACCCUUAAAGAUAAUAUGUUGGUCUCCGUAAUUGUGUAAUAAGGGGGGGCACAAUUGAAUCUGUAAAUAUGGAGAAAACCCAACAUUCCUUGUUUCUGCCAGAAACAGUGUGUCAUACAAAGUAGGUAUAUUCCCUUUUAUUCCGAACACCCAAGUAUAACUUUCAGUAUUAACAAAUUUUGGGGUUCGUAUUGUGGGUUUGUUCUUUCACGUUCAUUCUCAUUUAUAAUGGAAUUACCUCGUUCCAUUUUGGCCAGUGAUAUUGUCGACAUUUAAUAAUUGAACGUGGUUCCAAUCAACACAGCCCAUUGAUGAUUUGAGUAGCUACUCCAAAACCAAAAAUUGUCAUUCAUCAAUUCAUGAUCCCACCAUUCUCAUGUGCAUGCACAUGCAUCAAUUAUAAGCAUUUCUUUGCUUUUUGGUACCCAAGCCACUUCAGGGGGCUUUUAUUAUGUGAGAAUGUGGAUUAUAACCUCCAUCGGAGCGUUAUUUAGUAGUAGGGCGUGGAUAAUCUCCAUUUAGAGAGUUGGAACAUUGAGAACCCAUAUAUCUGUCAUGCUGCAGGCAUGCCACAGAUUAAUACAUACAUGUCAAUUAAUUUCUGGGACUUUAACCCAUAUUAUGGGACUUUAACCCAUAUAAUUUGCUACGCAUUAGGCGUGCAUAAUAUCAAUAUUGACAUGUCAAAGGAUUGUCCUUUCGGGACUUCAAUUCAUAUCAUUUGCUACGCAACAGGCGUGCACCCAUAUUGAUCACUGCUAUACCCAUAUUCUGUUCUUAUGGGACUUUAAUCUGUGCAGUGUAUUAUCAAUGUAUCCAUCUUACAAUCUGUAAAAUUUGCAUUAAUAAUUCAUGGAUACAUACAAGCCAUUCUUUUGGAACAGACUUAUCUCCCAAUUUGGUUACCUUUCAAGAUAAAAUAUCAAAUAGGUAUAUAAGCAUAAAAUAACACAAGUAUUGCUUACAUCCUUAGGUGGGAGAAACUUUUCUCAAGUAUCAUUCAAGCUCAUAUCAGCCCAGUAAAUAUAAUGUAGCGCUUGAUGAUCUAGUUAUAUCCUGCAAGAGCAAAAAUCACAACUCUUUUGCCUCUGUCAAAACAAAUAACCCUCAUAGUUAGGAUUACUUCAUGGAUUCAUUCUUCAUAUGUUCAUUCUAAAGAAAUAAAAUCUCUUAUGAACAGAGAGUUAUAAAAAGAGAAAAAAUGCAAAAAUAAUGUGAUAUUGAUUGCAAGAGAAGGUAAGCAAUCAGGGAAGGAAGCUGGUGGGAGCAGACAAUAAGCUCUCAUAUCUCCUAGUCUAGAAGGACUCCCGGAGAUUAGACCAUAAGAUCGCCUUCACAGUUUCCUGAUGUAGUGGAAACGUGAUCAGGGAUAGUCUUGCUUCCUGAAUGGAUGAUCAGAGAUAGUCUUGCUUCUCAGGCAUAUUGAGUGCUCACUGAUAAGAAAAAUAAGUAGAUAUCUCAUCACUAAGUAUGGAGUAAACUGGAUGUCUUCUGCAAAGGAAAAUUUCGUUUAGUAACACAUUUAUACACAAAUACAAUGAAUAGGUAGAACCGGUAAAUUUCAAAUUAACCAUAGGAAAAUUGCGAGAUUCUCGGGAUACUUUUGAAAAAGUAGCUCCGUGAAAUCCGUAAAGCAAGAUCGGCUUUGAAAAUAAUACUUUGAAAAACGCCGAAAGUGCCGACAUGCAUUAUUAGAGGCCACGUGAAGUUUUGGACUCUGGGAAAGAAAAAGAUAAUAUGGGGAUUCGAGAAGACAUUGGGGUCCUGAAAAGUUGCCACAUUUUCGUCUAUAGAUAUUGCCUUUGCAAACUGCGUUUCAACUCAACUUCCUUCAUUUUCCGAACCUUUAGUUUUUCUAAGACUUUCUUCGAAACCUUCUUAAAAAAAUGGCUUCCUCUUCUUCCUGCCCAAAUUAUUUCAAUUUAAAUGAUGCUCCCACAACAACCAGUGACGCCCAAGUUUGGCGUCCAUCCUUUGUAUCCAAAAAUCGUCAUCUCACAGUUAAUGAUUCUGUGAUGAUGAAUGAUGCUACUGCUGUCAUAGUAGCUAGGAAUUUCAUUACUCCAAUGGAUGAAAUGUUGUUGACAGGGAGAUCAGAGGAAGAGGCUAUUGAUGAAUCAAUGGCUUUUAGCAUUCAGAGUGCUGUUUCUGUUUCUAACAUGGCUGAUCGUUUGCGUGCCAGAGCAAACGAAGUUGAGAAUUUAACAACUGAAAAUUCGUCUCUCCAAAGAAUGCUUCAUGAGUCUCAACAGGAGGUUGAGAAACUUAAAGGAGAGAAUAAUGCCUUGUUGAAACUGGUGAGUUCGUACUCUGUUGAUACAUUGAGAAGGCUAGACAUGCUGCAGGUCUCGAAUGAAAGAAUUUUGGGAGACUAUGAGAAGCUCAUGGCUAAGCUUAAGAGGCGCCGUCAUCUUCCUUCAGAGGCUUCCAGGACAUAAUGUAAUUUUUAUAGAUUUUACAGGGCCUGCACCUUCAUUGCAGGAAAAAAUCUAUCUGUUGUAUGCCCCUUUUCUGUUAUAAUAAUUGCGCAUAUUCUUAAACUUGCACCUGUGGUUUUUACGUCUUUUCAAAAUGACGAUUUGGAACCUUGUGCCUUAUAGGUUCAAAUAACCACAUUGUCUCUCCCAAAUUUCAUAUUUUAUCGCAUGGUAGCCCGGAACUUUUGGCCUGGGCACAAACUCAGAAUUUAUUUGCCCUUUUCAAAUGGACAUGAAAUAUGAAUUGAGUAAAAGCCAUGAUAAUAUCGCAAUAUAGUAGUGAAGAGCAUUAACUACUAUAUACCCACAACUUCAAGUUCAGGAUCUCUCAUAUAUUUGGAUCCAUGGGCUUCCGGCCCAAAUAUAACAAAAUAUGUGGGGAGCCUCAAUUCAUUAUUUGAGGUUUAUAUUAAUAUUAUGCAUUUCGCGGUGUAUUCUUAACAACCGGAAUUCACAAAAUAUAUUUCUUCCUUGAGGUGUCGAUUAUAACAAAAUCGAACUUUAUUAAAUUCAUCAUCUUCUUAUGCCAAAGAAAUAUGUGGCAUACCACAAUUUGCAAUAAUACCUCAAGGGUUGUCCAUUUAAUUGUUGGAACUUCAGGUUCUCAACACUGUUAAAUUUGGAACUUCAGGCCAAAGCCACAUAUUCUCAUGGUAUGGACAUUUUUACAAUUUUCUGUACAUAUUUCGGGACUUCAAGCCCUUACAUAACUGUCCAUAUUUUGAGGAACUUCUGGCAUCUCAUUUAAUUGCUCAUCCAUGAGUUUAAGGAACUGCAGGUUCCCUUUUGUAUAUAGUGACGGUUUACCCAAAAUGGUUAAUAUUUAUGCAUACAUCACUAUUCAUGUGAAUAGUACUAUUCAUCAAGUCAUGAAUACGUAUCUAUUCAUCUGCCAGUACAGUUAUCAUCAAUGUGUACGGCACUAUGAACCAAUACGGUACUGUUACAUCAUUAAGGAACUCUAGGUCCUUAUUUACAUGUCAGGGAUUAAGAACCUUUAAGUCCAAUCACAUGUUUACAAAUACAGUACCGGUGAGACUGCCAGCUCUCAUUUUAAUAUCAUCAUCAAGGAUCUUCAAGUCCUGAUGUAAUUGUAUGAUGAGGAUCAAGGAACUUCUGGUCCUGAUCUGCAUACUGGAAAAACUAAUCAUACAGCACAAUUAAUCCAUAAAAUAAAUUGCUGAUAAAUAAAUUACUGGUAUGGACGAUAAACCCGCACCACACUUUAAAUAAAUGUAAAUGUGCGGUAAAUUAAAUUCAUAAAGUUAAGGUGCUUGUAUGGGCAUUAAUUCUGCUCCAUACAUUUAAAUAAAAGUAAAGGCGUGGACGAUAAACCCGCACCACCCUUUUAAAUAAAUGUAAAUGUGCGGUAAAUUAAAUUCAUAAAUUAAAUUGCUUGCUGUAUGGACGUUAAUCCCGCACCAUACUUUAAAUAAAAUUAAAUGUGCGGUAAAGUAAAUUGUGCUUGUAUGAGCACUAAUUCUGCUCCAUACAUUUAAAUAAAAGCAAUGGCGUGGACGAUAAACCCGCACCACCCUUUUAAAUAAAUACUGUUGUAUGGGUAAUAAACCUACACCAUACAGUAAAUAAAAUAAAUAUGCGGUAAAAUAAAUUUGCGAUAAAGUAAAGGUGCAUGUAUGGGUAAUAAACCUACACCAUACAGUAAAUAAAUGUGGGGUUAAAACCACCACCGAAUAAAAUAAGAAAAAGUUAGUAUUAGUAACGGUCUCCUACUGAUAAUAUGUUUAGUAUUACCAAGGGUCCAUUUUUGUUAGUGGUUAGUAGUAUAGAUAAUAGUGCAGCAUAAAAAUUAUACCUGAGAGCUUCUCGUGCUGAUAACGUGUUAUAAAAAUAACCUGGAAUAUGUACGAAUAUUGAGCUGCACGAAAAGUAGAUGAGACACAACAUUUAACGAGGUUCGGCUAUGCCUACGUCCUCGGAGAGCAACAGCAGUAACUUUUUCACUAUAUGAAAUAAUAGGGCUACAACUUUAGAGUUUACAAUAUGUGAGGCUCACUGAAUUUUCUCUCUCUUUCUUCUUCUCUCUUUUCUUUCUUCUUUUUCUCUUCUUUUCUUUCUUCUUUUCUCUUCUUCUUCUCUCUUCUUUUUCUCUUCUCCCCUUUCUUUCUUUUCUCCGUUGGUCACACUCCCCUUUACAAUUGGUAUGCCUAUUUAUAGGCUAAUGUUUAGGCAAAAUACAGGGAAGGGAAGGUUCCUGGAAGAUGCAAGGAAACUUCCUGAAUUGAUAAAUACAGGGAAGGGAAAGUUCCUGGAAGAUGCAAUGAAACUUCCUCUGUGGGCUCCACCUUCAAACUUUUACAACACUUUGAUAGUUUUGGACAGAUGCAAGCUACUGUUGUUGGGAUGAUCUUUUCACGUGAAAUGAGGAUGACGAUACUUCUACACUACACAAUCCAACGAAUUCACAUUUCUAUUUCAGAUACAUGUAUAAACAGACAAGGCUUUAAAAUAUGGGAUGCUGCACUGUUGUUGCUGCUGCUGACACUGUUACUGUGUUGCUGCUACUGUUACUGCACUGCUGCUUGAAGAAGGACAAGGACUUCACUUGUUGCUUUCGUCCUUUGUGGAGGAGAGAGACCUAGGACUUGCAUGUCUUAGAUAUUUAAGACAAGGGGCUUUCGUGCCAUUUUGAAAAUACUUUGGGUGUUUUUGAAAGCUGCUUGUUUCUUUUGAGUUUCUCACUAAAUUUCGCUUUAGAAGGGAAAAUAAUAAUAAUAUUAAUAGUACAGCACUUAUUAGCAACAGAGUUACAAACUUCUUCUACAACACACACCAACAUGAAUCUAGCCCUGAUCCACUCUUUACAUACUUGAAAACAAAACAAAACACGAAAAACAAAAAACAAGAUAGGGAGAAAAUGGCUACGGAGAGACUUACUGCUAAUAGUUGAUCAAUAACAGAGAUAAUAGCGCACACUAUUUGUAUGACAGUGAGUAUCAGAAGAAUAAUAGCUGCAAAGAGAGAAAUAGCUGCCCAAGGUGUGUUGAAAUACUUUUGUCUCAAAUUUGCCUUCCAUAUGUUCGUGGUCUUCUCUCAGUAACUCGUUUAGUUUGCCAGCAAGAUCACCAAAAUAGUAGUUUCCGUGGUUCAGAGCAACUUUACUGCAAAGCUUGUUAAUCAUAAUGGAAACCUUAUUGUUGUCACCUUGCAUGUUUACAACAAUUCUAUUCUCAACAAGCAACUCUACAUCCUUUGGAGUGUUUACAAAUUUAUCCAGGAUGAAAACAUAAUAGCUUAUGUAUUUAUCCACGCAAUGGCAUUGUUCAAAGGCAAUGAGAUUUCUAAGUGUAAGCUCUGUGUAAUUAUGUAUUUCAAUUUUUGGAAUUUCCAAGGUGUUUUUCUUGAACUGUAUAUCGAAUAAGUUCUUGCUUGAUCCGGCCUGGUGUAGUUUUGUCAUGCUGGGUGUCCUUUGGAGCCCUACAUUUUCUUUUAGGGUCGGAUCUGGCAGAUGUAAAGUUCUAAUAAAAUCAACAAAAUGUAAAGGUUUUUUAGGAUCAGGAGGCAUAAAAGACUUACGGAAGGCUGGUGAGUUCUCCAAGUUUUCUAAACGCAGUGCCUGUUGGAAGAACCUGUAAGAGAGUUCAAUUAUUGAAGGCUCCCCAGUCUGAGCACCUGUGAGAUUGUAAAGAUCCUCGAGAAUGAAAAAUGGCAGCUGAUUUCCAAGCAUAAGCAUGUCAGGCAAUAUAUUUUGUAGCACCCAUGGUUUUUUAAAUAUCCAAGCAUUAUCAUCCUGCAAUUUUUCUUCCUGAAAUUUUUCUUCGGAUUUAUUCCUCAACAAUAGCUCAAUGACAAAGGCGGCAUCAACUCGAAUGAUAUUCACAAAAGCAGCAAUGUUAAACUUCUUAGUGUCUUCAUAAUAAUGACGGAGUUCAACUUCUCUCUCCUUUAUUUUCUCGAAAUAAUCCUUCAAUUUUACAUUAGUCCAAUCAAGAAAACACUUUAGGUACCUGAGUUUGUGAUCUUCCAUGGCUUCUAGGUUUUUGCUGCCAUGGUGAAGUGGGCCUAUUGAGACUACUUGUGGUGUGUAGGCCUUUUGUUUUACGUUCCGUAGUCGCUCAGGCACCCUUUAGAUACAACAGGCAGGGGACAGGGCACGCAAGUUUGUCAACUGAUUUUCCAUGGAAGUUGCUUGGUUUUCUAUGUCAAAAGAAGCUUCAUUGCUGCUUUCUUCCACUUUCUUCCUCCUCAUUAUGUGUUGUUCUGAUUGUAAGUGACGAGGAUGGUGAUGAUUCUAGACAACAUAAUCAACAAAUGUUUCAAUCAUAAUUGACAUUUCAAGAUGCUCCGACAAAGAAUUAGAAAACAUUCAUCACAAAAUGCGAACUCAUACAAUAGAUGGGUUGAUGAUAUAACCAUUAUUUCGUACAUUUUUAUUAUCUUUCUCUUAGAUUCUUGCUAUGGUUCUUGAGUGAGUUUAGUCCAUUUUUACUUAGUUUUGUGUUUUACUAGGUUUGAAGAGUAAAGAUGGAAAAGCAAGCAAAAGGUGCAAUUUUGGUAUUGAAAUAUAAUGUGAAAUCCUAGGAGCAGAAUGUGUUGUGCGGAUCGGACAACUUUACAGAACAUACUGUACUUCCUCAGAGCGAACCAGAUGUUGAACCUUAUAUCAUUGGAAAGAUACGGAUGUUCGCCUUCUGUAGAAUUUCGCGGUUCAUGAUUCGGACGUGUGUGGAGAGAGUUGUGGCCAUUUUAGUACGGACAGUUCGGGCAGAAUGUGUUCUGCGGGUUUUGCAAAAUAAUCCAUUUGAAGUCCAAUCCUUGGAGUUUAAUUUGUGUCAAUUACAUUUGGGAAGUGUCUACAAGGAUGUGGAGUUAUUUUCUGAAGUCUGACCCUUUAUUUAGUAGGAUUAUGGAUGCCAACUCAUCAAAGACAAUGAAGCCAAACUAGGAAAACAUAGUUACCAAGUCAAAAGAGGAUUUGUUCCUUAUUUAAAGAAGACCAGAAAAUAGGGUUCUCUCAUGCUGGAAUUUGAAGGAGAGUUAAAGAGCCGCUGCCAUCGUCAAGUUCUCAAGCAUCGUCAUAAUCCAUAAGUUCUAUUUUAUGUUUUCUAGUUUUUCAAUUAUGUUUUCUUUGAACAUGAGUAACUAAAUCAUUCUCUAGGGCAAGGAUGACGCCCGAGCAUGGAUAGUUAUGAUUUUUAAUGCUAUUUAAUGAAUUCCAAGUUUCUUUUAGAUGAAUGUUUAAUCACUAUUUUAAUUGUUGCUAUUUGUUUAAGUUCUUUGAUUGAUCACCUUAUGACAUGACCCGCCCCGAAUUUUUCGAAACACGAGACGAAUCUUGUGGAAUUCCCGACCACACCCCAAUGCCGGGCCCACUUACUAAAGACCGGGACUUUCUGCCGAAAUUUCGGCAGAGUCUCUCCUGUAAAUUGAACAUUUCCCACAAUUUCAACCUGCAUAAAACACAUUUUAUAUUACCCAACUGGCAGCAUGCACAAUGUAAUAACAUGCAAUUCACAUAAACGGCCUUUCGACCUUCCGAUAAUCCACAACAAACCACCAAGCACGCUAUCAAAUCAAUUCAUACCUUAAACAAGGCAAACAAUAAAUUCAAUCACACUUAAGAAUGUCAAAGCAAUCCACUACAUUUAAUUUUUCUCAACACCCAACAUACGAGGUUUUAACAUCCUAACACAAUCACAUCUAUGUCUGCGGUUGCACCUAAUAACCUUAGGCUGCCUAUGUACCCUCACUGAGAGAUCAAGCCACACGUAGUUCUUCCUACUAAAUUCCGAUUUCCAAACACAUACAAUACCUUUAAUCAUCUCUAUGAUAAUCACAUACUCUCCCCACACGCCGGAAAUUCCAACGCCACGUAUGGGGUCUGUCAUCACGCCGAAAAAUCCUACGCCUCGUGUGACCUAACCAUCAUAUCAUCUCCCCAUACGCCGAAAAUUAUAACGCCACGUACGGGGUCUGUCAUCCUGCCGGAAAAUCCUACGCCAUGGGUGACCUGACAAUCACAUAAUCUCCCCAUAUGCCAGAAAUUCCAACGCCACGUAUGGAGUCUGUCUCAACGCCGGAAAAUCCUACGCCACGCGAGACCUAACAAUCACAUAAUCUCCCCAUAUGCCAGAAAUUCCAACGCCACAUAUGGGGUCUGUCAGCACGCCGGAUAACCUACACCACGUAGGACCUAACAAUCAUAGCAUUUCCCCGUAUGCCAGAAAUUCCAACGCCACGUAUGGGGUUUGUCCUCAUGCCGGAUAACUUACGCCACGUGGGACCUAACAAUCACAUAAUCUUCCCAUAUGCCGGAAAUUCAACACCUCAUAUGGGGUCUGUCAGCACGCUGGAUAACCUACGCCACGUGUGACCUAACAAUCAUAGCAUAUCUCCAUACGCUGGAAAUUUCAACGCCACGUAUGGGGUCUGUCAUCAUGUUGGAUAACCUACGCCACGUAGGACCUAACAAUCACAAGGUGGUACUUAGGGUAGUGCGUAUAGCACUGACAGAAAAUCACAAAAGUAUCUUUCCUAUUCUAGAGAUUGGUCACAUGUAGUCCAACCAAUAGGAAAUGAGAUAUUUAAGAAAUGAAGAGUUUGAUCAAUAUCAAUAUCAAAUGAAUUCUUAUACGCCUAGUCAACUAUUAAGCGUAUCUUGACUUCUUGAUAUUGUGAUAUGAUUGAAACAUGAUUUCCAUGUUAGAAAAUUAAAGGGAUGUUAAAACAUGAAAGUAAUAGGAGAAUCAAAUUGAUUUGGGCCAAAAUUGCCUAAAAAGAAAACACUUCUAAAUACACUCAAUUCACUUUUAAAAACAGUAAAACAUGAUUGAAUCGUUCUUUAAAACAAUUCCCUAAUAUACAUGCAUGAUAAUGACAUCACUUACCUCUGAACCAAAUGCCUUUCACGGGUCAAGCCACAAGUCUGUGUUUUGGGGAUUGCUAAGCUGCAUCAAUCCUGCCAAUGUCAGUUCUGCCCCUAUGCUCUCUCAAAGCAUGUUUACAACCUAUGCUAACAUAUACUAGAGUUUAUGCUAGUAUCGAGAAAAUGCAAACACUAAUUUUGUAACACGUAGAAUUGUUAGAGAUUGGAAGUUUUUAUCAUUUUUUUCUUCCAGUCUCUCCACCACUCACUAAUACAGAUUACUCAUGUGAUAAAUUUACAAAACCUAUUUCUCUACUCUCACAAAGACUAUACUUCUUCUCAAAAGACUAUAUCACUUUACCUCUAUCUCUGUGAAAUGUAAAAAGUUGAAACUUUAAUGUCAAACCUCGACAAAAGAUGAAUUUCCAUCAGUUACGUUGAAUUUGGAUUUGUUGAACUUAAGCGAUUUUACUUUCUCUGUUAGUAUUUGAUGACUUAAUUUGGUAUUUACUUCUUCUUCUUUUUUUCCUUGGAAAUGUGUUCCACCAACGUGAGGAAGAAAAAUAUGCACAAAAUAAUAUAUUUAAUAGAAGCCCAAGAUUUCGGAAGCACAUAAUUUUUUCAAAAAUCUACAAAGUGUUCUACUUUACAAACUUCUUAUGUCUACCAAUUUCUACUAAAAUUAAUUUCUUUGCGGUGCUCAGAUUCAUCAUGUGUGUGUCCUCAAUUUUAGUGGAAAUUGGAAGUUUCCAUCAUUUUUGUUUUCUGGGAAUUUUCUGAACCAAGGAAAAUCAAGCAAAAUUAAUAAAGCAUAAAAUGAAAAGGGAAAAUAUCUAGAGGAUGCAUUGUAGGAUUGCUCAUGCCAAUAAUUGUACCCUCUAAAUAUAUUGGGACAUAUUUUUUUUUGUUUUCAUGACAUAUGGUCCUAAAAUUAUUGUUCCUAGCGGGCUCUCCACCCCUCUCAAUUGAAAACCUAUUGUGUAAAUCUUCAAUCCUGAACGAUGAACGAUGCACCUAAAACACAUGUUGCAAUACACAUCCACCCAUUCUCAGGCCAAUUAUUGUUCCUAGCGGGCUCUCCACCCCCUCUCAAAUUUAAGUGGUCCAUUAUGAUUAAUCAUGUAUUUUAUGGACCAUCCAGCUGUGAGGUUUUAUCUCAAAAACCUUCGGUACCUUUCUCCCACAUGCCACAAUGGUAUAUUCACAAUUACGUCUGAUACCUCACAUCAUGCCACUUGCCUCAAUUGAAUUUAAGUGGGUGGAGUGUUACUUCUGGGUACCCCUCAUCAUUCGUCUAUAAAAUGGUGAAGCCAGUUGCUACUGUUACCAUAAGAGCCAGCUCCGACUUUCUUUAAUUUCUUGUUUCGUAUCCACUAGCUACAUCUGUUGCCAAGUUAAUUUCAGUCCUAAUGGGGUUUCAUCUCCCACUCAUCUUUGCUAUUCUCAGUGUAAGCUCUGCAAUUUGAUUAAGAUUUCCAUUCUCUCUCAUUGUACUCUAUAUAAACGAAAGUUUUGUGUUCCUACAAUUCUCUCCGAUUUUAUUUAGUAUGUACUUAAGUGUCGUACGUCCACUAAUUAAUUACACUUUGUGAGAUUUGAUUUUAAUUAGAGUUCGAAUUAAUGUUGCAGCUAGCAGCAGUGGGAAACCAUGCUGCUCAACCAGCACCUCAACUUUACUGGAACUCCGUCCUGCCAAACACACAGAUGCCAAGAUCUAUCAGUGUACUUCUGCAUCCUGGUUUGUGUUGAGCACUUUAGAAUCUUAGAUAUCUUUUCUACCUGCCAUUUUACUAAAAUUUGUUCGACCACAUAUUUAUCAGUUAACUACUGUCAUUACAAAUCGGCUGAUCACUUAUUUUGCAUUAUGACGUUGAUAUAUAAUUUGCAGACUCCACAAAUGAAGAAAAGAGCACAUAUAUGAAUGCUGUUGGGAAUGGAAAGGGCAAACCUGAAAUUUUCCCAUUGGGCAUUAGACGUUACGUUCAAAAACGGUAUGGAGGGGGCAUUAGACGUUACAAUCAAGAACGGUAUGGAAAAGGUCCUCCUCCAUCUGACAAUCAACUACUCCAUUAUAAAGACUUGGCUAUUUUCUUCUUCGAGAAGGACAUGCGCCCUGGCGCAACAAUGAAGUUCCAAUUCCCUAGAAAUUCAAACACGGCUACUUUCCUGCCACGCGAAAGUGCUCAAUCGAUCCCCUUCUCCUCUAACAAACUAUCAGAAAUUUUCAACCAUUUUUCAGUGAAGCCAACAUCUGUGGAAGCCAAAACAAUUAAGCAAACAAUCCAAGAGUGUGAAGCUCCAGGCCUUAAGGGAGAGGAAAAAUAUUGCGCCACAUCUUUAGAAUCAAUGGUUGAUUUUAGCACUUCGAAGCUUGGAACAAGAAACGUUGAAGCAAUCUCGACGGAGGUAUUGGAAAGAGGAGCCACCAUGUCCAUGCACAACUAUACAACAAUGCCGGGACUGAAGAAGUUGGCAGGUGACAAAGUCGUUGUGUGUCAUAAGGAGAACUAUCCCUAUGCUGUGUUUUUCUGCCAUGCAAUAAAACAAACAGCAGCAUAUGUUCUCUCCCUGAAAGGCGAUGAUGGGGAGAAGGUUAAAGCAGUAACCAUCUGCCAUCUAGACACAUCAGAAUGGAACCCAGAGCAUUUGUCCUUCCAAAUCCUCAACGUUAAGCCCGGAACAAUUCCCAUCUGCCAUUUCAUUUCCACUGAUGGUAUUGUCUGGGUUCCAAAACACAAAUCUGCAUGAUCAUCACUUAGCACUGUACGUAUAAUAAGCUUGGUUGGGUUGCACCCUAGGCCUGUAUAAUUAACUCCCUACUUAUUUCUGCCUCUUUAGCACUGUACAUAUAUAGACUUCAACUUGUACUCGUAUAGCAUGCUGGAAAAAAAAAGGACCAAUAGGGAGAAAAUGGUGAACUAAGGAGAGACUAAUACUUCUGGUUCUUAGAAGGCAUAACAGAAAUAAUAGAGCACACUGCUUGAAUGCAAGUCAAUAUUGUUAGAAAAUUAGGAGAUUUACUUCCUAAUAUAUUAUGAUUCUAUUUAUUUCCUUUUGUAUUGAUAUUAUGUAAUUAGGACUUUAUCUUAGUUUCCUAGUAUAACCCUACUAGGGUUUGUACUCUUGUAUUAUAAAUACCUCCUUUUGGAGAAUGAAGUAUAAUCUGAAAAUAUUCUAUCCACUUUGUUUGACAUGGUAUCAGAGCAAACUUUUCUAGUGACCUGUGUGUUGUGCCAACCCGUAUUCUAGCCCCAUAUUUUUUCUCUACCUAUGCCGUGUGUGCCCCCCCUCUGGGUUUGUGGGUUGUGUUGUCGUGUUGGUGUCAUUCCUAUCUUCGUGCAUCUGCCGUAUUUGAGCCUUUGCUGUGUUCCGCUGUGUACUCUGUUGUGUUCAUACCUCUAUUGUGUUCGUGCCUGUCUUCGUGCAUCUGCUGUAUUUGUGUCUCUAUUGUGUUCCAUUGUACAAUCUGCCGUGAUCUGUUGAAUUUAUGAUGUAAUCAUAGGUGAUAACUCAUUUGUUGGUGUUGUUGUUGCUGUUUCUGGAAAUUUAUGUGAUUCAGACUCUAUUCCAUUUACUGGCUACAAUACUUAGAUAAUUGAUACUGGUACUUAUGAUCAUAUUGACAGGACUCGCCCCGAAUUUCCUGAAACCCGAGACGAAUUCUGUGGAAAUUCCUGACAUCACCCCGAUGUCGGGCCCACUUCUAAAACUAUAUCCUUUUUCCCCAAAAGGAAUAAAGGCAUAAGACUUUCUACCGAAAUUUCGGUAGAGUCUCCUAUGUAAAUUGAACAUUGCCCAAAAUUUUAACCUGCAUAAAACACAUUUUAUAUUACCCAACUGGCAGCAUGCAUAAAGUAAUAACAUGCAAUUCACAUAAACGGCCUUCGGCCUUCCGAUAAUUGGCAACAAACCACCAAGUACGCUAUCAAAUCAAUUUAUACCUUAAACAAGGCAAACAAUAAAUUCAAUCACACUUAAGAAUGUCAAAGCAAUCCACUACAUUUAAUUUUCUCAACAGCCAACAUACGAGGUUUUAACCUCCUAACACAAACACACUUCGUUCUCACUCAAAUAGCAGGACCAACUUCAAGGUCCGCAUCAUACUCAAUAAUACACAAGUAAAGUUUAAACCGCGGCUGCACCUAGGCACUACCCUAGGCUGCCUACGUACCCUUAUUGAGGGAUCAAGCCACACGUAGUUCUUCCUACUAAAUCCUGAUUUCCAAACACAUACAAUAAUACCUUUAUUCAUCUCUCUGUUAAUCACAUAAUCUUCCCAUACGCCGGAAAUUCCAACUCUACGUAUGGGGUCUGUCAUCACGCCGGAAAAUCCUACGCCACGUGUGACCUAACCAUCAUAUCAUCUCCCUAUACGUCAGAAAUUCCAACACCACGUAUGAGGUCUGUCAUCCAGUCGGAAAAUCCUACGCCACGGGUGACUUGACAAUCACAUAAUCUCUCCAUACACCAGAAAUUCCAACGCCACAUAUAGGGUCUGUCUCAAUGUCGGAAAAUCCUAUGCCACGCGAGACCUAACAAUCACAUAAUCUCCCCAUACGCUGGAAAUUCCAACGCCACGAAUGGAGUCUGUCUCAACGCUGGAAAAUCCUAUGCCACUCGAGACCUAACAAUCACAUAAUCUCCCCAUAUGCCGGAAAUUCCAACGCUACAUAUGGGGUCUGUCAGCAUGCCGGAUAACCUACGCCACGUGUGACUUAACAAUGAUAACAUCUCCCCAUACGCCGGAAAUUCCAACGCCACGUAUGAGGUCUGUCCUCACGCCGGAUAACCUACACCAUAUGGAACCUAACAAUCAUAGGGUGGUACUUAGGGUAGUGCGUAUAGCACUUCAAACCGACAUUCAAAACUCUAUUUAUACCUUUAUAAAUUUAUAUAAAAAUAUAUAUAUUAAGUUCUAAAGUUGUAUAAGCCUCAACCACAAUCUAGCAUCCGAUAAUCCCCCCCAAUUUAAAACAAUAAAUUAAUAUCAUAAACCCACAUAAUCAACAUAACUUAACAACGCUCAAGACCUGUCACUAGUGUCAUUGUAAUCCUCCUAGGAAGGUAAAACUACUUCGGAAGAGUCACGGUCAACUAAGGGUCAAACUACCCAAACUUGGUCAAAUGGGCCCACGGGCCCCACGACCUUCAAAUUCCGAUUCCAACCUACCGAAAUUUCUUAUGGGUUCUACAAGGUUUAGGACACUCGUCUUGCAAGUUUGGUCCAGAUCAGACGGUCGGAUCGCUCACGAUCGCACGAUCGGACGGUUACUAUAAACCUAGCCCUAGGGUUGGUAUUUUCGGAGUAUCCAGGACUCCGUUUUACGAUCCGUCGAAUCCUAUACGAUCUUGAGGAUGUCCAAACUAACAUAUAAUAAAUCUAUGACUAUCCAACGGCUCAAACCUAUUGAACCCAGAUAACGCACAAUAUGCGAAAUCUGUUCAAUAGUCAAACGACGUCCGAAUUGAGAUCCGCGAAAACCUACGCACUCGUGACAACUUGAGGACCUCAUUAGGACAAACUGUAGCUUCACCACCUUUGUCCACGCGCCUGCAGCGCAUGGGUGUGUAGAGUAAAUUCCGAUGAUGGAAAAACUCUACACCACCGCUCACCCUUCCUAUCCUAAAUACUACUCGAGGCAAGGAUCACUUCAUUCAACUACGGGGAGGUCCCAUUUGGACGGCAACUGGCCCAAAUUUCACUUUGAAAUCCGGCCAAAACCUAGGUUUUCAAAUCGGUUUUCUAGACAUCAAAUCGAUCCAAUCCUAUCCCAUAGACAGCUAGAGCUCAGAAAAUAGAUGACAAACCAUACCUCACCCGACGGAAUUGGUGGCUGGAGGAGAAAGAUUGAGCGAUGAGAAGUUCUGUCAAAACCGACUCGUUUUCGACUGAUUCCAGCGAGCACAGUUGACGAUGAUGGCUAAGACUAGUCGGGAAAAGACAAGGGAGAGGUGGUGAUUCGAACGGGACCGGUCUCGAGGCCAGUCGUUGACUGUGGAGGCUGCAAUAGCCUUGAAGGGUGGCGGCUGUAAAAACGAAGGGGAGGGGGGCUGUUCACGAUGGAGGAGAGAGAGAGAUAGAUAGAUAGAUAGAGAAAAAUCUGAAUUUUAUAAAAAUUCCAUUUUGAAAUAAUUACGAUUGUGCCACUGAGUUUCUUUUGACCGUAACUUCCUCGUUACAACUCCAAAUCAAGCCCACUAUGUAUCUAUGAACUCAUCUCGUCGAGCUCUACGCAACGGUAGAGCUGAAAUUCUCAAAUUUCUUCCUGAUCAAAAAGUCAACUUUAAACCCAAUAAAAUAUUCUAUGGGUAUAAUGGUCUUUUAUCUACAUAAAUUAAUAAUUUCCAAUUUAUUUAGGACCGGGUCGUUACACAUAUGACUUAUGAUGCUAUAUUUUUUUAUGAGUUGUCUAGUAAUACUCGUGACCCAUACAUAACUAGUGCUAAUGGCUUGCCCUAUCCAAUUACUGGCGAGGGCAUAAUCUCUCACUCCUACUCUGUCCUUGUCUCGUGUGUUACUCGUUCCCAAUAUCCAUUGUAACUUGUUGUUUGUUGGCCGAUUACUUGAUACACUUAAUGCUUAUGCUACUUUCUAUCCUACACAUUGCUCUUUUCAGGAUCUCAAGACUUGCGAGACGAUUGGGCAUAGUAAACGGAUAGGGGGCUUAUAUUAUUUGACAUUGUCUUCUGCACCAAUUCGUGGUUGUGUCAUUCAUACUGUUCAAAGUUGUAGUGUCAAGGACAAAUAACAAAUUUGGUUAUGGCAUCGUCGCUUGGGACACUCGUCGUUCGGCUAUCUUAAGCGUCUGUUUCCAUCUUUAUUCCGCUCUUGUGACGAGUCCAGUUUUAAGUGUGAGACAUGUAUUUUGGCCAAGAGUCAUCGCACUGUGUUUCUUUUAAGUGACAGUAAAGCUGCAAAACCUUUUGAUUUAGUAUAUUCGGAUGUAUAGGGACCUGCUCGUGUGACUUCUAAUGGUUUCUAUUGGUCUAUUACUUUUAUUGAUGACUGCACUCUCCCCAUAGUCCGGAAUUACCAACGCCACGUAUGGAGCCUGUACGCACGCCGAAAAAUCCUACGCCACGUGGGACCUCAUCAUCAUAUCACAUAGUCUCCCCAUACGCCGGAACUACUAAAGCCACGUAUGGGAUUCGUCUCAACGCCGGAAAAUCCUACGCCACGUGAGACCUUACAAUCACAGGAUGGUACUUACACAAUGUAAUCAAACCAUCUUUAUCUCUUUAAUAUAUAUAUAUAUAUUCCCAAUUUCCCCAAGUUUAAAACAAUAAACUAGUUCCUUAAACCCACUAAUUAACAUAACUCAACUAAUGAUCAAGACCUAUUGAAAGGACUCGCCCCGAAUUUUCUCAAAACCUGAGACGAACCCUUUGGAAGUCCUGACAUCACCUCGAUGCCAGGCCCACUUACUAAAAACCGAGACUUCCUGCCGAAAUUUCGGCAGAGUCUCCCCUAUAAUUUGGACAUUUUCCAAAAUUUAUACCUGCAUGAAAAUGCAUUUAAUAUUCCCAAUUGGCAGCAUGCACAAUAUAAUUUCAUGCAAUUCACAUAAAUGGCCUUCGGCUUUCCAAUAAUUCUUAACCAGUUACCAAACAAUUCAAAUACCAAUUAUGACUAACAUUUAGUCUACGGCUGCGCCUAAUAACCUUAGGCUGCCUACGUACCCUCCUUGAGGGAUCAAGCCACACGUAGUUCUUCCAUAAAACUCAAUUCCACACAUAGGUGAUACCUUAUUUCAUCUCUCUGUAUUUCACAUAAUCUCCCCAUACGCCGGUACAACCAACGCCACGUAUAGGGCCUGUCAACACGCCGGAUAACCUACGCCACGUGCGACCAUGCCAUACUAUCAUCAUAUCUCCCCAUACGCCGGUACAACCAAUACCACGUAUGGGGUCUGUCUCAACGCCGGAUAACCUACGCCACGCGAGACCUGCACAUCAUAUCACAUAACUCCCCAUACGCCGGUACAACCAACGCCACGUAUGGGGCCUGUCCCAACGCCGGAUAACCUACGCCACGCGGGACCUCAACAUCAUAUCACAAAUCUCCCUAUACGCCGGUACAACCAACGCCACGUAUGGGGUCUGUCGACACGCCGGAUAACCUACGCCACGUGCGACCUCAACACAAUAUCACAAUAGCUCCCCAUACGCCGGUACAACCAACGCCACGUAUGGGGCCUGUCUCAACGCCGGAUAACCUACGCCACGUGAGACCUAACUUUCACUUGGUGGUGCUUGUAGUGAAUCCAACAUCCAGGGAGGUACCUAAAGUAGUGCGUAUAGCACUCCAAACUGACAUUCUAGACUCUGUUGUACCCAUGUACAACCAUAUAUAAUUAUAGUUAUAUAAAUUAAUUCUAAUAUUGUGUAACCUUCCACAUUCAUCUAGCACCCGAUAAUCCCCCUUAGAAAGGUGAGAUUACUCCGGGAGACUCACGGUCAACCAAGGGUCAAACUACUCUAACUCUGGUCAACCGGACCUGCAGAACCCACGACCCCCAAUUUCCGAUCCGAAAGUCUCUAUGGGUUCUACCAGGUAUAGGACACUUGUCCUGCAAGUUUGGUUCAGAUCGGACGGUCGAAUUUCUCACGAUCGCACGAUCUGACAAUUAAUAUAAAAUAUAAACUUUAAAAUUAUUAAUCGAAACAUCCGGGGCUCCGAUUCACGAUCCGUGAAUUCCUACACGAUCCUAGAAUUACCUAGAUUAACAUAUAUUAAAUUUGGGACCAUCCGACGGUCCCAACCUGUCGAACCCGGAUAACGUACAAUAUACGAUCGUCCGUUCGAUAGUCAAACGACGUCCGAAUUGAGAUCCGCGAAAUCCUAUGCACUCGUGACAACCUAAGGAUCUCAUCGGAAUACAGUGCUACUUUUUCUACAGUGCCCAAAGCGAUAACGCUUCGCCGGAAAAUCUCAACAUCACGGCUCCAAAAUUCCUACUCUAGGUAUAACACCCUAUUUGGAGCCACUUUUGUUCUUGGACCUACCCCAAAAAGUGGCCGAAAAUGGCCGAUCACGGCAGCCGAAGUUUCGGCCGAUUUUCAAUUCGAAAAUCGAGUUGUCUACGCUAAGAAUCGAUCUAAUCCUACCCAACCAUCAGCUAGAGUAGCUCGAGAGGUUCAAAAUCCAUACCUGGGUCGACGGAAUUGGUGGCCGGAGGAGGGAGAUCGGCGGCUUUGAAGUUUGGACGACGUCGGCCGCUUCAUCUCCAGAUUCCGGCGAAUCCGCGGCGGCUGGCGGCGGGAGGUGGCUGGGGUAGGAAGAGGACGACGGCCCGGUCAUUUUGGUACCGGUCCCGUCGUCAUUGGUGGCCGGAGGAGAGCACGGCCGGCCAAAACGUGGCCGGCGGUCGUCGCGCGCGAGAGAGGAGAGAGAGAGAUCGCGCGGAGGAGAGAGAGAGAGAGAGAGAGAGAGAGAGAGAGAAAACCAGAUUUUUAUAAAAAAAAGUCCCAUUUUGAAAUAUUUACGAUGUGCCACUGGGCUUCUUUUGACCAUAUCUCUCUCGUUACAACUCCGAUUCAAGCCCACUACGUGUCUAUGAACUCGUCUCAGUACGACCUAUCCAAAAAUACAAGUCACGGUCCCAAACUCUCUCCGGUUAAAAAUAUGACUAAAAUACCCUUAAAUAAUGAAAUAAUUAAAUAAGGGUUAAAUUUGGGGUCGGGGUGUUACAUCUAUCACCAGGAUCAUUAUAAUCCUCCGAGGGAGGUGAAACUACCUCGGAAGACUCACGGUCAACCAAGGGUCAAACUACCCAAAUUUAGUCAAACGGGCCCACGAGACCCGCGACCUCCCGAUCUGAAAGUUCCUAUGUGUUCUACAAGGUUUAGGACACUCGUCAUGCAAGUUUGGUCCAGAUCGGACGAUCAGAUAGCUCACGAUCGGACGGUUAUUAUAAACAUAAACUUUAAGUUAUUAAAUCGGAACAUCCGGGGCAAAGAUUCACGAUCCGUGAAUUCCUACACGAUCCUAGAAUUGCCUAGAUUAACAUAUAUUAAUUUUAAGACUAUCCAACGGUCUGAACAUGUCAAACCCGGAUAACGCCUAAUAUGCGAUAUGCGAUAUCCGAUCGAUGAUCAAACAAUAAUCAAAUUCAAAUUCGAGCAUACCGUCACGCUCGAGACGACGAGAGGGUUAUUUUAGAACUCUAAGACAAGCCACCACAUGGCCCACGCGCUGACAGCGCGUGGUUGUCUAGAGAAAUUUCCAGCGGCGGGAAAAACUCCAAACCGCCAGCCAAGACUCCCAGGUUAGGUAAAUCACAUGUAGUGGAACAACUUUUGUUCUUGGACCUACCCCAAAAAGUCGACGGAAGUGGCCGUCGGAGGCCGAAACUGGCCUAAACUUCUAUCGCUUAAUUGACAACCAAAAUGCAGCAAUUGAUCCUAAAUAACCCAACCAGCAGCUAGAUCAGAUUGAGGGGAUGGAAAAGCAUACCUAGAUCGCAUGAUUUGGUUACCGAAAACGUCCGAACGAGCUUCCGAAAAAUCCGCAAAAAACCUUUCGGAUUUCUGCAAUUUCCGGCCAGCACCAGCAGUUCCAGCAGCUGAGGUUGGUCGGAAAAGGAAGAGGAGGUGGCAGCGGUUUGAACAGGUCCGGCCUCGUUGCCGGUGGUGAUCCGUGGUGGCAACUGUGGCUCUUGGAAGCCACGGCUGUGCAGAAAAAUGAAGGGGGAGGGGGCUGCGCGCGUGGGGAGAGAGAGAAAGUGAGAGAGAAUCAGAUUUAUCAAACCUUUUUUUGCCAAAAGUACGAGUAUGCCACUAAGGGUAAUUUGAUCGUAUCUUCUUCGUUACAACUCCGAUUCGAGCCCAUUACGUGUCUACGAACUCAUCUCGCUGUGCUUUACACAACGGUACGGUUGAAAUUCCCAAAUUCCUUCCCAGUCAAAAAGUCAACUUUAAACCUAAUAAAAUAUUCUAUGGGCAAAAUGGUAUUUUCUCUGAAUAAAUUAGUGUUUACUAAUUUAUUUAGGACCGGGUCGUUACAAUACCCAAAAAUUUCCUGUGUCAGAAUCAACACAUGGCAGCAGAGAAAGAAAGGGGAAUAGGACAAAAUAGUUGGUUAUCCAGCUGGAAAUCCUACAGAGCAAGGAUGACUAGUUAUACGAGAAACAGAUGACUAGUCAUCAUUUUAUGAAAUCAAUUUAAUGCAAUGUGAUGGAAUGCACAAUUUACCUUUGUCAAUUUGCUUGAACCUCUAUACGAUAGUUGUUAGUUAAGAACACCUAGAGAAACUAUUCUUAAUCUAAACUUGAGCUUGAUAAAAAUAAUAAAAAUCUUAUUACAAGAUUAUCAAGGAAAGUGUUGUGUCUACCCAAGUGCAAGUAGUCACACGUAGUAAUAAUCUUGGAAGUCCAAGUAUCGUAUCCUCAAGGAGCAGGUAGGCAAAUAUCUGCACACAAAGAAAUAAUUAAACAUACCACAAUAAAAGUGACAAGCAAAAUGGAAAAGUUAUUUAUUUGAUUGUUGUGAAAAUUGAAUUUAAAAAUGAAAUAUCAAUAAUGGAAAUGCUAAGGCAUCAAGGUUCAAUUCUUUAAACAAAAUAUGUUUCAUGCUCUUUACUCCAGAUUAUAACUCGAUUAAAAUCAUCAUCGAGAAACUUUAACCGGAAGAUAAAGAAAUUAAAACCAAUUUAAUUUUUCAAUGUAAUCUUUUAUUAAUGAUUGUUCAGAAAAUGGAAUUGCUUAAUAUCUACUCUUUUAAUUUAAAAGCAUGCCAAGUCAGUUCUUAACAAUGAGAAAAAUAAAAUUGAACUCAUGAAAAGGUAAUAGCACUUAACAUCAAUCAAAAUAAAAGGAUAUGAAAAUAUUGAACAACCAAAAAUAAAAGAAUUUAGCAAUUCAUACCGUAUAUUGGAUUAAAGAACAAUUCACAAACUUACUUAAAGAACAUUCCCUUUAGCCUUAGCUAGAGUUCUAGCAACUCAAUUACAAAGGAAAACAUAAACUAAAUGGAUAAAGAAAUCAGUCAUAGUGGUGCCCUUGCCAAAGAAGUUGAUGGGUAAUUUAUAGUGAAUGAGGUGAGUGGGAAGUUAAUACAUGGGUAAUGAAGGGUUUAAGUAAGGGAUUAAUUGGAUUAAACAUUGGUUGAUGGUGGAGAGUUAGUGGAAAAGAAAUAACGGUGAGGUAAAUAGGCGUUAAAUGGCUAUGAAUGACAUGAAAUAGGCUCUUUAGCUUCAACGGUUGUGUCUUCUCUUCUCCCUCUUUACUUCUCUUUAUAAUCACAAUAAUCCAACAAUCAAUUCUUCAAUAAAAUCCGCCAGCAAUUCUCUUCACACCUAGCUUGAACUUGGACAAAUGUAUGUCUUCAUCUUUUGGCUUUCUAACUUCCUACCGAAGAUAAAUUCACCUAAUAAGUUCACCAAAUUAAUAUAGAAAAUUCAUAAAUCCAGUUGAUGAGAAUAAAAUGUAACAAUAAGUGAAAUUAUAUUUAUUAAGUCAAAAUUAUAUCAUAAAGUCUCCAAAAUAAUAUUAAAAAUAUAUAAUUUAAGACUCUCAUCACAAAGCCAAAAGAAAAACUCAAAAUGCAUACAUUAACAGUUUUGCCAUAUUGAAUUAAUGUCUUCUAGCUAUGUACCUUAUCUUUUUGCCGGGCCAUGAGUUGAAUGUAGAGGCAGAGCAUGGACUUGGGUCAAGUUUGACUUGUAAAAUAAUUAGGAAUUGAAUGGCUCCUACGUUCAAUUAUUUUAUUAUUAUUAUUAUUUUUUGUCCGAGCCAUUCAAUUCCUAAUUAUUUAGAUUUUUGAUCUAGUUAGCAUCCACAAUCAUGCUCUCUAUUUUUUUUUUUUGGUCAUAAAUGCCAUAACUCUUUUUUUAUUGGUCCAUCUCUAUUAAAAAAUAAAAUAAAAAAUAGUUAGCAUUAAAUAAAGGUUUGAAAUUCUCAUUAAAUAAAGCAGCAUUAAAUUAUAGGGAGCAACUAGGAGUCAUUUCUCUCUCCUCAAGUUUAGGAGCUCCUACAGGUCUCCCUAUUUUAGGAGGUAGAUAGGGAGCAUUGUUGGAGUUGUAUUUUUACAAUUUCUCCCUAAAAUUUGUCUAAGGAUGUGGUUUAGGGAGCCCAUUGUGGAUGCUCUCAUCUCAAGGAAAGAAAACCCCAAGUUUGCAAGUAAUUUUUCUACGUAUGUAUAUAUGAAAAACUGACAUUUAUGAAAAUAAUAAACCCAUAUUUUUAUGUAAGCCAACUUUCUAAAUUCAUGUACUGAUAUUUAUUAGGGAAAUAUUGGAGAAACUGAUUAUUUUGAAAAAUUAAAUGUGAAAAACUGAACAAAAUUUUGACGGGUUACAUAUGUCAACUCAUUCAGCAGCUUAGGUUGUGAAGACCUAAGCAACAACCCUAGUGCACUGUCGAUCACUUCAGUGUCUACCGAUUUUCCUUUCCAUAUUGUUAGAUUAUUCCCUGCUGUAACACUUGCAUUUAGAAAAUAAUAGUACAGCUCUUAUUAGCAACAGUUUUACACACUUGCAUGAAUCUCACUAUGUUAAAGCAAUCACAUAGCACACCUUUAUUGAAAACAAAGCUAGCCCUGAUCCACUCCUUUACAUACUUAAAAACAAAACAAAACGAAAAAAAGAUAGGGAGAAAAUGGCUACGGACUUACUGCCGACAAAAAGAGAUAAUAGCGAACACUGUUUGUAUGACAGUGAGUAUGAGAAGAGUAACCGCUGCAAAGAGAGAAAAAGCUGCCCAGGCCCAGGGUGAGUUGAAAUACUUUUGGCUCAAAUAUGCCAACCAUCUGUUCCUGCACUUCUUGCAGUACUUGUUUAGAUUGUCAGCAAGACCACCAAAAUAGAAAUUUUGCUGGUCCGGAGCAACCCCCUUGCAAAGUUGGUUAAUCAUAGUAGAAACCUUAUUGUUGUCACCUAGUGUGUUUACAACAAUUUCACUCUCAACAAGUAAAUCUACAUCCCUUUUGGUUUUUACAAAUUUAUCCAGGAGGAAAACAUAAUCGCUUAAGUAAUUGUCUGUGCAAUGGCAUUGUUCAAAGGCAAUGAGAUUUCUGAGUAUAAGCUCUGUGUCAUCACGUAUUUCUAGUUUUGGAAUUUUCAGAGUUCCAUUAUGGAACUGUAUCGCGAAUAAGUCGUUGCUUGACUCCAGACGACUUGAUUCCGGACGAAACUUAACUCUGGCCUGGUGUAGUUUUGUCACGCUGGGUAUACAUGGGAGUUCUCCAGCUUCUGAGGUACCGGUAUCCAAAUAUUGCACAUGUAAAGUUCUAAUAAAAUCAACAAAAUGUAAAGGUGGUUCAGUCCCCUCCACUUCGUCUUCCGACCUCUGUAAACCCACUACCUUUUUGAAGAAAUGGUAAGAGAGCUUAAUCAUUGAAGGCCUCUCAGUCUCAGAAUUCUUAACUCUGACUUUGCUUGCAUCGAAAAGAUCCUCAAGAAUGAAAAAUGGCAGCUAAUUUUCGGGCAAAAGCAUGUCGGGCACUAUAUUUGUUAACAUUUAUGGUUUUUUAAAUAUCCAGUCAUUAUAUCGUCUCGCAAUUCUUGGAAAUGGUACCUCAACAAUAGCUCAAUGACAAAGGCAGCAUCAACUAGAAUGAUACUUACAAACUUGUCGCUACUCUUGAAGUGCUGAGCGUUUCCAUAACGACCACGGAGUUCAUCUUCUUGGGCCUUUAUUUUCUCUGCAUAAUCCUUCAAGCUAACCUUAUUAUUCCGAUGAAGAAAAUUUUGUAGGUACCUCGGUUUGUACUCUUCCAUGGCUUCUAAUUCUUUGUUGUCAUGGUGAAUUGGGCCUAUUGAGACUACUUCCGGGGUGUAAGCGUUAUUUCUGCCCCGUAGUCACGAAGGAACCCUGUAGAUACAGCACUCAUCAGAGGGCCUAUUGAGACAAACUAUCCAACCGCCGCUUCAAAUCUGCUACUGGGGUUUUGUGGUUUUCUACGCCAUGUGGAGCUCCAUUGCUGCAUCCUUCCACUUCUAUUAUGUGUUGUUCUGAUUGUAAGUGAUGAGGGUUAUUGGCACCAGGGGCGGAUCUAGCCCUUUUUUGGCUAGGCAGCCACCCAGUCGAGAAUUUUCAUAAAAACAAAAUAGGUACGUAUUGUUGUAAAUGUAUGAGUUGGUGGAUGACCACCAUACCUCUUAGCAUUCACCUUUUCUAAUUCUAUGUAACUAUACACUAAAUGCCAUAGUUAUGGACUUGUAACUUAUGAGUUGUUAAUGUUUUCUUACGUGUAAGCCUAUAAAUAAGAGGGCUAUCUUGGCAUAUGUGUUCGUCACUAACUAUAUAAUUUAAGUUGUUUUCAGUGACUAAUUUAAAUAAUUGUCAGAAAAUUUGGUCAUUAAAAAUUAAAAAAUAAGGGUCAAUUAUUUUAGUGACCAUGAAGUAUUAUUAGUCAUUAAAUUCAUUGUAUUUGUGACCAUUAUUUAUGUGGAAUUGGUCACUACUGACCUUUUUUCUUGUAGUGUACAUUCUUGCCUUAAUACAGUUAGGCUUAUUUUUAUACUAAUUUCUCUAACAUAACUUUUGCACAUUCUUUUUAUAUUAUAAUAAAUAAUCUUACCCAGUUGAGUUAUAAACCAUUUUCUUUUAGCACGGAAAAUCGACAUUUUGACAGAGAGUUGAAAAGCACUCCCCAAUUUUAAUGUCAACCACUUGGAAAAAAAAAACAUAAAUUUAAUGACAACAAUUACAUUUAGCAAUGCAACCUAAAAACUCAACCUUUGCGCUCCUUUCACCACGCAGAUAGCAGGGUGAGGAUAUUCGAAUAAGAACGAAGACAGAAGCUAAAGGAAUUGCGAUAGCUAACCAUAGUCUGCAUUUCUUACCAUCUGAACAAUGCCACCAUUUUGUUUGGUAAGUAUUUAAUAACAUUUCUUGCUCUACAUAAAGUAAUAUUAAAGCGAAAUUUCCCUAAAUUUUUCUUACCAACAAUCCAUACCCAAGAAAAGGGGAGAUUCACUAUUAUACUCAAUAUAGGAGCCCAACUUAUUUAUAAUAAUUAUAAAAAAAAACCCUCUAUGAAAUGGACUUUAGAAACACACCUAAAACCUAUUUACAACAAAACAAAAAGACUUUUAACUUUUUUUAAAUUACAAAACUGUCAUUGAUUUCUUAAACAAACCCAACCCCAAAACCUCAUAAAAAAGCCCAAAUACUCAAUAAAGCAGCAAAGUAAUUUAAUAAUAAAAAUUAAAUUCAAUAGAGUCAGCUGUUAUUUUUUGGGUUAUUUUUUAUUUGUUUAUAGAAAUUAAAGAGUGCUGCUAAAAGAACCCUAACAUUAACUAAAUACACCAAAUGAUCUAAGUACACCCUAAUAUUUUAAUUAAAAUACAAAAUUAACUAAGUACACCUUAUUUAACUACCAAAAUUACCCGUGUUACACCCUAAUACACUCUAUCACUGUUCACCCGUUUAGUUUUUGCUCCUGUGAUGGAAGGGUAAAGUUCCCCACUGCCUUGGAAACCAUUGACUGGUCAACAAGUCAGCUUUCUUUGCUAUGUGAGCGUGCCACUGUUAGCAAUGAAAAUCCUAACAGACUUCUUAAAAUGGAUACUUGCGCCCAAGUUACUGAUUUCUAAACAGUGAUUGUGAUUUGGGUGAGGAAUAUCUCCAAGUAAGUUCUUUUCCUGCAUCAGGCUGGUGAAGACUUUAUAAUUUUCACAGUAUAAAUUGGUAGUUCUUGCCAGAAUAGAUGAUAUAAAGUGGACGGUUUUUAGGCAGAACUGCGUUUUACAAAAUUAAGAAGGAAAAAUCAACUCUAAAAAGACAAAAAGAUGGCUGGAAUCCCACUUCUGCCUGGGUAGAAACUUCAGAUCCGGGCUGGACCGAAUACAUUCAUGAUGGACUGAGCUGUUAACAACUUCAAUUGCUUAGCUUUAGCUGUAAAUCGAUACCAAAGUUCAAUUUUGGCAGAGCUUUAAUCUACUUCAAGCCUUGGAAGGCUUUUGAGCGGGCAGAACUGCCGUCUCUUCUGGCUAAAAGAGGCAGAAAUGGCUGAAUUUGAGGUUUACUGAGCUGGAACUGCACUGUUGUACCUGUUCUGCUUGGUCAGGGCUUUCCAUAAAUUUGUUGAGGUUUUCAUAUUUGUGAAAAACUCAAACUCUGCUUGUUUUGGCUUUUGCUGAACCAAAUUUGUAACGAGAGAAGUCUUGUUUUGAAUGACUUUUCUCUAAGUUUGAGCUUUUGAAAUUCUAGGAGAGAGAGAGAGAGAGAGCUUUUGAUUGCUCCAGUUUGUUUGAAGGUUCUCAAUGAUCAAGUGAUCAUUUUGAGUUUUUGCCUUUAGCUUAUUUUUGGUUGUUUGUUUGAUUAUCCUUUGCUCUAUUCACCUUCUCCUAUAUUUAUAAGAAAUGCUUUGAAGUAGGGUUUCUUUCUUUUAAUAAUGGGCGGCCAAAAUUCUCAAAAGGUCUUUCAUUUUUUUAAAUACGAAGAAAAAGGGGUUUUCUCAAUUUUGGCAAAUAAGUUCUCAACAGUCAAUUCCAUUGAAAGAGAACCUGACUUUUCUUUAAUUCCCAACUGCCCUUGUGAGAGCUCAAUCGUGAUGGUCAGUUUGCUUCUCCAUUUUGAACAACUUCCUGUUUCCUGUUUAUCUUUUUAGAAAAUACAAUCUGGGUAUCCCUUGAAAGAUGGUGCCUUUUUUGGAGUAGAAACAAUGUCUCUAAAUAUAAAAGGGUUUUUUUUUUAUCUUUUGGUGGCAAAGAUUUCAAAGACGUCCCUUCUUUUCGCCUGCCUCUGUCAACUUUUUAUCAACCCAGUUGAAAUUGUUGACUUUCCUAAAUCAAAAAAAGAGAUUCACGUGGGUCUGUUCCUUUUGGCUCCUUCCUCUCUUUUAAUCAUGCCUAACCUCUUUUGAUUUUACUGGAGCCAUGGGCUGAUUGCUUCUCUUUUCGAGGCCCAAGUUUAUUUGCAGAGCCCAAACUGCUUGGGCCCUGUGGUUUUGUCUUUGUUGUUUUUGGGCUUUUUAGGCUGGACGUGCCAAAAUUAGGCCCAAACAAUGUCCCCUAAGUUUGAAUCGUUUCUAGAACGGUUCGAGAUUUAAUGAUUUUGGCCAUUAAUUCGUGCGCGCCAACUUCUUUCGUUUAAUGCACGUCUGCCUACCACGAGCUAGACUUCAUGGGAAACUGUUUUGUUACUAGCUAGUUACUUAGCUAGUUAUUAUCAUAUGGCGUCUCGUCUUCCUCUUCCCACGAUUUCAAGCCCCUUUUUUAAGAAAUUCGAAACUCCAACUUCUGUUUAUUUCAAAAACUAGCUUCUUUUUAGACCUCGACAAUUCUUAGUUUUCCCCAGAAUUCUCACUUUUUCUUCGACCAGACUCUGCCUUUCUUAUCAUUUCCUUUCCUAGUUCAACACUUCUGAUCAUGUCUUCUCCCAAGACUCGUGCUCAAGGUUGGUCCUCCUCAGUUCCUCCUAAUUACAUCACUGGGACUGGGAUUGACAAUCACGCGAUAGAGGUUAGAAGCAAACUGAUAGGACCCGCCCCGAAUUUUCCAAAACCCAAGGCGAAUCCUGUGAAAUUUCCGACAUCACCCCGAUGCCGGGCCCACUUACUAAACACCGAGACUUUCUGCCGAAAUUUCGGCAGAGUCUCCCCUAUAAAUUGGACAUUUCCCAAAAUUUCAACCUGCAUAAAAACACAUUUAAUAUUCCCAACGGGCAGCAUGCACAAAAUAAUUUCAUCCAAUUCACAUAACGGCCUUCGGCCUUUCAAUAAUUUUCAACAAACUACCAAGCACACUAACAAAUCAAUUCAUGCCUCAAACAAGGCAACCAAUAAAUUCAAAUAUGCAUUAUGACUACCAAAUUUCGACAUGCAUCAUUUUGCUUUUCCAAUCUCAAUAGAUGAGGUUUUAACCUCCUAACACAAUCACAUCUAUGUUCGCGGCUGCACCUAAUAACCUUAGGCUGCCUACGUACCCUCACUGAGGGAUCAAGACACACGUAGUUCUUCCUUAAACCCAAUUCCACACAUAGGCAAUACCUUUAUUCAUUUCUCUGUAUUUCACAUAAUCUCCUCAUACGCCUGUACUACCAACGCCACGUAUGGGGUCUGUCAACACACUGGGUAACCUACGCCACGUGCGACCUCACCAUAUUAUCACAUAAUCUCCCCAUACGCCUGUACUACCAACGCCACGUAUGGGGCCUAUCGACACGUUGGAUAACCUAUGCCACGUGCGACCUCAACAUAAUAUCACAUAAUCUCCCCAUACGUCAAUACAACCAACGCCACGUAUGGGGUCUGUCUCAACGCCGGAUAACCUACGCCACGCGAGACCUGAACAUCAUAUCACAAUAGCUUGCCAUACGCUGGUACAACCAACGCCACAUAUGGGAUCUGUCGACACGCCGGAUAACCUACCCCACGUACGACCUCAAUAUAAUAUCACAUAAUCUCCCCAUACGCCGGUACAACCAACGCCACGUAUGGGGUCUGUGUUAAAGCCGGAUAACCUACGCCACGCGAGACCUGAACAUCAUAUCACAAUAUCUCUCCAUACUCCAGUACAACCAACGCCACGUAUGGGGUAUGUGGACACGCCGGAUAACCUACGCCACGUGCGACCUCGAUAUAUUGUCAGGUAAUCUCCCCAUAUGCCGGUACUAUCAAUGCCACGUAUGGGACCUGUCCGCAAGCCGGAUAACCUACGCCACGUGGGACCUAACUUUCACAGGGUGGUACUUGUAGUGUAACCAAAAUCCGGAAAGGUGCCUAGGGUAGUGCGUAUAGCACUUCAAACUGACAUUCUAGACUCUUUAUACCUUUACAAACAUAUAUAAACAUAUAUAAUUUAAUUCUAAUUGUGUAAACCUCAACAAUAGUCUAGCACCCAAUAAUCCCCCUAGGAAGGUGAGACUACUCCGAAAGACUCACGGUCGACCAAGGGUCAAACUACCCUAACAUUGGUCAAACAGGCCCACGGGGCCCACGACCUCCAAAUUCUGAUCCGAAAGUUCCUAUGAGUUCUCCGAGUUAUAGGACACUCGUCCUGCAAGUUUAGUCCAGAUCGGACGAUCAGAUCGCUCACGAUCGCACGAUCUGACGGUUAAUAUAAAACAUAAACUUUAAAUUAAUAAAUCAAAACAUCCGGCACUCCGAUUCACGAUCCGUGAAUUCCUACACGAUCCUAGAAAUACCUAGAUUAACAUAUAUUAAAUUCAAGACCAUCCAACGGUCCCAACCUAUCGAACCCAGAUAACGCGCAAUAGGCGGUAUCCGUUCGAUAUUUCCCUUUAAUAAUUUAAAUAAGGGAUUUAAUUUGGAGUCGGGGUGUUACAAUCUACCCUCCUUAUAAAAAUUUCAUCCUCGAAAUUUCAUACCUGCUAGAAGAGGAAUCUGCCAGAACUGACUUUAGGAAGAAGUUCCUGAGUGUCACUCUGCCAAGAGAUCUGCCCCACGGAGGUGGGAAGCCUCCAAACUAUCAUUUGGGAGCAGAAGUCUAUCAUCGCAACUUCUGUGCAAGGCAACUUGGCUGCCCCAGCUUAUUCCACUAAAAUCAUACAGAAGCUGCAAUCGGGCCACUUCCUUGAGAGAUGCGGAUGAUCUGGAAGUGCACAAAGAUGCUAGAUGUGCAGUAAACAAGAUAAAUAACAGCGCAGAUGCCCUCUAUCCAGCCUGGGAACUGAACUCCUGCAGUUCUGCCGAUUUUGACGCUUGGUGGAAAUCCAGGUUUCAUGGUCUGCCAGCCUCCAUUGCUGCACUCAAGGUGAUUUUUGAGGGCUGGGACUCCUGGACUGUCUACGCGGAGGUGGAUGCCAAGAACUUCAUGGUGCAGACCAUCAAAGACAUUAAUGCCCAGGGUAUAGAAGGUAACUUUCAAUUCUGUCUGUCUUGCCUAUUCUGUCUCUUAGUGAUGAUGCCUAACAGUUUUGUUCUGUAUAUAUCAGACCCUUAUUUGACAGAAAACAUAGGUGGACAGUCUGUCCAAGCUGGAGAUGUGAUUGGUAAGUUUUUCACUAUUCUGUUCCUUUCAUUAUUUUCUUGCUUGAUUGACUUCUGACUUUGUCUAUUUCUUGUGUAGUCAUUGCUGUCAUUGCUGCUGGGACUUGGAGCUUCCCUCUGGAGAUGAAGAGGAUCUAGCUGCUGAGGCUAUUCCUUUUGGCAGAACAUCCAGCUGCUGAGGCCAUUCUUUCUAGCAGAAGGAAGAGAAAGGAAAUUUCUUCUGCCCAGCACAGUGCUGCUCAGCCUGCGACUUCAGGUAAGUUCUGACAGUUUGAGCUUUUCGUAAUUCUAUUUUGUCCUAUUCUGCCUUAUGUUCUAAUGGUUUAUUGUCUGCUUAUUGUAGCUGAAAGUUCCUCUCCUCCUCCUACUAAGUCAAAAAGACUUAAAAAGAGGACUGUGGUGGAAUAUAUGGCCAUGGAGGAGUCUGCAGCAGUUCCCACCAACACUUCUGGGACGGAUGAAGAGCUGAGAGAGGCCUUCAAGACAGUGGAAUAGGAGAAAGAGCUAGAAGAAACAGAAGAAGAACCUCAAGAAAAGGCAAAAGAAAUGGAAGAAAAUGUGAGUAUUGUUUUCUGGCUAUGUCAGCUUUUCUUUUGUUUCUUCAUUUCCUCUGUUCUGACUUCUGUCUAUGUAUAGAAGGAAAUCCCCGCUGAAGUGAUUGCAUAGAGCAUUGCUUUGGCGCAGAGGCAGCAGGAGAAUCAAAGGGCAGAGCUGACCAGCUCGGAGUUGGCCCUUUUUGAAGACGCAGAGGCAGAACACUCAACUGUUGUUCCAGCAGCUGAGGAGCAGGUGGAGCAGUCUGCAUCAGAGCCUGUGGAGCGAGCAGAACUACCUGUUGCAGUCCCAGCACCUGGAGUGGAAGUGGCUGCUGUUGUUCCCGAAGUUGUGGUAAUUUUUAUUCUACUUCUGUCCACCUGUUUCCUGCAAUUCUGUUCUGUCUGUGCUUCCUUAUCUAUUAGUCUUUUCAGGUAGAAGUGCCUAGGCCUGCUGGGGUUUUGGCAGUGGUGACCAGCCCCUUGAAGCCUCUCAUCGUUGCUGUAAGUGUUAAUGCAUUCCUGGGCUUUUUCUUUUCUGUCUCUGCCUAGUUCCUACUCUUGUUCUUUUCUGCAUAUGCCUAUCCAUUCCCUUCCAAGUUCAUCUGCCACAGCUUCCUAUGCUGAUUCGGAGCUGGCAGAAUUUGAGGCUCUGGAUCUGAACGCCCAGCUAGACAAGCUGAACCCUAAACCCUUGAGAAACUCAGCUCCACUCCUUGCAAGGCAAAGUCCAAGGCAGUGGAGGAGGCUAUGGAGAGACUGAAGAUCUGGCAAUCAACUGAUCUGGAGCUGGAUAAGGACAGGGAAGCUGUUGACCAAUUGAUGAAGGAUCUGGACCUUCUGCACAGACAGAACAUGGCCCCCAAACCCAUACUUGAGAUGAGCCUUGGCUUGGGAAGAGAUGUGCUCAACCUCCACGACCGUUACGAGGAUCUCAAGCCCACCUUCAAGACCUCUGAGUUCUGCAAAGCCACCCAUAAAGCCAACUUGGCUGACUAUGCAAAGCAGAAGGCAGAACUGGACCAGAUGGUUGCAGGAUACAAGGAAGCCAAAGCCACUAUAGACAAGUUGGAGAAGCAGAUUGAAGAGCUUCAAAAACAAUUGGCAGAGUGCAGAGAGGUGCAGAGCAGGCUCGGGGCUAGACUGAGCUCUAAGACCAAGGCCACCUUCCUUGUGUAGAAUAUGGUUUCAGCUUCUAGGCCAGCUUUGGAAAUUGCAGAGGCUUCAAUCCACCAGGGGUGCUACUUCAGAAGGAACUCUCCAUUAAAAAGGCCAACUUGCAAGAAACCCUUAGGAAAUUAGGGUUUUAGAUUCUAGUUUUUUUUUAAAGAAAUGUAAUAAAUAAUUUAGCCAUAAAAAGUGGCUAUAUUUAAAUAAAAGUUCAUUUAUUUUUGUGGGAAUUCCAAAUUCUUUCGACAAAAAGAAAAGAGAGAAAAAGUAAUUUAAAGCAUACUUAACAAAUUACAACGAAAAUGAAAGUGAUCAGAAAUUCAAACAACAGUUUUAUCUUGCUGUCUCUCUAUUCCGGGAUCUGUCUGUACCGCCUGUGAAUCCCACAUAGUUGGAUAGAACUUUUUUAACCAUUUGUCAUUAAUUGGUGCAGUAUGGACAUCUCCAUCUCGAUCAUGUAAUCUGUAUGCCCCCAUUCCAAGGAUCUGAUUAAUUAUGAAAGGACCUUCCCAUGUAGGUGACCAUUUUCCAUAACCAUCUAUAUGCGUUCCAAGGGGCAGAACUGCUUUCUAGACUAUUUCCCCCUCUUCAAAACUCUUGUUCUUGACUCUUUUGUUGUAAGCCCUUGAUACAGCUUCCUUUCCUGCUAAGAGUUUGUUGAGGGUAUCGAUCCUGCUUGUAUCCAAUCCUUCCAGUUCUAGCAUCAUAGCUUGAGAGUAGUCUUCUCCAACCAAACUGUGUUGAUGAGCAAUUCUGAGGGAUUGGACUGCUAUCUCCAUAGGCAGAAUUGCAUCGUGGCCAUAGGUGGUCAUGCCAGUUGCUUCUCUUCUUGAAGUUCUAUAUGCCCACAGAGUUUCUGACAACUUCUCAUGCUACUAUUUUGGAUUUUUCUCAAGCAUUUUUCUGAUAAUGUUGAUGAUCACCUUGUUACUUGAUUCUGCCUGCCCAUUAGCUUGGGCAUAAUAAGGGGUGGAUUGAAGCAGUUUGAAUUUAAAUGCUCCUGCCAUUUCCAACAUUUCUCCAGAUAUGAAAGAAGAUCCCCUAUCAGUUGUGAUUGAUUCUGGAAUGCCAAACCUUUGUAUAAUCUGCUCUUCUAUGAAAGUGAUGAUUUCUUGAGAUGCUGUGGACUUAACAGGCUUGGCUUCCACCCAUUUGGUAAAAUAAUCUGUAGCUACAAUAAUAAAACAGUGUUGUUUGCUACUGGCUGGAUAAAUCUUACCAAUGAGAUCCAUUGCCCAUCCUCUGAAAGGCCAUAGUUUUACUACUAGAUUCAUGGGAACUGAAAGAGCCUGCUGGAUUAGCCGAGCCAUUUCCUUUUAUGCUACCGAUUUCUUUUAUGCUACUGAGCCGGGCAAAACCAAUAAAAUAAAGAAAGGCAACGAAUUUAUUAACCGAGUAUAAAGGAGAGAGAGGGAUUCGAACCCUCGAUAGUUCUUUGUUUCGAACUAUACCGGUUUUCAAGACCGGAGCUAUCAACAACUCGGCCAUCUCUCCGAAAUAAAAUUUAUAUUUUAUUCCACCUAAUAGAACAUGGACAUAUGAGUUGAUACGAUUACUAUCUAUAGAAAGAUAUCAGGUGUGAGUCUAUAGGUCUAUCUAUCUGUAUAUAUAUAUAUAAUAUAGAUGCAUGAUCCAGCAAGCAUGCCCCUGAAGUUGACUUACGCUCAAAUGUAGAAGAAUCAGCCAUGGCAAAUAGGUAGCUGAAUUGCAGCGGAAUAGAUGAGCAACGGUGUCACUCCCCCUCAUAUCCAACGAUGUAUAAGAGUCGAGAUUUGGAGAAAGCAAUACCGAAAAAUAAAGUUGCAGAACUCAAAUAAAGUUGCAUCUAUCUCCCCAUCAAAUCCGACACUGGUAAAGGGUCGAGAUUUGAAAGAGGAGAAAUUGAAAUAAUAGUAAAGAGACUCAAACAUGCAGUCUCAUGGCAGAAACAAAUGCAAGAGGGGAAGAUGGUAGCAUACGGUUGUCCCAUGAAGAAAAAACUUUAGAAAAGGAGAAUAGUAAGGGAGGAAACCCAGCAAAUCAUGAACAGAGACAAAGACAAAGAUAAGGUACUCAAACUGAGAAGCGGAAAGGCAACUCAAGAGAGCAACCGAAGAAGACAGAGGCCCGCAGAACAGUCAAAGGAAAGGCUCGGCGAGUGGUGACGAUGCUCGCGGAGGAAAGCAACGGCUCGGUGAGCAGUGACGAGGCUCACGGAGUAAAGAGACUUGUUAUGAAGUUUCAAAGAUAGAGAAGCUGAGACAUCAAGAAAGACCAUCUGGCAUACAAAGAUGAAAAAUAAAAUUUUUGGAACAGUAGCAAAGAAGCAUGUGAAGGCUAGGUGCGGUGAAAACACAUAUGAAAGGAUGAACAAAAGAAGAUGACUAUACAAGAUGAAGACCCAUGAUGGGUUAGAAAUGAGGAGUGCCAACGACUCUCAAUUUGGCAGAGGCUAUCACAGGUUAGGAACCUGGCUCUGAUACCAUGUCAAACAAAGUAGGGUAAAUAUUCAGUUAUGCUCAGAUAUGCUCAUAUUAUUAUUCUUCUCCAAUAUGGAGAUAUUUAUACAAGUACAAAGAUGUGUUAACCCUAAAUAAAAUAGAAAAUAUAUCUAAAUUACAAUUGGAAGUAAAUCUCUAUUACAAUAUGAGUAAAUAAUAAUUGAUAAGUAACCAAAAUUCUAAUGAAAUAAGGAACUAAAAUCCUAAGUAAGUAAGGACUCGCCAACGAAUAAUAGUACAACUCUUAUUAGCAACAGGUUACAAACUUCUUCUACAACACACCAACAUGAAUCUAGCCCUGAUCAAUUCUUUUACAUACUUGAAAACAAAACAAAACACGAAAAACAAAAAACAAGAAACAAGAUAGGGAGAAAAUGGCUACGGAGAGACUUACCGCUAAUACUUGAUCAAUAACAGAGAUAAUAGAGCACACUGUUUGUAUGACAAUGAGUAUCAGAAGAAUAAUAGCUGCAAAGAGAGAAAUAGCUGCCCAAGGUGUGUUGAAAUACUUUUGUCUCAAAUUUGCCUUCCGUCUGUUCGUGGUCUUCUUGCAGUACUCGUUUAGUUUGCCAGCAAGAUCACCAAAAUAGUAGUUUCCGUGGUUCGGAGCAACUUUACUGCAAAGCUUGUUAAUCAUAAUGGAAACCUUAUUGUUGUCACCUAGCGUGUUUACAACAAUUCCAUUGUCAACAAGCAACUCUACAUCCUUUGGGGUGUUUACAAAUUUAUCCAGGAUGAAAACAUAAUCGCUUAUGUAUUUAUCCACGCAAUUGCCUUGUUCAAAGGCAAUGAGAUUUCUAUGUGUAAGCUGUGUAAUCAUGUAUUUCAAUUUUUGGAAUUUCCAAGGUGUUUUUCUUGAACUGUAUAUCGAAUAAGUUCUUGCUUGAUCCCACGUUAAACUUAACUCCGGCCUGGUGUAGUUUUGUCAUGCUGGGUGUACUUUGGAGCCCUCCAUUUUUUUUUCUUUUGGCAGAUGUAAAGUUCUAAUAAAAUCAACAAAAUGUAAAGGUUUUUUAGGAUCAGGAGGCAUAAAAGACUUACGGAAGGCUGGUGAGUUCUCCAAGUUUUCUAAACGCAGUGCCUGUUGGAAGAACUUGUAAGAGAGUUCAAUUAUUGAAGGCUCCCCAGUCUGAGCACCUGUGAGAUUGUAAAGAUCCUUGAGAAUGAAAAAUGGCAGCUGAUUUACGAGCAUAAGCAUGUCAGGCAAUAUAUUUUGUAGCACCCAUGGUUUUUUAAAUAUCCAAGCAUUAUCAUCCUGCAAUUUUUCUUCCUGAAAUUUUUCUUCGGAUUUAUUCCUCAACAAUAGCUCAAUGACAAAGGCGGCAUCAACUAGACUGAUAUUCACAAAAGCAGCAAUGUUAAACUUCUUAGGGCUAGUUUGGCGUUGCUGUGUUUUAAAAAAAAAUAUGCUUCUGCUGUGCUGUGAAAAUAAUCAGCUGUGAAAAAAAGCUACUAAGCGUUUGGUAAACUGUUUUUGAAAAACUGUUGUGAGUAGUCAAAGUGUUUGGUAAAUUUUUAUCAGAAGUGUUUUUAGUGUGUAUAAUGACCAAAAAGGACAUGAUGAUGAAAUUGUUUGUUAUUUUCUUCAUUCUUUUUCUACUUUUUUUUUUAAAAAAAAAACCCAAUUUCACUACAUAAAUUUUUAUUCUUUUUUAAUUCACACCUUUUUAUCAAAAAAUUUAAUCUACAAUUAACAUACAUAUUUUACCAUAAAUUAUAAAUUACUAUUAUAACAAAAGUAAUUCUAAAUAUUGUUAUAUUAAUAUGGGCUUCGGACAUGACAAAAAUACAAAAAUUGUUCAAUUUUAAAAUGCCCCAAUAGAUCACUACAAUAUAAAAGAAGCUAAUUAGAUGCAUUCAUUAAACUUGUAGCGAUGCUAUUUCUUAAUGCAUUCAUUAGCUUCUUUUUUUGGUUUCCAAUGGUUCUCUAACAAUUUUAACUAAAAAAACAACCAUAAUGCUUUGUGAACAAUAAAUUCAAGUCCAAAUCUACUAAUGCCCACACCAUACAUAUAUACAUAAUUGUUUCUUUCAUAAAACUUGAAGAUUCAAUAGUAAUUACACAGUUUACCAAUCUUGAUUCCAACUAUAUCCAUAAAAUUAAACUAUAAUUAGAAACAGAGGAGCUACAUGUGAUUACUUAUAAAUGUUGCCCACUCUCAUCAUCAUCUUCUUCCUCCUCUGUACUUUGCCUUUCACAAAUGGACAAGACCAGAUGGUAACGUACACGACAUGGUCCACAUAUAGAUAAAUUUUGGGUUCACUGGAGAACAUAAAAGAGUUUUUACACGAAUACAAAGUUAGUUAAGUAGUGAAUAAGGUAAAACUAUUCUGUACAAUUCUAGCUGAUGCAGUCCAAAAAGAAUAUAUGUCUAAUAACUUAAAUAACAAUAAAGAGAAACAAAAACCUCAUGAAAAAUGCUAGAGUAAAAGUUACAUAACUGAAUCGAUGGACAGAGAACUCCACAGGCAGAGAAACAGCAACAAAAAUUGUCAAAACAGUAGCAAGACCAUGUUGGAGUCAAGGCCAAAGAUCAUAUUUCCUGUGUAUCUUCUUCCAUUCUGAAUUAUUCUCGUAUUCAAAUACUGUAACUCUAUUUCAAGUGCACCCCAAAAUACUUAUCUAAGGCCAGUACAUAGGACUUCAUAAAGGGUGCCAUAAAAAAUAUUGCCCCUUAAUUGAUAAACAGAACCAAGAUCCCAAUGGCACACCAAAACUAUACCAACCACACCUACAUAAUAUGGACAGAAAAUCCUGUUGUUCUGACCUCUAACCACACCAAUGACAUUCAUUAGGAAAAUACAAAAGAUGGGUACCCUGCAUUUCUAACAUUUAAGAUAAAAUUCACUGCCAGCUAAUCACAAAUUUGAAAAGAUGGCAAGAAAAUUGGCUAUGCUUUAACAAAAACCAGAGCAGUCCUUGCAUAGACCUGACUUUUUGCUCCAAGCUUUAGCAGAUCACUUACUGGUAGAGAGCAGAGAACAUGUAUGUGAAUAUCUGAAGUUGGAAGGGUAAGCCAUCACAAACACCAAGAGAUCUGAUUCUCAUCUCUUGUUACAACAACAAAUCACAAACACCAAUACAUCUGAUUCAGAAUCUCAUAAACAAUGGAGGAACAAACACAUAUUCACACACAUAUAAAUCCCUAAACCGAAAAAAAAAAAAAAAAAAAAAAAAAAAAAAAAAAAAAAAAACAUGAAAGUAAUAGGAGAAUCAAAUUGAUUUGGGCCAAAAUUGCCUAAAAAGAAAACACUCCUAAAUAAACUUCAAUUCACUUUUAAAAACAGUAAAACGUGAUUGAAUCGUUCUUUAAAACAAUUCCCUAAUAUACAUGCAUGAUAAUGACAUCAUUUACCCCUAAAUCAAAUGCCUUUCACUGGUUAAGCCACAAGUCUGUGUUUUGGGGAUUGCUGAGCUGCAUCAAUCCUGCCAAUGUCAAUUCUGCCCCUAGGCUCUCUCAAAGUGCAUUUACAACCUAUGCUAACAUAUACUAGAGUUUGUGCUAGUAUCUAGAAAAUGCCAACACUAAUUUCGUAACACGUAGAAAUUGUUACAUAUUGGAAGUUUUUAUCAUUUUUUCUUCCAGUCUCUCCACCACUCACUAAUACAGAUUACUCAUGUGAUGAGUUUACAAAACCUAUUUCUCUACUCCCACAAAGACCAUACUUUUUCUCAAAAGACUAUAUCACUUUAUCUCUAUCUUUGUGAAAUGUAAAAAGUUGAAACUUUAAUGUCAAAUCUCGACAAAAGAUGAACUUCCAUCAAUUACAUUGAAUUUGAAUUUGUUGAACUUAAGUGGUUUUACUUUCUCUGUCAGCGUUUGAUGACUUGAUUUGUUAUUUACUUCUUCUUUUUUCCUUGGAAAUGUGUUCCAUCAACGUGAGGAAGAAAAAUAUGCACAAAUUAAUAUAUUUAAUAGAAGCACAAAUUAAUAUUUACAAAAAUAUGCACAAAUCAAGUAAAAUUAAUAAAGCAUAAAUUGGAAAGGGAAAAUAUGUAGAGGAUGCAUUGUAGGAUUGCUCAUGCCAAUAAUUGUACCCUCUAAAUAUAUAGGGACAUAAUUUUUUUUGUUUUCAUGACAUGUGGUCCUCAAAUUAUUGUUCUUAGCGGACUCUCCACCCCUCUCGAUUGAAAGCCUAUUGUGUAAAUCUUCAAUCCUGAAUGAUCCACCUAAAACUCAUGUUGCAAUACACAUCCACCCAUUCUCAGGCCAAUUAUUACUCCUAGUGGGCUCUCCACCCCCUCUCAAAUUUAAGUGGUCCAUUAUUAUUAACCAUAUAUUUUAUGGACCAGCUAGCUGUGAGGUUUUAUCUCAAAAACCUUUCUCUCACAUGCCACAAUUUAUGUCUGAUACAUCACAUCAUGCCAGUUGUCUCAAAUGAAUUUAAGUGAGUGAGGCAGUGUUACUUCUGGGUACCCCUCAUCGUUCGUGUAUAAAAUGGUGAAGCCAGUUGCUACUGUUACCAUAAGAGCCAGCUCCGACUUUCAAAAUAAAAAUUCCAACAAUGAUCUUAGUGCCUUCAAACGCAUGAGUUACUGAACAUGCAAAUAAAUACACUAUGAAUAAUAAAAGUGUUUGAUAAAUCACCAAAUUAUGGAACACUUGAUGAUUUAUCUCAAAUAAAAAUUCCAAGGCUUAUUUUAUAGAAUUUUUCUUUAUUACAAGAAAGAAAACAUGUUGAAAACCAAAUCUCCAAUUUCCAAGGCUUGACAGAAAAUCAAAAAAAUAUCUUUCCUAUUCUAGAGAUUGGUCACAUGUAGUUCAGAAAAUCAAAAAAAUAUCUUUCCUAUUCUAGAGAUUGGUCACAUGUAGUUCAACCAAUAGGAAAUGAGAUAUUUAAGAAAGCAAGAUUUUGAUCAAUAUCAAUAUCAAAUGAAUUCUUAUACGCCUAGUCAACUAUUAAGGGUAUCUUGACUCUUUGAUAUUGUGAUAUGAUUGAAACAUGAUUUCCAUGUUAGAAAAUUAAGGGGAUGUUAAAACAUGAAAGUAAUAGGAGAAUCAAAUUGAUUUGGACUAAAAUUGCCUAAAAAGAAAACACUCCUAAAUAAACUUCAAUUCACUUUUAAAAAUCGUAAAACAUGAUUGAAUCGUUUUUUUAAAACAAUUCCCUAAUAUACAUGCAUGAUAAUGACAUCACUUACCCCUAAAUCAAAUUGUCACGCCCCGGACCUGGGGGUCAGUGGAAAUCCCGCGCCCGGUGCGUGAGAAAAUAAAAAGUAAAAUAAAAUAAAAAGAAAGCCGAAACAAGGGUUUAAAAUAAACUUCUCUUAUAAAAAUAACUCUAAAAUCUUAUAACUUUACAAGAAAUAAAUAAAGCUCUAUCAUUCUUAUCUAAUUCAGACUCAACUGGUUUAGUCCUUGUCUUGCCCACUAAUUCAUCUGAAAAAUUAAGAGUGUUGCUAAACGAACCCUAAAAUUAAUUGAGUACACCAUACUACCAAACAAUUUAUUGAAUUUGUCAAGGUUUUGUUUCUGGGAACUCACGAGCAACUUUCCAGUGGGUUACCCAUCCUAGGAUUGCUCUAGCCCACAACUCGCUUAACUUCGGAGUUCCUACGACUCCGAAGCCAGUGAGCUCCCAAAAGGCCUCGUGCUAGAUGGAUGCGGGUGUGCACAUAUAAGGCACAUCACCACCUCUCCGUUGAUUGAUGUGGGAUCUUACAAAAUUACUAAUUUAUUCUAAUAUAAAAUGAUCAAAAAAGAUAAAAUAAUAUUGGUAUCUAUUGCUUUGAAUCCAUGCCUUCAAACAAAUUGACUUAAUUUUUAACAAACAACACGGAGUCCAGGAGAAGUGUAUUGAUCCAAGUUGAUUUUUGUAUGCAUAAAACUUAAACAAUCAAUAACACAAAGCAGUUCAUGCUGAAAUAUUGGAAACCCACACCCAAAGAGUUCUCCGCUGCGAGGUUGAAGGCAGGAGAGAUGGGUGACAGAUUUUACUUCCACUGCGAAGUUGGAGGCUAGGAGAGUCUGUGACUGCCAUGGUUGAGGGAGAAGAUGCGUUCAAAAUGCCUAUUGAUAUUUUACAUUAUUUUCUAUACAAGUUAACAGUGUUUGUGUAUUGUUAAAGGUGGAGAGACGUGUCAAAAUUUUAGACAAAGGACAGGAGGAGAUAGGGAAUUUGGGGACAGCAGAUCUCAACUCCCUUGAGACCCUAUUCUCUACGCCACCCCUCCCCCUCAACAACCCUAGUCACCAUUUCUCCUUCAACUCCAACGGCAACUCAUUAAAACCCAAUUCUCAAAUGCAACAAUCUAAUCCCAAUCCCAAUUCAGAUGUUUCUAAAAAACCAAUGGUUGUCGUGGUGGAGAACUGCAAUUCCAGGUGGUGGUGGUACCACAUGGGAGAGAGAAAAAAGAAGAAGAAGAAGCAGCAGAGAGAGAGUUUUUUAUUAUAUUAUUAUUUUACUGUAAUUUUUUAAUUUAAAAAAUUAAAAAAAUUAAAAAUUAAAGAGGAUGUACCAUGGGUAUUUUUGGUAGUUAAAUAGGGUGUACUUAGUUAAUUUUCAAUUUAAUUUAAACAUUAGAGUGUACUCAGUUAAUUUUAGGGUUCAUUUAGCAGCACUCAAAAUUAAACAAGGUAAGGGAUGAGCAAGUAGGGACAUGAGACCUUGCCACAGUAGAUUGAUAUAACUAAAUAUUAUCAUAAACAUCGAAAUAUAUAAAUAUUAUUAUGAUAGGAUUCAUAAUAAUUAAUAUAAAAGUAUAACAACAAGAUUUACAUUUAUGUACCAAGAUAAUUACACAUAUAAAUAUAACCAAUAUAUAUUUUUAUAUAUUUUAAAAUACAAGUCUUUACGUAAAUGCCCUUCACGGGUCAAGCCACAAGUCUGUGUUUUGGGGAUUGCUUAGCUGCAUCAAUCCUGCCAAUGUCAAUUUUGCCCCUGGGCUCUCUCAAAGUACGUUUAAAACCUAUGCUAACAUAUACUAGAGUUUAUGCUGUAUCUAGAAAAUGCCAACACUAAUUUCGUAACACGUAGAAAUUGUUAGAGAUUGGAAGUUUUUAUCAUUUUUUCUUCCAGUCUCUCCACCACUUAUUAAUACAGAUUACUCAUGUGAUGAGUUUACAAAACCUAUUUCUCUACUCUAGCAAAGACUAUACUUCUUCUCAAAAGACUAGAUCACUUUACCUCUAUCUCUGUGAAAUGUAAAAAGUUGAAACUUUAAUGUCAAACCUCGACAAAGUGUUCUACUUUACAAACUUCUUGUGUCUACCAAUUUCUACUAAAAUUAAUUUCUCUACGGUGCUCAGAUUCAUCAUAUGUGUGUCCUUAAUUUUAGUGGAAAUUGGAAGUUUCCAUAAUUUUUGCUUUAAGUCACUCUUCUGAAGGAAGUUGAGGUUCCACUCCAUAAUCCAAAAUGUCAGGUUGACUUAUGGCAAACAAUGUAAAUAUGUAGGAGUACUAUGACCUUUUAUAGCAUUUUUAGUUUGAAUUUGGGUUUUAUACAUAGAUUUCGAAAUUAAUAGGUUGAUGCCUAGGAAAUAGAAAUUGUAAGGGCCUAUAUUAGACUAGCCCUCUUAAAAAAUAUAUUAAUUAAUGAAUAUUUGUUCUUCUUGUUGUUUUGAAGUAGUGGUGGGAGGCAUACCAACAAAAAAAAAAAUAUAGUGAAGGCUUAUAAGAGCAUUUACAAUCAUGCUCCCUAUUUUUUAGUUAAAAUUUAGCUAAAAAUAGAAAAAAGUUAUUAUAGGAGCUCUUUAUAAAAUUUGAACUCCAAUCAUACUCCCUAGUUUAGGGAGUCAAAAAUACUAUAGUUAUUUUUUAAUUCAAUUUGAUUUUGGUUAAUCUCUAUAAAUAAAUAAAAAUAUGAAAAAAUAGUUAACAUUAAUUAAAAGUUUAAACUAUGCAUAAAACAAAGAAACAUUAAAUUAUAGGGAGCCACUAUGAGUCGUUACUCUCUCCUCAGAUUUAGGAGCUCCUAGAGGUCUCCCUAUUUUAUGAGGUGGAUAAGGAGCAUGGUUGGAGUUGUAUUUCUUCAAUUUCCUCCCUAAAAUUUGUCUAAGGAUGUGGUUUAGGGAACCCAUUGUGAAUGCUCUAACUCUGGUAAAACACGAGUGACAUGGACAACAUAUGUUACGUCGUACAGAAGAUUUUUGGGUUUCUUUAAUUGGUUAAGUAGCAUCCACAAUGAGCUUCCUAAAUCAUCUCCUUAGACAAAUUUUAGGGAGGAAUUGGAAAAGUACAAUUCCAACUAUGCUCCCUAUCCACCAACUAAAAUAGGGAGACCUCUAAGAGCUCCUAAAUCUGAUGAGAGGGAAAGGACUCUUAAUGACUCCUUAUAAUUUAAUGUUGCUUUACUUUAUGCAUAUUUUGAACUUUUAAUUAAAUCAAAUUAUUAUUUUUAUAUUAUUUUGUAUACAGACGGGUUAAUUAUAUUAAAUUAAAAAAUAAUUAAAAUAUUAAUGACUCUCUAAACUAGGAAGCAUAAUUGUAGAUCAUCUUAUAUACCUUAAUUUGAAGAUUCUUUAUUUGGGUUUCUUUCAAGACUUAUCACCUUAGCCACACCACCUACACGUCUGCAAGCUUCCGUAAUCUAACAAGGAAGGGGAGGCUGCGCAAUACUUAUCACCUUAGCCACACCACCUACACCACAAGACCAAUAUGUGUAGUCCAGCAGGCUUUCCAAUUUUAAUAUAUAUUAUAAAAUAAAAUAAAAAUCAAUCUAUUAUCAUAUAUAUUAUAAAAUAAAGAUUAUUGCUCCAUCCUCCAUGCACUUGCAUGCCCUCUUACAAAGUGUGAAGUAGAUUUUGUGUGCUCCAAGUCAUUGACGAGAGCUGUAACAUGGUUAGCUGGAUUUAUAAGAUCUUUUCUUUUCUGGGAAUUUUCUGAAUUAAGAAAAAUCAAGUAAAAUUAAUAAAGCAUAAAUUAGAAAGGGAAAAUAUCUAGAGGAUGCAUUGUAGGAUUGCACAUGCCAAUAAUUGUAUCCUCUAAAUAUAUAGCGACACAUUUUUUUUGUUUUCAUGACUUGUGGUCCUAAAAUUAUUGUUCCUAGCGGGCUUUUCACCCUCUCUCGAUUGAAAAUCAAUUGUGUAAAUCUUCAAUCUUGAAUGAUGCACCUAAAACUCAAGUGUCCCAGGCCAAUUAUUGCUCUCAUACCACUUGUUGUAAUAAACAUUCACCCAUUCUAAAGGAAAGAUAACCAUCGAUAUUAUCUGAAAUUUAACCACUUAAGUUCAUUAUGAUUAACUAUGUAUCUUAUGGACCAAUCCAAUCGUAAGGUUUUAUACUCAAUUAGAUCGACCAAUACAAAGUUCACACUGGAUUAAAAAGGGCUAUCGGUAGGGGAGUGUUCGGCACCCUUUACUGUGGAGCGCAACACAAGACCCCUUGCAUGCCCUCACUAAGUUGAGCCCAACUAUUUUUGAGCAUUAACAAUAUAUAUAGAUUGAAAAAAUAAAAUAAAAAUCAAUCUAUUAUCAUAUAUAUUAUAAAAUACAUAUUAUUGCUCCAUCCUCCAUACACUUGCAUGCCCUCUUACAAAGUGUGAAGUAGAUUUUUUGUGCUCCAACUCAUUGACUAGGGCUGAAACAUGGUUAGUUGGAUUUAUAAGAUCUUUUGUUUUUUGGGAAUUUUCUGAAGCACGGAAAAUCAAAUAAAAUUAAUAAAGCAGAAACUGUACCCUUUAAUUAUAUAUGGACAUAUGUUUUUUUGUUUUCAAGUCUUAGAUGACAUGGGGACCCCUCUCAAAUUUAAGUGGUCCAUUAUUGUUAACCACAUAUUUUAUGGACCAUCCAGCUUCGGUACAUUUCUCCCACAUGCCACAAUUGUAUAUUCACAAUUACGUCUGAUACAUCACAUCAUGCCACUUGCCUCACAUGCCACAAUUGUAUAUUCACAAUUACUUCUGGGUACCCCUCAUCAGUCGUCUAUAAAAUGGUGAAGCCAGUUGCUACUGUUACCAUAAGAGCCAGCUCCGACUUUCUUUAAUUUCUUGCUACAUCUGUUGCUAAGUUAAUUUCAGUCCUAAUGGGGUUUCAUCUCCCACUCAUCUUUGCUAUUCUCAGUGUAAGCUCUGCAAUUUGAUUAACUUUUCCAUUCUCUCUCAUUGUACUCUAUAUAUAUAAAUGAAAGUUUUGUGUUCCUAUAAUUCUCUCCGAUUUUAUUUAGUACGUACUUAAGUGUCGUCCACUAAUUAAUUACACUUUGUGAGAUUUGAUUUUAAUUAGAGUUCGAAUUAAUGUUGCAGCUAGCAGCGGUUGCACUGGCAAACAAUGCUGCUCAACCAGCACCUCAACUUUACUGGAACUCCGUCCUGCCAAACACACAGAUGCCAAGAUCUAUCAGUGAACUUCUGCAUCCUGGUUUGUGUUCAGCUCUUUAUAAUCUUAGAUAUCUCUUCUACCUGCCAUUUUACUAAACUAUGUUCGACCACAUAUUUAUCAGUUAACUACUGUCAUUACAAGAAUGACACUUAUUUUCCAAUAUAAUUUGCAGACUCCACAAAUGAAGAAAAGAGCAAACCUGAAAUUUUCCCAUUGCAGGGCAAUAGAGUUUACACUCAAAGCCAUUAUAAAAAACGUCCUCCUCCUCCAUCUGACGAGGGCAAACCUGAAAAUUUCCCAUUGCAGGGCAAUAGAGUUUACACUCAAAGCCAUUAUAAAAAACGUCCUCCUCCUCCAUCUGACGAGGGCAAACCUGAAAAUUUCCCAUUGGCCAAUAGCUUUUACACUCAAACCCAUUAUAAAAAACGUCCUCCUCCUCCAUCUGACGAGGGCAAACCUGAAAAUUUCCCAUUGGCCAAUAGCUUUUACACUCAAAGCCAUUAUAAAAAACGUCCUCCUCCUCCAUCUGACGAGGGCAAACCUGAAAAUUUCCCAUUGGGCAAUAGCCAUUACACUCAAAGCCAUUAUAAAAAACGUCCUCCUCCUCCAUCUGACGAGGGCAAACCUGAAAAUAUCCCAUUGGCACGUUCAGGUUACCAACGAAAAAAUUAUGGAGCAAGUCCUCCUCCAUCUGACAGUCAACUAAAGCAUUAUAAAGACUUAGCUAUUUUCUUCUUCGAGAAGGACAUGCGCCCGGGCACAACUAUGAAGUUCCAAUUCCCUAGAAAUUCAAACACGGCUACUUUCCUGCCACGCGAAAGUGCUCAAUCGAUCCCCUUCUCCUCUAAGAAACUACCAGAAAUUUUCAACCAUUUUUCAGUGAAGCCAACAUCUGAGGAAGCCAAAACAAUUAAGCAAACAAUCGAAGAGUGUGAAGCUCCAGGCCUUAAGGGAGAGGAAAAAUAUUGCGCCACAUCUUUAGAAUCAAUGGUUGAUUUUAGCACUUCGAAGCUUGGAACAAGAAACGUUGAAGCAAUCUCAACGCAGGUAUUGGAAGAAGGAGCCACCAAGUACAUGCACAACUAUACAACAAUCCCGGGACUGAAGAAGUUGGUAGGUGACAAAGUCGUUGUGUGUCAUAAGGAGAACUAUCCCUAUGCUGUGUUUCUCUGCCAUGCAAUAAAACAAACAGAAGCUUAUGUUCUCUCCCUGAAAGCCGAUGAUGGGAUGAAGGUGAAAGCAGUAACCAUCUGCCAUCUAGACACAUCAGAAUGGGACCCAGAGCAUUUGUCCUUCCAAAUCCUCAACGUUAAGCCCGGAACCACUCCCAUCUGCCAUUUCCUUUCCACUGAUGCUAUUGCCUGGGUUCCAAAACACAAAUCUGCAUGAUCAUCACUUAGCACUGUACGUAUAAUAAGCUUGGUCGGGUUGCACCCUAGGCCUGCAUAAUUAUCUCCCUACUUAUUUCUGCCUCUUCAUCAUGCGGUGUAAGAUAUAUGAUGAGAUGAAGUUUUCUCUUGUAACUAUGUAGACUACUUCAACUUGUACUCAUAAUAAAGCACGCUGUUGGGGGGUUCUACUUAAUUUCGUUCUCUCCAAUGUUUGAGUGUUGAAUUGUUACGUUGGAAUAGGCUGCUAAUGCAUGUAGUUAGAGAAGCCUUCAUUUAUAUCAAAGUCCUCAAACUAUCAAGAAUUAAUGUAUCCAGAAACAUAUACCAAGACGCAAAACAACAUAUUUUCCAUUCUCUGUCUGUAACACCAAGGCAAACUUCCUUUAUCACAUCAUUUAAAGGAUCAAAUUCCAGUACUAAUCUAAUCCAUCAUGUAAAGCAUACAAGUGCCUACCUAAAUUUGUCCAUUGGAUAUAUAUGUCACUUUUUAUUUUUUGAUAGAGAUAUAAAUGUUGAGAAAAUUAGAGUACACAACUCCAAUAUAGACUUGUUGGAGACAAAACAAGUAAACAAAUUACUUGUAUUAGACUCACAAAAUAUUACAACAAGACAACUCUCAAAGAAAAGACAAACUCUCACACUUCUCACAAGGACUACUUAACUUUAUAGCUUAUUGCAUAUAGCAUAUGCAAACACAAUUAGAACAUACCUACGUACACUAUGGGAACACUCGUGUAUAUUUGAACACAAGAAAACAUGUGCGCACCGUGCACGGUUCACAUGAAGUAAGAAAUGAAGAGGAAAUAAAGAAGAAGAAUACAAAAGAAAAUGGAGAUGAGAAAAAAAAAACACGAAUAAUGAAAAAUGAAUUGACAAUUAUAUAUGGUUGACAUUAGAUCUAAUAUUAUAUGUAAUAACUAAUGAUCUAAAAUAAACAUUAAAUCAAACAAUAAUUAAAAGAUUUGACAAUAUAAAAAUUUACACGUCAGCAAACUCACCAUGGUAAGUUUGCUGACGUGUAAAAAUUGUGAAUGGACUACAUCGAAAAAUAAUUGGCUUACAUCAAAAAUUAAAAUCACGUGGGUUAUUCCUAAGAAACCUUAAUAUUUUUAGGUUUAUAUAUUUUUUGUAUUUAAAAAAAAAAAAAAAAAGAGAAAUCUGACCAUGUAUGUAUGAUGAUGAUAUGCAUGUUAUUUUUAGACCUAAGGUAAAACAGACAAACUUUUUACUCCAUUUUUCAUGAGGUUUAUCACAAUAAUUAAACUGUUAUAUCCUCCAUUUUAGAUCUCAUGCUUCCAUUUAAAGAAAAGAAUAUCAACAACAAAAAAAGAAUAAAGUUACAACAUUGAUCAAUUCAAAUGUCCAACUACCGGAUCAUGAGCCCUUGCACUUAGCGAUAUGCAGAUAAAUGCGUAGUGUCUUAAUGCAGAAGCUCGGGAUCCCCAAUUACCAUUGAAACAUAAGAAACUAAAAUCUGCAAGAAAAUGCUAUCAAUUGAAAAAACAAUAAUUAAAAAACAAAAAAAGGAAGGGAAUUCGCACCCGCUAUGCAAAAAAGAGCAAGUCGGUUCAAUGAUUUUUUUCUUCUUCUUUUUGUUAUGGAAAUGAAAAGCUCAAUGAUGGGCUAUAUAUAGGAAGAAGCUCAAUGAUUGAAUUAUUAUCUUCUAUCUACAUUCUACCCUCUUCCUCGCUACAUACACAAAUGGUGCACACCAGUAACUAAGCUUGUUUUGGGUUUGGUGGCCCACUGUAAAAGCUCAAUGGAGAUGGUUUGAGGUAGAAUUUUCUCCUAUUUCAAUAGGACAAUGAUGAGAUCUAUGUAACAACAAAUUUCUUUAAUAAUGAUAACUAAAAAAAGUGUGAUUCAUUGAAUAUUUGCGGGGUUUUGUUCUAAGUCAACACCUCAAAUUCCUUUUACACCAUCAAAUUCAAAAAGUUUUAUUCAACCAUCUCGACCUUAUGCUAAAAAUUUAUUUUGUUCAUACUUAACGUACUAGGUAUUUAUUUUAUACCAACGAGUACGAUGGUCCAUAUAAGUAUUCUAAUCAUUCACUCCAGUUGCAGGCCCCAAUAAUUUAGAAGGGCCGAAGGUCUUUCUUUUUUUCUUUUUUCUUUUUUGAGAAAUUCUAUGAUUGCAUUCAUAAUUCAGGCAAAAAAGUCACUAGCCACAAAAGGGCCAGUACAACAACGGAGCGGUCUAAUAUCAAAAUUAAGACAAUCUAGUGUGUCUCCACUAACGAUCAGGCGAGCCGAUGGUCUUUCAUUGGAUGAAAGCUUCUAUCUACCGACCCCACUAUAUGAACUAUGCAAUGGUGAUGAUGUUACAUUGCAAAAAAUAAAAAGUCAAGGUUUCUUAUUAAUGUUAAUGAAGGCAUAGCAAAAAAUUUAUAGCUCCAAUGGUUCAAAGCAGUUACCCAUGCACUUGAGAUUCUGUGUUUGAAUGCCCUCUCCCCUAAUAUUGCUUGUAUAAAAAUAAAAACUUCUAAAAAGACAUUAAUAUUGUAUUCUAUAUUCUAUAAAGUGUUGGACAUGUCUUAUAUUGUUGACAACCCCCUAACACUUUGGUGGUGCCUAGUUAUAUUCAAUUCGUAUGUAUUUAAUUUGCCACUUACAUUCUUUCCUUAAUACAUUUAGGCUUAUUUUUAUACUAAUUUCUCUAACAUAACUUUUGCACAUUCUUUUAGUCUCUAAUAUAUAUAUUUUCUAAUAAAUAAUCAAGAUCUAAUAAAUAAUCUUACUCACUUGAGUUAUAAACUAUUUUCUUUUAGCACAGAAAAUCGACAUUUUGACAGAGAGUUGAAAACGACUCCCCAAUUUUAAUGUCAACCACUUGAAAAAAAAAACAUAAAUUUAAUGAAAACAAUUACAUUUAGCAAUGCAACCUAAAAACUCAACCUUUGCGCCCCUUUCACAACGUAGAUAGCAAGGUGAGGAUAUUCGGAUAAGAACCAAGACAGAAGCCAAAGGAACUGCGAUAGCCAACCAGAGUCUCCAUUUCUUACCAUUUGAACAACGCCACCAUUUUGUUUGGUAAGUAUUUAAUAACAUUUCUUGCUCUACAUAAAGUAAUAUUAAAACGGAAUUUGCCUAAAUUUUUCUUACCAGCAAUCCAUAUGGACAAAAAUAAAAUAAAAUAAAUAAAUUUACAAUUAUACUCAAUAUAGGAGCCCAAAUUAUUUAUAAUUAAAAAAACUUAUAUGAAAUGGACUUUAGAAACACACUUAAAACCUAUUUACAACAAAACAAAAAAACGUUUAACUUCUUUUAAAUUACAAAACUAUCAUUGAUUUCUUAAACAAACCCAACCCAAAAACUUCAUUAAAAAAAAAAAGCUCAAAAUAUUAGACUCACAAAAUAUUACAACAAGACAACUCUCAAAAAAAAGACAAACUCUCACACUUCUCACAAGGACUACUUAACUUUAUAGCUUAUUGCAUAUAGCAUAUGCAAACACAAUUAGAACAUACCUACGUACACUAUGGGAACACUCGUGUAUAUUUGAACACAAGAAAACAUGUGCACCGUGCACGGUUCACAUGAAGUAAGAAAUGAAGAGGAAAUAAAGAAGAAGAAUACAAAAGAAAAUGGAGAUGAGGAAAAAAAAAACACGAAUAAAUGAAAAAUGAAUUGACAAUUAUAUGUGGUUGACAUUAGAUCUAAUAUUAUAUGUAACAACUAUUGAUCUAAAAUAAACAUUAAAUCAAACAAUAAUUAAAAGAUUUGACAAUAUAAAAAUUUAUUGAGGACAAAAAAAGGCAAAAACUUAUGAAAAAUGGAAACAAUAAAUAUGAACUGAGUCAUCAACUCACCAUGGUAAGUUUGCUGACGUAUAAAAAUAGUCAAUGGACUACAUCGAAAAGUAAUUGGCUUACAUCAAAAAUUAAAAUCACGUGGUCUACCUACUAUAUAGGAUGAAAAAAUUAGGUGAACAAUAUACUUACACCAUGGGAACACUCCUAUAUAUUUGAACACAUGAACACGUGUUCAAGGUUAUAUAUUUCAUUACCUUCACAAUAGGUACCAAACCGUACCAUGCGAACAUUCAUAUACGCACAACAUACUUAUAACAUACCUACACUAUGGGAACACUCGUGUAUAUUUGAAAACAAGAAGACCUGUGCACCACCGUGCACGGUUCACAUGAAGUAAGAAGAUGAAGAGGAAAUAAAGAAGAAGAAUACAAAAGAAAAUGGAGAUGAGAAGAAGAAAAAAAAACACGAAUAAUGAAAAAUGAAUUGACAAUUAUAUAUGGUUGACAUUAGAUCUAAUAUUAUAUGUAACAACUAAUGAUCUAAAAUAAACAUUAAAUUAAACAAUAAUUAAAAGAUUUGACAAUAUAAAAAUUUACACGUCAGCAAACCCACCAUGGUAAGUUUGCUGACGUGUAAAAAUAGUCAAUGGACUAUAUCGAAAAAUAAUUGGCUUACAUCAAAAAUUAAAAUCACGUGGGUUAUUCCUAAGAAACCUUAAUAUUUUUGGGUUUAUAUAUUUUUUGUAUUUUUUUUUUAAAAAAAGAAAAGAAAUCUGACCAUGUAUGUAUGAUGAUUGUUGGUAAAUUUUAACAACAAUAUUAAAACCUUGCAAGUGCACAAAUCAAAUGAUAGUAUAGUAAGCAAGCAAGGGUCGAUCCCACAGAGAUUGUGAUCUAAAGAGAUGUUUAUCAAUGUCACGCAAUGAAAAUCAAAACAAAGGACUUCCAAACACAAGCCAACACCAAGGGGGGUUUUGAUUUGUUUUUGUGAAUCAAACAAAAUAAGGAAAAGGAAACAAAAGAGAAUUUAAAUUAGAGUUUAAGAGAAAUUGGUUUAAAAACAAUCAAGAACAAUAGCUAGGACUUACUAUCCACCUCCAAACAAUCAAUCAAUCCAUAAACAACAAUAGAUAAUCAAUUUCUAGCAAGCAUAUGAUGACGACACUCACAACAAGAUCAUGGCAUUUGACUCGAGUUGUAUGAUUCUCUCUUAAGUGUAUGUAAAGUGUAUGGCAUUUACAUCAAUACGUGUAUUCUUAAUUAAAAUCUAGUAUGACAUUUACUCAAAUUAACAAUCAAGAAUCCAUUAAGAUCAAAGAGAAUAUGAGUGUCACAAAAACCCUAAAACAUGACAUUUGUUAUUAGGAAUUCAAGAAUCGAUUUCUCAUAACUAGUUCUUAACCCAAUUAUUCGUUGCAAACAAGAACACAUUCAAUAUGGCAAUUGACCUAUGUUCUACAACAAUUUAAUUCCAAUACAUGCUUCUAAGUUAGCUACUCAAAGAAACAAAAUACCAGAAUUCACAUAACAUAGAGAAACCGAAAUCAUCACGCUUGUAGAAACUAAAAAUCCAUUAAACUUGUUUAUAAAAUUGAAAUCAUGUCUAGGGCUUCAAGAUUAAGCCCUAACUAACAAGAAAUUAGUUACUCAUGGUCUUGGAUGAACUCAAAAAUAAAUACAUAAGAACUGAAAAUUAAAAGAAGGAAGGAAAAGAAAGAACUCGUUCGCAGCUUUCUCCUCUUGCGCAGUUGACCUCUUUAGGACGUGAAUCCUUUUUAUCAGGCCUUGGCUCGUCUUUUAUAUCACUUAUAUCAGAGUUCUAAACCCUAAAAUUGACUGAAAAGUCGUCCAAGAAGUCUUGAUAAACAAGGAAUCCAAAUAGGAAAGUAAAAAUCACAAUUCCUAACUCCACUGGGAUAUACAGCUCAGCCCAAUGUUCACACGAUUUGGGGAUCUUCGACCUUGUAGAAAAAUUAUUAAAAAUAUAUUUUAGAAAGAUAAAUGUCUUAUCUUUCCAACAUAUAUAGCACGUAACUUGAAAAAUUUGGAAAGGCUUCCGUUUCUUCACAUUCACGUAACAUGUACGAAACUGUCCUGUCUGCACGUGGGCUAACUUUACUUGUAAUACUGUACCAAUUGGCUCGGUAGAAAAUUCUAGAAAAAUAAUAGAUUGAACUUCAAGAUGUUAGCUUUCAUCUCCAAUUGGUCUUGUGCUAAAAUUCCUCCGAAAAGUUGAUUUUCCCUUAAAAACCUUCUAAGAGCGCAGAAAAGCUGAAAAUCAGAAGAAUAAAGUAAUAAGCCCUUUUUAAAUCUAAUUCUCUUACAAAACCAAAGUAAAAAGAGUACAUAAAUGAGUAUAUUUAUGGACUUAUCAAUGAUGAUAUGCAUGUUAUUUUUAGACCUAAGGUAAAACAGACAAACUUUUUACUCCAUUUUUCAUGAGGUUUAUCACAAUAAUUAAACUGUUAUGUCCUCCAUUUUAGAUCUCAUGCUUCCAUUUAAAGAAAAGAAUAUCAACAACAAAAAAAAUAAUAAAGUUACAACAUUGAUCAAUUCAAAUGUCCAACUACCAGAUCAUGAGGCCCUACACUUAUAGACUACGCAUUUUCUCGUAUUUUGCAAAAUUUAGACCAUUAUAAUAAUCUAACCCCUUCAAAUGUGAAACAUCAUCAAGUUUUUUUUCCUUCACUAAACAGAAGAGUUAAGUUUUAUUUGUGGGUAACUAAACUCUUGUUUAGAGCAUGUUUUUUAUUAUUUUUUUCUUUCUUCUGUGUAAAGUAUAAUGGGUUAGAUUAUUAAUUGUGGGUGACUAAAAUCUUGUUUAACAACAAUAGUUAACGUUUGUUUAGAGAAGAAAAAAAACUUGAUGAUGUGCCAUGUUCUAAAGGAUUAGAUUAUUAUAAUGGCCUAGAUUUAGCGAUAUGCAAAUAAAUGCGUAGUGUCUUAAUGCAGAGGCUCGGGAUCCCCUACUACCAUUGAAACAUAAGAAACUCAAAUCUUCACGAAAAUGCUAUCAAUUGAAAAAACAAUAAUUAAAAAACAAAAAAAGGAAGGGAAUUUGCACCUGCUAUGCAAAAAAGAGCAAGUCGGUUCAAUGAUUUUUUUUCUUCUUCUUUUUGUUAUGGAAAUGAAAAGCUCAAUGAUAGGCUAUAUAUAGGAAGAAAAAAAUGGUGCACACCAGUAACUAAGCUUGUUUUGCGUUUGGUGGCCCACUGUAAAAGCUCAAUGGAUGUAACACCCCGACUCCAAAUUAAAUUCCCUAUCUAAAUUAUUUAAUUUAAUUAAAUAUGGAAUUUCCAAUUUACCCUUGGGGUAGGGGUAUUUUGGUAAUUCUCUUAUCCAGAGAGAUUUUGGAGCAACAAGUGGUAUUUUUAGGUAGAUCAUACUUAGACGAGUCCGUAGAUACGUAGUGGGCUCGAUUCGGAGUUGUAAUGAAGAAGUUACGAUCAAAACAAGUUUUUUUUUUUUUUUUUGGAGAAAUUCUAUAUGAUUGCAUUCAUAAUUCAGCCAAAAAAGCCACUAGCCACAAAUGGUCAAUACAAACUAGCAACAAAAGGGCCAUUACAAUAACGGAGCGGUCUAAUAUCAAAAUUAAGAAAAUCAGGUAUGUCUCCACUAACGAUCAGGCAAGAUCGAAGAAACUCUGGCAUAGGCAUCCCAACUAAGAUUGCAAACUUAGAAUAAUAAAAAAGAGAUAAAGCUUGAAAAAACCAAGCCAUAACAAUACAAAUAAAACUCUCACCAAGGAUAGAUGAAAAGCUGUCACAAAGGAGAAAUGAAAAACUCUCACAAAAGGAGAGGUGAAAACUACACAGACAACCCAAAGAGUCUCUGCAACUUAUUCCAAACAUAAAGAAAAUGCAAAAAAGAUGGUGGUGGAGAUCCGACGCCGAAAUGCAGGUGAAGAUCCAACGUUGAGCCGCAGCCGCCUAUAAUGGUUGGAUGAAAAUCCUAACAAAACUAAGAAAAUAGGGACAACCAUUUAUCUUUGAAAAUGGGGGAAGAGGUGAAAGGAGGAAGAAAGGAAGAGAAGAGGGGAGAGGAGGGAAGAACAAUGGCUUUCUCCCCCUUCAAAGUGGAAAAGGCUCUAAGAGUGUUUUUUGGGAGAAAGGGGGCACGAUCAAAACAAGUUUAAUAGCACAAUCAUAAUUAUUUCGAAGUUGGUUUUUAAUAAAUCAGAAAACACACACACACACACACACACACACACACACACUCUCUCUCUCUCUCUCUCUCUCUCUCUCUCUCUCUCUCUCUCUCUCUCCCGUGCGAUUCUUCCUCCCUCGUCAAACAGCAGCGGUGGUUUUUUCCACCGCCACUGCCACACGCCACCAUACGAGGUGGCACCGGUCCCAAAAGGACACCCAGCUCAUCCUCUUCCAACCCCAGCCAAGCCACGCCGCCAGCAGCAACGAGAUUUGCUGGAAACCGCAGAAAAUCCUGCCGGUUUUUCCUAAACUUCAAACCUCUCGUUCUCUCUCAUUUCUCCACCGAUUUGGAUGUAUAGGGUAUGGAUUUCCACCUAUUUUUCAUGAUCUAGCUGAUGGUAAGGUAGGAUUUCAUUAAUUUUGAGCUUAGGUUAGUUGAUUCUCUAUUUGAAAUUCUGCCGGUUUUGGGAUCGCGUUUUCGGCCAUUUCCGGUCACUUUUUGGGGUAGGCCCAAGAACAAAAGUAACUCCAAAUGGGGUUUUACACCUAGGGUAGGAGUCUGGGCCUGAUAUUUUGAGGUUUUUUCGGCAAGUGUUAUCGCUUUAGACACCCACGCACUGCCCGUGCGUGGGCACUGUAGCAAAGGUGCAUUUUUACCCCAAUGUGUUCCCCUACUUGUCACGAGUUCGUGGGUGUGCUCGGAUUCCAAUUCGUAUAUCGUUUGACUAUCGAACAGAUUUACGCCUAUUGUGUGUCAUCCGGGUUCAAUUUGUUCGGACCGUUGGAUCGAGUUCAAAUUAAUAUAUGUUGAUCUAGGCACUCCUAGGAUCGUGUAGGAAUUCACGGAUCGUGAAUCGAAGCCCCGGAUGUUCCUAUUCAAUAACUUAAAAUUUGUGUUAAACGAUAACCGUCCGAUCGUGCAAUCGCGAGCGAUCCGACUGCUCGAUCGAGACCAAACUCUUGGGAUGUGUUUAGGAAACUCUGUUGGACCUUUAGGAACUUUUGGAUUGUAAUUGGGAGGUUGUGGGCCCCGUGGGCCAGGUUGAUUAUCGGUUGACUAAUUUGACUAGUGGGACCGGAUAGUUGACCACGAGUCUUUGGAGAACAUUUUGUCUCUUGUUAAGUACUAAGAUGGCCUUAGGGUUUUACAAGGACGUGCACCCCCUGUGAGUCCUGAGAGUUAGGAUUUUGAAUUAAAGUUCAGUGUUGGAUUUGAGUAUUCAGUUAAUCUUGGUAUUCUCUCAAAUAGGUUCUUUGGCGCUAGGAAUCGUUCUUGACAAAACCGCGGAGGGUUGAAUGCGCUUUGGACCGUGUGUGAGUAGACAUUUAUUUUCUAAAUGGUUUUAUGAAACUCUUGGAUUGUGAUUAUAAUUUGUGUUGUUUUAUGGAUUUGAUGAUUUAUGGUUAUUAGUUUUCUAAUAGAAUAUUAUGCAUAUUCGAAUUUAGUUUGAAAACUAUUUUGAAAGAAUUAUAAAUGGUUUGAAUCAAAUAAUGAAAUUGGGGUUUUAUCUCGGUUUUAAAGAGAAUUUUGAUUAAUUAAUUAAUUAUAAUGCAUACUUGGAACUUUAUUUGGUUUUGAAAGAUUUGUGUUUUAUUUGAGAUAACUAAGAAGGGAUUUGAGAAACAGUGUGGUAAAUAGGGAUUUGUGGAAAAAAGAAAAGAAAAAAAAAAGGGCUUUUAUGAUUAAGUGUUGGAAUUGGAUUUCAAACCCACCCUAGAAACCUAUCCCUGGUUGCCUACAAAAUGUAUGAGAUGCCUUGGGAAUAAAUGAGUUGCCUCGGAAAAGAUAAAAAUGGUUGCCUUUGGAAAAAGUGUAAUAAGUUUCCUUCGGAAAUUAUGGUUGCCUUCGGUUAAGUCUGUGCACAUAACUAAGAUUGUCUAUACCUACAUAGAGACUACUCUGUAGGUAUCCGGCCAGAGUAUAUUGUCUGUACCUGUGUUGACUAUGCAGGUGUCCGGCCAGUGAUUUGCCUGUACCUACAUAGAGAUUACUUUGUAGGUGUCCGGCCAGUAUUUUGCCUGUACCUGCUUAUGUGGUUGUUCGGCCAGGAUUUUCCCACUACACCUAUCUGAUUGUCUAUAUAGGUGGUUGAUGUAACACCCAGACUCCAAAUUUAACUCUUAUUUAAAUUAUUUAAUUAUUUAAGGGGAAUUACAAAUUUACCCUUGAGAUAAGGGCAUUUUGGUUAUAUUCUUAACCGGAGAGAGUUUGGGGUAGGUCCAAGAACAAAAGUGGCUCCAAAUAGGGUGUUAUACCUAGGGUAGGAGUUUGGAGCCGUGGUUUUGAGAUUUUCCGGCGAAGCUUUAUCGCUUUGGGCACCCACGCGCUGCCGGUGAGUGCGGCGGCGCAUGGGCACUGUAGAAAAAGUGGCAUUGUGUCUCGAUGAGAUCCUUAGGUUGUCACGAGUGCGUAGGAUUUCGCGGAUCUCAAUUUGGACGUCGUUUGACUAUCGAACGAAUAUCGCCUAUUGUGCGUUAUCCGGGUUCGAUAGGUUGGGACCGUUGGAUGGUCCCAAAUUUAAUACAUGUUAAUCUAGGUAUUUCUAGGAUCGUGUAGGAAUUCACGGAUUGUGAAUCGGAGCCCUGGAUGUUCCAAAUAAGAAUUUUAAGUUUAUAUUUUAUAUUAACCGUCAGAUCGUGCGAUCGUGAGCGAUCCGACCGUCAGAUCGUGCGAUCGUGAGUGAUCCGACCGUCCGAUAUGAACCAAACUUGCAGGACGAGUGUCCUAUACCUUGUAAAACCCAUAGGGACUUUCGGAUCGGAAAUUGGAGGUCGUGGGCUCCGCAGGUCCGUUUGACCAGGGUUAAGGUAGUUUGACCCUUGGUUGACUGUGAGUCUCCCGGAGUAAAUCUCACCUACUUUUCAUGCUCUAGCUGCCUGUUGGGUAAGAUUGGAUCGAUUCUUAGCGUAGCCAAUUCGAUUUUCGAAUUGAAAUUCGGCCGAUUUUGGGAUCGCGAUUCCGGCCACUUCCGGUCAGUUUUUGGGAAAUGUCCAAUUUAUAGAGGAGACUCUGCCAAAAUUUCGGCAGGAAGUCUCGGUCUUUAGUAAGUGGGCCUGGCAUCGGGAUGAUGUCGGGAAUUCCAAAGGGUUUGCCUCGGGUUCUGAAAAAUUCGGGGCGGGUCCUUUCAGUUGAUCAGUUUUCCCCUAUUCUCGGUUACCUCAGUAUAUUGUCUGUACUUGUAUCACAAAUGCGAGUGUCCGGCCAGUGAUUUUUUCCCAGGAUGUUCCCCUGCCACCCUGCCGAUUUAUUACACAGGGUAGGCCAGUUAUUUUCCCCAUAGGUGUACUUGCAUGGAGAGAUUUCGUAUAACUUGGUUUGAGAUUGGAUUUUUGGAUGAUUUGUGUUUGAGCUUGCUUGAUUUAUUGGAUUCAAAUGAUGUUUUGAAACUGGAUUUUUAUGAAAUUAUAUUUUGAGUUGUAUUGGAUUUAAAUGUUAUUUGAAGUACAAAUUUGGGUCAAUGAUAUUUUAUUUACUAGAGUUUAUUUUACUUGCACAUGUAUUGAUUAUAUUUUGUUCCUGUAUAUAUACUUAUGUGUAUUAAUGAGUUUUCCAAAGGUUUGCAAAAACAGAGGGGUUAGUAUGUUCUGUAUAAUUACUUUCAAGAAAAACUUUCUUUUUGUCUACUCAUGCUUUUACUGUUUUGUGCCCCCAUGAAGUAGAUAGCUCAGCGUUCGGACAUCUACAUAAGCUACUCCGACGUCGGUGAAGUCCUUAUAAUUCUAAGUAUGAGACUUCAUCUUUCGUUCUCAUGGUUCAUUUGGAAAAUAAUUUUGUAAAUUCAACUUCUGUAGUUGCUCUGAUAUUUCCCACUUAGGAUUGAAAUUGAGGCCGGAGGCCAUGUGAAUUUUAUGUGUGCCUUAACUUGUGUGUGCUGCCUGUUGAGAUUAUUAGAUUGUCGGUAAUUGCAGGUGUUAAUUUGGAGAAAGUCCAUUUUAGAGAGGAGACUUUACCGAAAAUUUCGGUAGAAGUCUCGACCCUUUUAUCUUAAAAGUUUGGGUGAAAGGUGUAAAUUUAGUAGUGGGUCCGGCAUCUCUUAGGUGUCGGUCAGAUAGCAGGAUUCGACACGAGUUCCAAUGGGAAAUUCGGGUCGGGUCCUGUUAAUGGAGAUGGUUUGAGGUAGAAUUUUCUCCUAUUUCAAUUGGACAAUGAUGAGCUCUAUGUAACAACAAAUUUCUUUAAUAAUGAUAACUAAAAAAAGUGUGAUUCAUUGAAUAUUUGAGGGGUUUUGUUCUAAGUUAACACAUCAAAUUCCUUUUACACCAUCAAAUUCAAAAAAUUUAUUCAACCAUCUCGACCUUAUGCUAAAAAUUUAUUUUGUUCAAACGUAACGUACUAGGUAUUUAUUUUAUAUCAACGAGUACGAUGGUCCAUAUAAGUAUUCUAAUCAUUCACUCCAGUUGCAGGCCCUAAUAAUUUAGAAGGGCUGAUGGUCUUUUUUUUUUUUUUUUUUUUUGGUUGAGAAAUUCUAUGAUUGCAUUCAUAAUUCAGCCAAAAAAGUCACUAGCCAAAAAAGGUUGUUACAAUAACAGAGCGGUCUAAUAUCAAAAUUAAGACAAUCUGGUAUGCCUCCACUAACAAUCAAGCGGGCCAAUGAUCUUUCAUUUGAUGAAAGCUUCUAUCUACCGACCCCGCUAUAUGAACUAUGCAAUGGUGAUGGUGUUACAUUGCUAAAAACAAAAAGUCAAGGUUUCUUAUUAAUGUUAAUGAAGGCAUAGCAAAAAAUUUGUAGCUCCAAUAGUUCAGAGCAGUUACCCAUGCACUUGAAAUUCUGUGUUUGAAUGCCCUCUCCCCUAAUAUUGCUUGUAUAAAAAUAAAAACUUCUAAAAAGACAUUAAUAUUGUAUUCUAUAUUCUAUAAAGUGUUGGACAUGUUUUACAUUGUUGACAACCCCUUAACAUUUUGGUGGUGCCUAGUUAUAUUCAAUUCGUAUGUAUUUAAUUUGCCACUUACAUUCUUUCCUUAAUACAUUUAGGCUUAUUUUUAUACUAAUUUCUCUAACAUAACUUUUGCACAUUCUUUUAGUCUCUAAUAUAUAUAUUUUUUAAUAAAUAAUCUUACCCACUUGAGUUAUAAACUAUUUUCUUUUAGCACAGAAAAUUGACAUUUUGACAAAGAGUUGAAAACCACUCCCCAAUUUUAAUGUCAACCACUUGAAAAAAAAAACAUAAAUUUAAUGAAAACAAUUACAUUUAGCAAUGCAACCUAAAAACUCAACCUUUGCCCCCCUUUCGCAACCCAGAUAGCAGGGUGAGGAUAUUCGGAUAAGAACCAAGACAGAAGCCAAAGGAACUGCGAUAGCCAACCAGAGGCUCCAUUUCUUACCAUCUGAACAACGCCACCAUUUUGUUUGGUAAGUAUUUAAUAACAUUUCUUGCUCUACAUAAAGUAAUAUUAAAACGAAAUUUGCCUAAAUUUUUCUUACCAGCAAUCCAUAUGGAAAAAGAAAAAAAGAAAAAAGAAAAAUACAAUUAUACUCAAUAUAGGAGCCCAAAUUAUUUAUAGUUAAAAAAUCCCUAUAUGAAAUGAACUUUAGAAACACACUCAAAACCUAUUUACAACAAAACAAAAAGACUUUUAACUUCUUUUAAAUUACAAAACUAUCAUUGAUUUCUUAAACAAACCCAACCCCAAAACCUCAUAAAUAAAAAAAGCUCAAAAUACUCAAUAAAACAUCAAAGUAAUUUAAUAAUUAAAAUUAAAUUCAAUAGGGACAUCUGUUAUUUUUUGGGUUUUUUUGUUUGUUUAUAGAAAUUAAAUGAUGUAGAAUCUAUCUAUAUUAUUAGUGCUAAGAAUGGAUAUGUGACUAUAUAACUCAAAAAAAAUUUAUAGUAAAUCUACAAUUUUUUUUUAAACAAAAAUCUAUAGAAUCUUUUAUUAGAUCAAUAAUCAAUAGUCACUACUAGAAAAUCUUCAUAUAAGCCACUAAUACACCCGUAACUUAUACAAAUGUGAGCUACUGACAAACCUGUAGCCAAAGAGUAUUGGCCACCUACCACACGACAGUGGUCCAAGCAUAAUGUUGUCAUUCAUUAUUCCCCACAGCAACCAGCAUCCAAUAAAGGGCUGGGCCCCACCCAUAUUCCACCUCUCUUUGUGAAUAUAAAAGAAAUAUUUUUUAUUCAACAUGGACGCAGAAACUGUUGCUAAACUGCAAACUUCUUAAAAUAUUUGUCUCACUUUCUAGAUCCAUGUACUGAGAUUUAUUAGGGAAAUAUUGUAGAAACUGAUUAUUUUGAAAUAUUAAAUGUGAAAAACUGAACAAAAAUUUGAUGGAUUACAUAUUUCAACUCAUUUCAGCAGCUUAGAUUUUGAAGACCUCUGAAGAGGCUAUGCAAUGAGCCUGGCUAUAGUACACUGUUGAUCACUUCAGUGUCUACCGAUCUGUAAUUUUUCCAGAUUGGUUAUAUUUUCCUUUACAUAUGUAUGCUUAUAUUAUUCCCAGCUGUAAGUGUUUUAGCAACAGGGUUACAAACUUCUUCUACAACACACCAACAUGAAUCUAGCCCUGAUCCACUCUUCACAUACUUGAAAACAAAACAAAACACGAAAAACAAAAAACAAGAUAGGGAGAAAAUGGCCUUGAUCAAUAACAGAGAUAAUAGAGUACACUGUUUAGGGUGAGUAUCAGAAGAAUAAUAGCCGCAAAGAGAGAAAUAGCUGCCCAAGGUGUGUUGAAAUACUUUUGUCUCAAAUUUGCCUUCCAUCUGUUCGUGGUCUUCUUGCAGUACUCGUUUAGUUUGCCAGCAAGAUCACCAAAAUAGUAGUUUUCGGAGCAACUUUACUGCAAAGCUUGUUAAUCAUAAUGGAAACCUGAUUGUUGUCACCUAGCGUGUUUACAACAAUUCCAUUGUCAACAAGCAACUCUACAUCCUUUGGGGUGUUUACAAAUUUAUCCAGGAUGAAAACAUAAUCGCUUAUGUAUUUAUCCACGCAAUGGCAUUGUUCAAAGGCAAUGAGAUUUCUAUGUGUAAGCUCUGUGUAAUCAUGUAUUUCAAUUUUUGGAAUUUCCAAGGUGUUUUUCUUGAACUGUAUAUCGAAUAAGUUCUUGCUUGAUCCCACGUUAAACUUAACUCCGGCCUGGUGUAGUUUUGUCAUGCUGGGUGUACUUUGGAGCCCUACAUUUUCUUUUAGGGUCGGAUCUGGCAGAUGUAAAGGUUUUUUAGGAUCAGGUGGCAUAAAAGACUUACGGAAGGCUGGUGAGUUCUCCAAGUUUUUUCUAAACGGAAGAACCUGUAAGAGAGUUCAAUUAUUGAAGGCUCCCCAGUCUGAGCAGCUGUGAGAUUGUAAAGAUCCUCGAGAAUGAAAAAUGGCAGCUGAUUUUCGAGCAUAAGCAUGUCAGGCAAUAUAUUUUGUGGCACCCAUGGUUUUUUAAAUAUCCAAGCAUUAUCAUCCUGCAAUUUUUCUUCCUGAAAUUUUUCUUCGGAUUUAUUCCUCAACAAUAGCUCAAUGACAAAGGCGGCGUCAACUAGAAUGAUAUUCACAAAAGCAGCAAUGUUAAAACUUCUUAGUGUCUUCAUAACAAUGACGGAGAUCACCUUCUCUCUCCUUUAUUUUCUCUAAAUAAUCCUUCAAUCCUACUACUUUAGUCCGAUUAAGAAAGCAUUUUAGGUACCUGAGUUUGUGAUCUUCCAUGGCUUCUAAGUUUUUGCUGGCAUGGUGAAGUGGGUCUAUUGAGACUACUUGUGGUGUGUAGGCCUUUUGUUUUACGUUCCGUAGUCGCUCAGGCACCCUGUAGAUCCAGCAGGCAGGGGACAGGGCACGCAAGUUUGUCAACCGAUUUUCCAUGGAAGUUGCUUGGUUUUCUAUGUCAAAAGAAGCUUCAUUGCUGCUUUCUUCCACUUUCUUCAUCCCCGUAUGUGUUGUUCUGAUUGUAAGUGACGAGGAUGGUGAUGAUUCUAGACACCAUAAUCAACAAAUGUUUCAAUCAUAAUUGACAUUUCAAGAUGCUCCGACAAAAAAUUAGAAAACAUUCAUCACACAAUGCGAACUCAUACAAUAGAUGGGUUGAGAAGAUCCACACAUUGCAAUCAUACAAUCCAAUUGCACAGGGAUUAGUCCCUAUUCUCCUCUCUCUCUCUCUCUCUCUCUCUCUCUCUCUCUCUCUCUCUCUCUCUCAAAAAGAUUUUCAUAUCGAUAACAUCUUAUUGCAAGGGACUGGUACAUCAAGUAGUGAAGAACAGAAAUUCAUAUUCUUUCAAUCAAAAUGUAUAAAUUUUGAAAAAGUUUGUUUUAUUUUUGGGGGAAAAAAAUCUGAACAUAUAUGUAUGUGCAUAUUAUACGUAGAUCUAAGGUGAAAACAGACCAGAUUUUUACUCCAUUUUUCAUGAGGUUUAAGUUCAUGAUGUAUAUAUUUAUCUCAAGUGUAACAUCUCACAUCGAUCAACGGAGAUGAGGUGAUGUGUCUUAUAUGUACAUGCUCGCCUCCAUCUAGCACAAGGCCUUUUGGGAGAUCACUGGCUUCGGAGUCAUAGGAACUCCGAAGUUAAGCGAGUUGGGGUUAGAGCAAUCCCAUAAUGGGUGACUCACUGGGAAGUUGCUCUUGAGUUCCCAAAAACAAAACUGUGAGGACAGAGAGGGGGGCCCAAAGCGGCCAAUAUUAUUCUACGGCAGAGCCGAUCCUGGGAUGUGACAAUUUGGUAUUAGAGCCACACUGCCGUGUGGUGCGAGUGUGCCGAAGAGGACGUUGGGCCCUUGAGGGGGGUGGAUUGUAACAUCUCACAUCGACCAACAGCGAGGGAGUGAUGUGCCUUAUAUGUACAUGCCCGCCUUCAUCUAGCACGAGGCCUUUUAGGAGCUCACUCACUUCGGAGCCAUAGGACCACCAUCCCAAGUUCAAUAUACAACCCAACAACCAUCUUAGCCAUCUUCUCAUUGAUCUUCCACCCAGCAUCCAACACUAUCUUCAUAAACUCUUUAGCUUAAUAUCUCUGUUGCUUUUGUUUUUUGUUUUUUUUAAUUUAAAUUUUUUAGUUUUUUUUUUUGGUUGGUGCAGAUUCAAUGAUAAAGAACAUCGAACUCGUCGCAACAUCCUGCCCUAGAUCCGAACUCUACCACCAUCACAACCCUCCCUCUCUCGAUCUCCAACCAACCUUAACACCCAACUUCAAAUCUUGGUUGUUUGAAACUCAGCCCCCUUCUCAAACCCCACCCUCUCUCUCUCUCUCUCUCUCUCUCUCUCUCAAAAUCAACAAGAUUUUCAUGUCAAUAAGAUAAGAUCUCAUUGCAAGUGACUUGUAGAUGAAGUGGGAAAGAACAAAAAGUCAUAUUCUUCCAAUCAAAACGUAUCAAGUCUAACAAAAUUUCUAGUUAGUUUGCUUUAUGAUAGUUGUUUUUUGAAGGGGUCCUUAGAUCCAAUCUCAAAAAGUUUGACUUUUAUUAUGUUUAACUCUGGUUUUUGCAAAUUUUUUUUUUUAUCUCUACCCACUAACUUUUAUCUCUCAUUUUUAUUACCCAUUUUACCCUUUAAAAUAAAUAUGGUAAUAAACUAAAAAUUCUGAUUCAAUGCAUGUUCAUAAGAGAAUUAAGGCCCCGUUUGGGAUUGCUUUUUUUCGUCAAAAACUUGUUUCACUUUAAAGUUAAGCAGUUUAAGGUGUUUGGUAAAAAUAAAAUAUCCUGAUUAUUUUAAAAGCAGUGGCCUUUUGACAGCUGCUUUUAAAAGCAGGUUCUGGGUUGCUUUUCAAAGCUGCUUUCAAAAGAAGCAAAGAUGAACUUUUAAUGAAUGUUUUUUAAUUCCCAAAAUACAAUCAUUCAUUUUAAAAAAUGACACCACCUCCACUUCCACAUCCAACUCCACCACUUGCACCACCACAUUCACUACCUCCACAACCACCGCCAUUACCACCACCACCACAUCCUUCUCCUCCUCAUCCUCCGCCACCACCACCAGAAGCAGAUCCAGAAAUUUUUCAGGAGAGGGGCAAUAAUGAUUUUGAUACUGCCCAAUUAAAAACAUAUUAUGAAAACCAGACCCUUAGUUAAUUUAAAGAUUAAUUAGCACGAUAAAAUAAAUACAUAAUUAAUAAUAAAAAUAUAUUAUCACAGUGAAAGAUUAGAUCAACAAACAAGUAGUAUCAAUCAAAUCCUAAUUAAACAAAAACUCUAAUAUCAAAGUGUGAUUUGAGAUCAUUGUGCAAGGACUCUUCUUCGUUGUUGUUUUUUAUUAUUUAAUUUUUUUGACAGAUGGGCUUCUUCAAAUUGGGAGCAUUGAGGUAAGCCUUUUGGUAUUACAUUAUUAUUAUUAUUAUAAUGAAAUAUUUAUUAUAACAACCAAGUAAUUGAAGCCAAACAAUGAAUCUUGAAACGGUUUGCACAAAAAACGAAGAGUUUGAAUUUUUGAAAAACACUUCAUUUAAACCAUUAAACAUAGAUCAAGGACGACGCCGUUUGUGACAAAUAAAAAUAGGGUUGUCUUCUUCAUUCGUGAACCAGAGCCUCCAUCAGGACACACCUCUACAACUCCUCCUCUACAACACAGUGUGUGCCUCAAUCGUGUAACUUGCCAUUUGCGAUUCAGGAGGCCUUAGAUCGUCGCACUCACGAGAUGCGCCUUGAUACACUUUUAAACGCUAGANNNNNNNNNNNNNNNNNNNNNNNNNNNNNNNNNNNNNNNNNNNNNNNNNNNNNNNNNNNNNNNNNNNNNNNNNNNNNNNNNNNNNNNNNNNNNNNNNNNNNNNNNNNNNNNNNNNNNNNNNNNNNNNNNNNNNNNNNNNNNNNNNNNNNNNNNNNNNNNNNNNNNNNNNNNNNNNNNNNNNNNNNNNNNNNNNNNNNNNNNNNNNNNNNNNNNNNNNNNNNNNNNNNNNNNNNNNNNNNNNNNNNNNNNNNNNNNNNNNNNNNNNNNNNNNNNNNNNNNNNNNNNNNNNNNNNNNNNNNNNNNNNNNNNNNNNNNNNNNNNNNNNNNNNNNNNNNNNNNNNNNNNNNNNNNNNNNNNNNNNNNNNNNNNNNNNNNNNNNNNNNNNNNNNNNNNNNNNNNNNNNNNNNNNNNNNNNNNNNNNNNNNNNNNNNNNNNNNNNNNNNNNNNNNNNNNNNNNNNNNNNNNNNNNNNNNNNNNNNNNNNNNNNNNNNNNNNNNNNNNNNNNNNNNNNNNNNNNNNNNNNNNNNNNNNNNNNNNNNNNNNNNNNNNNNNNNNNNNNNNNNNNNNNNNNNNNNNNNNNNNNNNNNNNNNNNNNNNNNNNNNNNNNNNNNNNNNNNNNNNNNNNNNNNNNNNNNNNNNNNNNNNNNNNNNNNNNNNNNNNNNNNNNNNNNNNNNNNNNNNNNNNNNNNNNNNNNNNNNNNNNNNNNNNNNNNNNNNNNNNNNNNNNNNNNNNNNNNNNNNNNNNNNNNNNNNNNNNNNNNNNNNNNNNNNNNNNNNNNNNNNNNNNNNNNNNNNNNNNNNNNNNNNNNNNNNNNNNNNNNNNNNNNNNNNNNNNNNNNNNNNNNNNNNNNNNNNNNNNNNNNNNNNNNNNNNNNNNNNNNNNNNNNNNNNNNNNNNNNNNNNNNNNNNNNNNNNNNNNNNNNNNNNNNNNNNNNNNNNNNNNNNNNNNNNNNNNNNNNNNNNNNNNNNNNNNNNNNNNNNNNNNNNNNNNNNNNNNNNNNNNNNNNNNNNNNNNNNNNNNNNNNNNNNNNNNNNNNNNNNNNNNNNNNNNNNNNNNNNNNNNNNNNNNNNNNNNNNNNNNNNNNNNNNNNNNNNNNNNNNNNNNNNNNNNNNNNNNNNNNNNNNNNNNNNNNNNNNNNNNNNNNNNNNNNNNNNNNNNNNNNNNNNNNNNNNNNNNNNNNNNNNNNNNNNNNNNNNNNNNNNNNNNNNNNNNNNNNNNNNNNNNNNNNNNNNNNNNNNNNNNNNNNNNNNNNNNNNNNNNNNNNNNNNNNNNNNNNNNNNNNNNNNNNNNNNNNNNNNNNNNNNNNNNNNNNNNNNNNNNNNNNNNNNNNNNNNNNNNNNNNNNNNNNNNNNNNNNNNNNNNNNNNNNNNNNNNNNNNNNNNNNNNNNNNNNNNNNNNNNNNNNNNNNNNNNNNNNNNNNNNNNNNNNNNNNNNNNNNNNNNNNNNNNNNNNNNNNNNNNNNNNNNNNNNNNNNNNNNNNNNNNNNNNNNNNNNNNNNNNNNNNNNNNNNNNNNNNNNNNNNNNNNNNNNNNNNNNNNNNNNNNNNNNNNNNNNNNNNNNNNNNNNNNNNNNNNNNNNNNNNNNNNNNNNNNNNNNNNNNNNNNNNNNNNNNNNNNNNNNNNNNNNNNNNNNNNNNNNNNNNNNNNNNNNNNNNNNNNNNNNNNNNNNNNNNNNNNNNNNNNNNNNNNNNNNNNNNNNNNNNNNNNNNNNNNNNNNNNNNNNNNNNNNNNNNNNNNNNNNNNNNNNNNNNNNNNNNNNNNNNNNNNNNNNNNNNNNNNNNNNNNNNNNNNNNNNNNNNNNNNNNNNNNNNNNNNNNNNNNNNNNNNNNNNNNNNNNNNNNNNNNNNNNNNNNNNNNNNNNNNNNNNNNNNUACAAACCACAACCACCAACUCCACGUUCAUCACCACCACUACCUCCACUCCACCACUACCAUUACUACUACCACAACAUGAUUAGUACAUAACACUUUUAACAUCAUGUCUAUUUUAGUCAUUAUUCACAUUUACAACAAUUUUAUAUUAAAAUUUACCAAACGGUUUUGACACUGCUUUUUGUACUAACAGCACUUUAAAAAUAUUGUUUAUCAAACAUGGAGUGCUUUACUUUACAGCUAAUUAUUUUCAAAGCACAGCAAAAGCAAAUUUUUUUAAAAGUGACAGCAAUCCUAAAAAUUCUAUACUCUAACACAAAAAAUAAAAACUAAAAACAAAAAUUAAAAUGGUUAUCAAACAUACACUUAUAUUACAAAGAAAAUAUCAAAUAUUGAACUCAUCAUAAGAGAACACAGAAAAACCUCACCGCUUGCAACUCGUACACCACCACUACACGAACAACUGCUAAUUAAAAUGAGUCACAUGUGGUACUUAACUCUAAAAACUUAUUCAGAUUAUAUAUCGUACUCCUCGAUCAAAACAACCAUGAAACAUAAGUGAUUUAAACCUCUAGGCAAAUGGAAGGUAUAUAACAAUUUAUAGAACAAUACAGUAAUCCAGAAGAAAUAUUAUGAAAUAAAAAGAAUAAAAAGUAAAAAAAGAGAAGGAAAGGAAUUCCCACCUGAUAUGUAUAAGUAUGAAAGGAAGGACCAAGUUUGUUUUGCCUUUGGUUAAUGACUAGAAAAGCUCACUUGCAUAUUGCUUUCUCCGGCCGUAGAUGCAAGAGAAAUUUUCUCUUAAUAAUAGCACAAUGAUCGGGUAAUUGUAAGAACAAGUUGAUUUUAAAUUCAGGUCAAGUCGUAGAUUUCUUGCCUUUUCUAUUCUCCUUCCUUGGACAUGAGCUGUUUAAUCUUGGACUCUUCCCCCAUCAUGUUGGGCCUGUCUUCUUCUUGAGGAUUGUAUAGGCCCAGGAAAUGCUUCAAGGUAGUUUUUGUGUUUUGGGCCUUGAGACCCAACUUCACAAAAAGAAAAUAGAUUUGACCAAAAAACAAAUUUGAAGGAUAUUGAAAUUGUACCUGUAGGAUAGGUUAAAACACCAUAAGGGAGGUAAAUAGUACGUUUACAGAAUUUAAGUGUAAUAAUUGAAUAAAAACAUGCCCAGAGGAUUGAUAAGUGAUAUCAAUUCUUGAAUAUACAGAACGUAAAAUAAAGGAACACGUAGAAAAUUAUUUUAUGUGGUAAAACUCUAUCUCUGGGGAACAUCCACGGGGCUUUUUAGUCCAAAAUAAUCCAUUAUAGAACGAUGAUUACAAGAAGUAUUCACACACUUAUCCUAGACACAUUCUAGAUUAUGUUUACUGACCUCUUCUCAACUUCUGUCUCGAGAUGAUCUUUCGACACUCCUUAUGUUGAACGCAAUACUGGUCACGAUUUCUUCAAGCUCCCUAGAGUUCUUCCAACUCUCCUUGUAUUGAAUCCGACACUAGUCACGAUCGAUUCAAGCUCAUUGGAGAAAAACUGCCACAACGGUCUUAGUGCCCUCAAUCGUAUGAGUCACUGAACAUGCAAAUGAAUACAAUAUAAAUGAUAAAAGUGUUUGAUAAAUCACCAAGUUAUAGAACACUUGAUGAUUUAUCUCAAAUAAAAAUUCAGCUUUACAAAGUUUAUGAUGAAUUGAAAAUAUGAUCGUUAAAGCUAUCUAAACAAAGAAGACGAAGGUCUUAUUUUAUAGAAUUUUUCUUUACAAGAAAGAAAACACGUUGAAAACCAAAUCUCCAAUUUUCAAGGCUUGACAGAAAAUCACAAAAGUAUCUUUCCUAUUCUAGAGAUUGGUCACAUGUAGUUCAACCAAUAGGAAAUGAGAUAUUCAAGAAAGCAAGAUUUUGAUCAAUAUCAAUAUCAGAUCAAUUCUUAUACGCCUAGUCAACUAUUAAGGGUAUCUUGACUCCUUGAUGUUGUGAUAUGAUUGAAACAUGAUUUCCAUGUUAGAAAAUUAAAGGGAUGUUAAAACAUGAAAGUAAUAGAGAAUCAAAUUGAUGUGGACCAAAAUUGCCUAAAAAGAAAACACUCCUAAAUAAACUUCAAUUCACUUUUAAAAAACAGUAAAACAUGAUUGAUCGUUCUUUAAAACAAUUCCCUAAAUAUACAUGCAUGAUAAUGAUAUCACUUACCCUUAAAUCAAAUUGUCACGCCCCGGACCCGAGGGUCGGGUGGAAACCUCACCGCCCAGUGCGUGAGAAAAUAAAAAGAAAAUAAAAUAAAAAGAAGCCGAACAGGGUUUAAAAUAAACUUCUCUUAUAAAAAUAACUCCAAUCUACAACUUUACAAGAAAUAACUAANNNNNNNNNNNNNNNNNNNNNNNNNNNNNNNNNNNNNNNNNNNNNNNNNNNNNNNNNNNNNNNNNNNNNNNNNNNNNNNNNNNNNNNNNNNNNNNNNNNNNNNNNNNNNNNNNNNNNNNNNNNNNNNNNNNNNNNNNNNNNNNNNNNNNNNNNNNNNNNNNNNNNNNNNNNNNNNNNNNNNNNNNNNNNNNNNNNNNNNNNNNNNNNNNNNNNNNNNNNNNNNNNNNNNNNNNNNNNNNNNNNNNNNNNNNNNNNNNNNNNNNNNNNNNNNNNNNNNNNNNNNNNNNNNNNNNNNNNNNNNNNNNNNNNNNNNNNNNNNNNNNNNNNNNNNNNNNNNNNNNNNNNNNNNNNNNNNNNNNNNNNNNNNNNNNNNNNNNNNNNNNNNNNNNNNNNNNNNNNNNNNNNNGAUUUCAAUUGGUAUUCAGAGCGUCAGCUCUUAAUACAAAUAGAGAGAUCCUAGGAUUUGUUUUGGUGUUUAGGUGUGCUCACUGUGGAACGGGAUCGAGUUGCUGGAUCUUGCAACUCCCCUCCUUAUUUUGAUGGAAACAACUACGCUGCUUGGAGAGAAAAAUUUGAGAUAUUCCUUGAUGCUCUUGAUGAGUACGCAAGUGAGUAUCUCACAAAAGAGUGGGUUGCUCCUGUCAAGACUGUUGAGAGUAAUGUUGUGCCCAAGCCUAGGUCGGAAUGGACUGAAGCUGAGGUGUUUGCUGCAUAUUCAAACAAGAAGGCCAGAAAUGCCUUAGUUACAGCCUUGUCUAGCACACAAUUUUCACAUAUACAACACAUCCUAAAUGCGAAACAGGCUUGGGAUAAACUAAGGGUGGUUCAUGAAGGGGAUGACCAAGUUAGAUCCCUAAAACUUCAGAUGAUGCCUGCACAAUUUGAAGAACUUAGGAUGUCUGAAACUGAGUCUAUUUCUGAGUUCUAUGGGAGAGUUGAGAUGAUCACUAAUGAAGCCAUGAGUCUCGGUCAACCUAUUGAUGAGCUUCUUGUUGUUCAGAAAAUCCUUCGUGUUCUACCAUCUAGGUUUAGAGCAAAGAAAACCGCAAUCAUGGAGGUCCAAAACUUAAAUGAAAUUAAGCUUGGCAAGCUCGUAGGAAAAUUGAAAACCUAUGAGAUGGAGUUGAAUAUGGAAAAGAAUGACACUAAAAAAUCAAAAAAUGUUGCACUUCAAGGAGUGAAUGAUUCCUCUCUGAAAGGUGGUGAAAAAUCCUCAGGUUUUGAGGAUGAGAUGGCUUUGUUUGUCAAAAAAUUUAGGAGAAUUCUUAGGGAUAAAGGAAAGUUUGCUAGAAAGGGCAGCUCUGGUAGUGAGAGACAAGUUAGACCAUCAACUGAUCAGUCUAAUGAGAGGAACAAGGAUGUCAAACCUUUCACUAAAGAUUUUAGAAAAUCUGUCAAGUGCUUCACAUGUGGAGGCAUUGGGCACUAUGCUGCCCAUUGUGCAAACAAUCAGAAAAAAUACUCCAAAGGAAAGGACAAGGCCAUAAAAGUUAGCUGGAGUGAGAGUGAAAGUGAAGUGUCUCAAGGGGAUUCAUUUUUCUCUGAUAAUGAUGACCAACAUGUUGCUUUUGUUGCCUCUGUGCAGUCAGUGUCUGAUAAAUCUGAUUCUGAGUCAGAUGACCUGUCAUACGAGUGAUUAGGAAGAAAAUAUGAUUGUUUGUUCAAAGAGACAUUGUCUUUGAAAGAAGAGAGCCUCAAACUUGAGGCCAACAACCAUGAACUUCAACAUGAAAUCCUCAUCUUAAAAGAAACCAAAAAGGAGUUGAGUGACAAAUUUGUGUCUCUAGAAAAAGAAUUUGUUGCACUUGUGUCAAUUAGGAGUAAUCUUGAAAAUCAAGUUAAUGUGCUCAAGGAAAGUAACAUUGGUUUCCAGAACUCAAACAAAUUGCUCCUAGGUAAAUUGAAUGAAGCAAAAAAGUAAGGUUAUAUCUAUGACCAUUGGUGCCUCAAAAAUUGACAAAAUGUUGACUAUGGGAAAACCUCAUGGGGACAAAGGUGGUCUUGGAUUUAAUCAUUUUGAUUCUAGUUCGUCUAGCUCUACCACUAGGUUUGUCAAUUCAAAAACUCCAACCAUGGCUUCUCUUGAUGCUCAGCCGGUAGUCAAGAAACCUAAGUUUGUUCCAACUUGUCACUGGUGUGGGUUGACUGGUCAUAUUCGAUCAAUCUGUCUUAUGUACAAAAAGGAUAAGACUAGAAAAUUGUCUUCAAAAUCUAAAAAUCCAAGAUCUUUGCAAGAUCAGGUUGAUCAUUUGCUAAAAGAAGUAACUAAGAUUGCAAAACUUGUCUCCCUUAAAAUGUGUUCACCUAUUGUGCCUAAGUCUACUUGGGUUGAAAAAGGUCAUACCAAAUGUCUUGUUGUGCUAAAUGCUUUUGCUGCAUCAAACACCAACUCUUGGUACUUUGAUAGUGGCUGUUCCAAACAUAUGUUUGGUGAUAAGAGUGUCUUCUCAUCUCUCAGUCCUUUUGAUGGAGGCACUGUGACUUUUGGUGGAGGUCACAAGUCUCAAGUUUUUGGAAAAGGUACUGUUUGUAUCCCUGGUUUACCCGAGCUUAAGAAUGUUAGAUGUGUUAAGGGUCUUACAUCCAAUCUCAUUAGUGUGAGUCAGCUGUGUGAUGAUGGAGUAAUAGAAGUUAGAUUCUCCAAGCAUGGGUGCAAAAUCGUUGGAAAAUGUGGCAAUGAGAUUGUGAGCGUGACUAGGUCUAGGGACAAUUGCUAUUGUAUUGAUGGUGUCAAUGAUGAAAAAGAAGUAGUUUGCAAUAAGGUUGUGAAUGAAACAAGUGUCUUGUGGCAUCAAAGGCUUGGACAUGUGAACUUUAGAGACUUGCAUAAAUUGUCCAAGAAAGAGUUAGUGAGUGGAUUACCAAAGCUUGACAAAUCUGAUCAACAUGUUUGUGAAGGAUGUCAAUUGGGGAAGCAAGUUAGAGUGUCUCAUAAGAAGGUCAAACACAUUCAAACACAAGUAAGCCUUGAACUUGUUCACAUGGACAUUGUUGGUCCUAUCCAAACCUUGUCCCUUGGUGGAAAGAAAUAUAUUCUUGUCAUGGUUAAUGAUUUCUCUAGGUUCACUUAAGUCUCAUUCUUACGUGAGAAAUCUGAAACUUUUCUAAGGUUUAAGUCUGUUUGUCAUCUUUUGCAAAAAGAAAAGAUGACUAGUCAUCUGCCUCUUGUUAGAAUUAGAACAGAUCAUGGUUCUGAGUUUGAGAAUUCUCAGUUUCUGAAAUUUUGUGAAGAAAUGGGAAUUAAGCAUGAGUUCUCUGCACCUAUUACACCUCAACAAAAUGGUGUUGUGGAGAGAAAGAAUAGAGUUCUUGUUGAGAUGGCUCGGGUGAUGCUCAAUAGCAACAAUCUUGCUAAACAUUUUUGGGCUGAAGCUGUAAGUACAGCUUGUUAUAUCUCAAACAGGGUAUUUUUGAGGUCUGGUACCAAACAAACUCCCUAUGAGAUUUGAAAAGGAAAGAAGCCUAAUGUGUCAUAUUUUAGAGUCUUUGGUAGCACAUGCUAUAUUUUGAAAGAUAGGGAGCAUCUUCCUAAGUUUGAUUCUAAGUGUGAUAAGGGAAUAUUUCUAGGGUGUUCCACUUUAAGCCGAGCUUAUAGAGUGUACAACUGUAGGACCAGAACCAUCAUUGAGUCCAUAAAUGUCAAAAUUGAUGAUUUUGCUGCCUCUACUGAGAUGGCAUUAGAUGAGAAUGGUCUUUUUUCUCCUCAUCUCGUGCAAGAAUCUCUAGGUCUGGAUCUUGUAGUUGACCUGUCAACUUUCGGAAAUUUUGUCCCAGUUGACCUGUCAACUCCUUCAACCUCUAGUUCCAUCUCAUCUAUCCAAGUUGUCAGCUCCCAUGCUGAUCAUAGCCCUCUCACUCAAACUGAGAGUGUCAUUAUUGGUCCUCUUAAUCAGGGAGUGAGAACUAGGAAAUAAUUAGCUCAAGAAAUUAGUCAUGUGUGUUAUGUCUCAAAAGAAGAACCUAAGAAUGUGAAAGAGGCGUUGAACCAUGGUGAAUGGUUUCUUGCAAUGCAAGAAGAGCUGAAUCAGUUUGUUAGAAAUGAUGUUUGGUACCUUGUUCCCAGACCUACCAAUACAAAUGUUGUAGGUACUAAGUGGAUUUUCAAGAACAAAACUGAUGAGCAAGGUAAUGUUGUUAGAAACAAAGCUAGAUUAGUUGCUCAAGGUUACACUCAAAUGGAAGACAUUGACUUUGAUGAAACUUUUGCCCCUGUUGCAAGACUAGAAUCAGUUAGAUUACUUCUUGCUAUUGUUUGUCACUUAAAAUUCAAACUUUAUCAAAUGGAUGUCAAAACUGCUUUUUUGAAUGGUAUUUUAAAUGAAGAGGUCUAUGUUGAACAACCAAAGGGUUUUGAAGAUCCACAUCAUCCAAAUGAUGUGUUUCAGUUAAAAAAGGCACUCUAUGGUUUGAAACAAGCUCCUAGAGCAUGGUAUGAGAGGUUAUCUUCUCAUCUUCUAAGAAAUGACUAUGUUAGAGGGUCAAUUGACAAAACUUUGUUUGUCAAAAGGUUCAAAAAUGAUGUCUUGAUUGCUCAAGUGUAUGUUGAUGAUAUUAUGGUUGGUUCUACCUCUGACUUGCAUGUUCAAGAGUUUAUUCAUGUCAUGACUAGUGAAUUUGAGAUGAGUCUUGUAGGUGAGCUUAACUAUUUCUUAGGUCUUCAAAUCAAACAAAGCCAUGAUGGGAUCUUUGUAUCUCAAUCGAAAUAUGCAAAAAAUCUUGUGGAAAAGUUUGGUUUUGAGGAUGCAAAAUCUGCAAGAACUCCAAUGAGCACUAGUGCUAAAAUUCAUAGAGACUUGCAUGGCAAAAGUGUGGAUCAAACUCUCUAUAGAAGUAUGAUAGGAAGUCUUCUCUACUUGACUGCUAGUAGACCAGAUAUUUCUUAUAGUGUUGGAGUGUGUGCUCGGUUUCAAAGUGACCCAAAAGAGUCUCACUUGUUUGCUGUUAAGAGAAUCAUAAAAUAUGUGAGUGGGACUGUUGAGUUUGGGUUGUGGUAUACCUAUGACACUUGUGUCAGUCUGGUUGGUUAUAGUGAUGCCGAUUGGGCAGGUUGUAGAAACCCCUCCCGGGGGGGGGGGGGGGGGGGUCUUUUAUGUAGGCAACAACCUUGUUGCUUGGCAUAGCAAAAAACAAAAUUCUGUCUCCUUAUCCACUACUGAAGCAGAGGAUGUUGCAGCUGGGAGUUGCUGCACUCAACUCCUUUGGAUGAGACAAAUGUUGGAAGCUAUGGUCUUGCUCAAUCAUGCUUUCUCAUCUAUUGUGACAACAUGAGUGCCAUAGACAUUUCUAAAAAUCCUGUUCAACACUCUAGGACUAAGCAUAUAGACAUUAGGCAUCAUUUUAUUAGAGAUCUUGUGGAAGAUAAAAUUCUAUCUUUGGAAUUUGUUCCCUUUGAGAAACAGCUAGCAGAUAUACUCACCAAGGCCUUGGACUUUCAGAAACAUGUCACACUUAGGCAGUCCAUUGGCCUUUGCUCAAUUGAUUGAUUAGCUUGUCUGUUCCUUAUCUUCAGCACAUUGCAGAAUUGUUGACUAGUCAUCUUCGUUUUAGUUGACUAGUCAAAUAUUUUUUUGGUGUGUAAAUGUCUAAAACAUAUGCUUCUUCUGAUCUCUGGUGGUAUGAAGUUUGAAUCAUUUUAUGCUUUGCCUGAUUUGUGGAUAAUUCCCCCCUUCUUGUUUGGAGCCAUUAGAUGAAAUCUUUUGGUGUUCUUUCGUCCUCUUGUUGAGACAAGUGUUGUGAUCCAUUAUGGACAAUCAUUGUUAUAAUCUCCUAUCUUUUCUCACUCUCUUAGGCAAUUUGUUUAGCAUUAAACAAAAAAUAAAAAAUAAACAAAAAAUAAAAAAAAUAAAAAAAAGUGUGACCAAUGUAGUCACGACUCUAGGAAGGUAUAAGGUGUUAUGAUUGAAGAAUCUAGAGCAAGAGCCGCAAAAUUGGGCCACUCAAGCACUUAAGUCUAGGAUGUGCAAAUAACAAGGAUAAUAAAUGGCCAGAUUGAGUGAUGAAAAUCAAAUAGGUUGGGUUUAUGCCUUGAGUUUGUCUUGAAGGUUUAUUAUAUACUUGUCUCUCCAAGAGGGGUAUUUCUUCUUCUCUUGUGUUCUUCUUUUGGCUCUGAACCUCCUCUGUCCAUUUUGCCUUAUCUCUGAGCAUGAAAUCUAAUUCAUAUUCUAUCUAUCAGAGUUAGUUGCACUUGUUUUUGUUUGCACAUGUGGUUAUCUUCUCUCUCUCUUCCUUCCUGUGCUUGAAGAUUUGGACUAGGCUAUAGUAGCUAAUAGAUCGUUGAUCACUUGAUAUAUUUGCUAGUUCAUGUUUGUGUUUUUUUUUUAAAAACCCACAAUCUUGUCUUCCACAGGGUCGAUACUAACUUUGAUGCGUGUCAUGAUAUUGCCUUAGUUGACUAGUCAUCUAUGCUUAUGGUUGACUAGUCAUCCGGUUGUGUUAUAUUUGAUGCCCGUCAUGUUAUUGCCUUAGUUGACUAGUCAUCAUUUUUGUGGUUGACUAGUCAUCUAGUUCUGCCUGUUUUUGUUAUUGCCUUGGUUGACUAGUCAUCAUGCUCAUUGUGGUUGACUAGUCAUCAGGUUUUUCUCCUGAACAAUACGUCCUUUUCUUUAGCGGUUAUUCUUAUUAUUUUAUUUUUUUUUCAUUUUUUUUUCUUCUCUUUUUUGUGUUUUGAGCGGUUCUUUUUCAUUGGGGUCAGUUUUCGCAUUUUUUCCUUUUUAGGUCUGUUUCCCUCUUCUUCGUUAGAGUCUACUUUCACUCCCGUUCUCUCUCUGUUCUCUUCAGACACAAACCCAGGCCCCCGCUUCCCUUUCUCCCUCUGUGUUAGUCUCUUCGCCCCUUCUUCCCUCUGUUUUUCUCUUCCAAUUUCUUCCCGCUGACCACCAUGUCGUCCUCCGCGCCCUUCCUCACUUACCAGCGCCGCUCCAAAUCCAAAUCCAAUGACAGAGUGGAUUUUAUACCCUCCAUUCCUAGGGCUCCUAGGACUCGCUCUUCUCACUCUGUUCCCGCUGGAGACUCCUCCCCGUUUGUGUCUCCUGAGGCAGCCUCGUUCUUCGAUGGUGUUGUCUCUAAAAGGAAGUUUGUGCCUGAGAGAGCUUACCAAAUUGAUGCUCCCCCCUUAGCGGCCCAGGGUUCUGCAACUCAGAUUUUUGAGCACUGCCAUCUCCAUUCUCUCAACACUCUGUCUGGUAAGUUCAAUGCUUCUGUCGUUAAAGAGUUUUACUCGAAUUUUCCUGCUGAUCCUAAGGGGUCUAAUUAUCAGUGUGUUGUUCGUUAUGUGCCCAUUACUCUGAGACCCUCUGUCAUUAAUAGGGUUUUAGGUUUUCGGUCUUGCCCUGGUUUUGAUUCUGAUCAGUUUGCUCUUGCCUCUUCUCAAUACACUAUUGAUCUAUUUAAAACCAUGGCCUAUACUGAUCAAACAAUGCCCCUGACUUCUAAAGGUGUUCCUAUGAAGUCUUAUCUGUCACCAUUCUACAAAUUUCUAUGGGAUUUUAUCUGUCACAAUGUUCUCCCAACUAGAAAUAAUUCAAACCCCACUUUGGCUGGCUGUCAACUCAUGAUUUCAAUGGUGAAUCAUGAUAAAAUUCCCUUUGGGGAUAUUCUUUAUCAUGCAAUUCUUGGCAAAACCAUAGGUCAUGGUACAAAACACAAAGGGACUCUUGUCUUCCCAUGUCUUAUCCAGCGUCUCUGUGAGAGAAACCAGGUGGUUUUUCUUGACUCUGAUCAGUGCACUCCUCCUAUUGCUCCAUUUGGCAAGGCUUUUGUUGCCCUUAGCCAAAAAGUUUCAAAAACUUUUCUCACCUCUGUGUCAUCUACUUAUGAAAAUGACUAUCUUAGAUCUCAGCUUGCUACCAAGGAGAAACAUAUUCAACAUCUGUUAAGCCUCAUUCCAUCCUCUUUGGUUCCUGCUGCUGCUGCUGCUGAAGUACAUCCUCAGCCGACUCCUGCCACGGAGGUCUCAGAUGAUUCUGUAGAUUCUGAUGAGUCUGCUGAUUCUCUUGUUUUUUAGCUACAGUGAUCUUGUAGGCAAUGUCCUAGAUAGGGGGAGUAUUUUUGGACAAGUAUAUGUUUGUAAUUCCCUUGUGGAAAUUUGUUUUUGCUUGGGUAGUCUGUGCAUCUUGAUAGGGGGAGUUGUGUUGUAUUAUUUUGAACAAGUGAUUUUUGCUUUGUAAUCAACCUAUGCUAUGUGUUUUUCACUUUGUUCAAAUCUGAUUAUCUGCCUUGUGUUUCAUCCCCUUGUAUGCUGACUCUCUCUCCUUGCACUUUCCUUAUCAACAAGGAGGAGAACACUCUCAACCCCCAUAUUGCAUAUUGUUUCAAAAUUCUGUGAUAUAAUAUGCCUGUUUUUGUGCCUGGAAGAUUGGUUGUUCUUGCAGGUAUCCUCACUUCAUCAUCUCCUUAGGCUUGGUUUUGGGUUGAGUGUUGUUAGAGAGUGUGUUGUCAAGGAAAGCCAAAAAGGGAGAGAUUGUUAAUGUAUGCAUUUUGGGUUUUUCUUUUGGCUUCCCUUGACAACUUUGUAAUAGGAUCUCUAUUGUUAUUUAUCAAGCUCAAGUUUAGAUUGAGAAUAGCUUCUCUAGGUGUUCUUAACUAACAACUAUCAUAUGGAGGUUCAUGCAAAUUGGCAAAGGUAAAUUGUGCAUUGCAUAACAUUGCAUUAUACUGUUUUCAUAAAAUGAUGACUAGUCAUAUGUUUCUUGGAUGACUCGUCAUCCUUGCUCUCCAGCUUGAUAACCAACUUUUUUGUCCUAUUCCUUUUUCUCUCUCUGCUGCCACAUGGGAUUCUGACCUAAGGGUAUUUUUUGGUCUGUAUAGGCCUUGCGAUUCCUCUUUUGGCAAGCCGUCUCUUUUGUGUAGAAUUGGAGGAAAGAUUGGUUUUCUAUAUUUCCGUUCUUCUUCCACAAGAAAGAACAAUAUUUCAUCUAUGAGUUUUUCCAAAUUGAUUUCUUUAUGAAAAAACUGCAUUUGAAAUAUGAAUUUGCAUCUAGCUUCAUAAAAACAUUCUCUCAUUUAUAUCUAGGUCAGAUUCACUACUGAUUUCUUCAAGAGUAUGGUUUCUUGAAGAAAUUGGUUAUUCUCCCUUGAAUCCAAAUUUUGGUUUCUGUUUGAGUUGAGCUUGCAAGCUGGUGCCAUGGGAUGAAUGACUGAAGAAGGAGCUGCCAUUGCCAUGAAGAACUGGGCUUCAAGCUUUGCUAAGUUAGAGAAGAAGAUUGCACAAAGGAGGUAUUGCUCAUCUUCCUAAAUAGAUCUAGGUUUUGCUUGAGCUUGCUUGUGUUCCUUUGUAAGAAUCUUUUUCUACUUAGUUGAUUGCCUGGUCGGUUGAUGACCCCCAGUUUUUUCCCAAUGGUGGGUUUCUGGGUGAACAAUUUCUGAUUGCAUUCUUGUAAUUUUUCUGGGUUUGUGUUCUUGGUGGUCGACUAGUCAUCGUAUGAAUUAUGGUUGACUAGUCAUCAUUAUCUGCUGUUUGGUGUUUGCUUGAUUAUGCUGUCUUCACACGUUUUCACCAUAGUUGUUGCUAGCACAGGGGAUGCCUAGAUUGAUGGGUCUUUCUGAGUGCCUAGGUUGUCACUAGUAAUUCUCUAGGCCUGCAGGUACAUCAUGGUAUGUUCUAUGUAUGUUGUUGUUUGGUAUAAUUCAUAUCUGACAGUUGACUAGUCAUAAGAGUGUGUGAAGUUUGUUGCAUUUUUGGCUGAAUAUCUUUUAAGUUUACCCAUCGUCACCUAAGUACCGAUUUCAACAUGAGACCUUGCCACAGUAGAUUGAUAUAACUAAAUAUUAUCAUAAACAUAGAAAUAUAUAAGUAUUAUUAUAAUAGGAUUCAUAAUAAUUAAUAUAAAAGUAUAACAACAACAUUUACAAUUAUGUACCAAGAUAAUUACACAUAAAAAUAUAACCAAUAUAUAUUUAUAUAUAUUUUUUAAAAUACGGAUCUUUACGUAAAUGCCUUUCACGGGUCAAGCCACAAGUCUGUGUUUUGGGGAUUGCAGAGCUGCAUCAAUCUUGCCAAUGUCAAUUCUGACCCUGGGCUCUCUCAAAGCACGUUUAAAACCUAUGCUAACAUAUACUAGAGUUUAUGCUGUAUCUAGAAAAUGCCAACACUAAUUUCGUAACACAUAGAAUUGUUAGAGAUUAGAAGUUUUUAUCAUUUUUUCUUCCAGUCUCUCCACCACUCACUAAUACAGAUUACUCAUGUGAUGAGUUUACAAAACCUAUUUCUCUACUCUCGCAAAGACUAUACUUCUUCUCAAAAGACUAGAUCACUUUACCUCUAUCUCUGUGAAAUGUAAAAAGUUGAAACUUUAAUGUCAAACCUCGACAAAGUGUUCUACUUACAAACUUCUUGUGUCUACCAAUUUCUACAAAAAUUAAUUUCUCUACGGUGCUCAGAUUCAUCAUAUGUGUGUCCUUAAUUUUAGUGGAAAUUGGAAGUUUCCAUAAUUUUUGCUUUAAGUCACUCUUUUGAAGGAAGUUGAGAUUCCACUCCAUAAUCCAAAAUGUCAGGUUGACUUAUGGCAAACAAUGUAAAUAUGUAGGAGUACUAUGACCUUUUAUAGCAUUUUAAGUUUGAAUUUGGGUUUUAUACAUAGAUUUCGAAAUUAAUAGGUUGAUGCCUAGGAAAUAGAAAUUGUAAGGGCCUAUAUUAGACUAGCCCUCUUAAAAAAUAUAUUAAUUAAUGAAUAUUUGUUCUUCUUCUUGUUUUGAAGUAGUGGUGGGAGGCAGACCAACAACAAAAAUAUAGUGAAGGCUUAUAAGAGCAUUUACAAUUAUGCUCCCUAUUUUUUAGUUAAUAUUUAGGUAAAAAUAGAAAAAAGUUAUUAUAUGAGCUCUUUAUAAAAUUUGAACUCCAAUCAUACUCCCUAGUUUAGGGAGUCAAAAAUACUAUAGUUAUUUUUUAAUUCAAAUUGAUUUUGGUUAAUCUCUAUAAAUAAAUAAAAAUAUAAAAAAUAGUUAGCAUUAAUUAAAAGUUUAAACUAUGCAUAAAACAAAGAAACAUUAAAUUAUAGGGAGCCACUAUGAGUCAUUACUCUCUCUUCAGAUUUAGGAGCUCCUAGAGGUCUCCCUAUUUUAUGAGGUGGAUAAAGAGCAUGGUUGGAGUUGUAUUUCUUCAAUUUCCUCUCUAAAAUUUGUCUAAGGAUGUGGUUUAGGGAGCCCAUUGUGAAUGCUCUAACUCUGGUAAAACACGAGUGACAUGGACAACAUAUGUUACAUCGUACUGAAGAUUUUUGGGUUUCUUUAAUUGGUUAAGUAGCAUCCACAAUGAGCUUUCUAAAUCAUCUCCUUAGACAAAUUUUAGGGAGGAAUUGGAAAAGUACAACUCCAACUAUGCUCCCUAUCCACCAACUAAAAUAGAGAGACCUUUAGGAGCUCAUAAAUCUGAUGAGAGAGAAAGAACUCUUAAUGACCCCCUAUAAUUUAAUGUUGCUUUAUUUUAUGCAUAUUUUGAACUUUUAAUUAAAUCAAAUUAUUAUUUUUAUAUUAUUUUGAAUACAGCCGGAUCAAUUAUAUUAAAUUAAAAAAUAAUUAAAAUAUUUAUAACUCUCUAAACUAGAAAGCAUGAUUGUAGAUCAUCUUAUAUACCUUAAUUUGAAGAUUCUUUAUUUGGGUUUCUUUCAAGACUUAUCACCUUAGCCACACCACCUACACGUCUGCAAGCUUCCGUAAUCUAACAAGGAAGGGGAGGCUGCGCAAUACUUAUCACCUUAGCCACACCACCUACACCACAAGACCAAUAUGUGUAGUCCAGCAGGCUUUCCAAUUUUAAUAUAUAUUAUAAAAUAAAAUAAAAAUCAAUCUAUUAUCAUAUAUAUUAUAAAAUAAAGAUUAUUGCUCCAUCCUCCAUGCACUUGCAUGCCCUCUUACAAAGUGUGAAGUAGAUUUUGUGUGCUCCAAGUCAUUGACGAGAGCUGUAACAUGGUUAGCUGGAUUUAUAAGAUCUUUUCUUUUCUGGGAAUUUUCUGAAUUAAGAAAAAUCAAGUAAAAUUAAUAAAGCAUAAAUUAGAAAGGGAAAAUAUCUAGAGGAUGCAUUGUAGGAUUGCACAUGCCAAUAAUUGUAUCCUCUAAAUAUAUAGCGACACAUUUUUUUUGUUUUCAUGACUUGUGGUCCUAAAAUUAUUGUUCCUAGCGGGCUUUUCACCCUCUCUCGAUUGAAAAUCAAUUGUGUAAAUCUUCAAUCUUGAAUGAUGCACCUAAAACUCAAGUGUCCCAGGCCAAUUAUUGCUCUCAUACCACUUGUUGUAAUAAACAUUCACCCAUUCUAAAGGAAAGAUAACCAUCGAUAUUAUCUGAAAUUUAACCACUUAAGUUCAUUAUGAUUAACUAUGUAUCUUAUGGACCAAUCCAAUCGUAAGGUUUUAUACUCAAUUAGAUCGACCAAUACAAAGUUCACACUGGAUUAAAAAGGGCUAUCGGUAGGGGAGUGUUCGGCACCCUUUACUGUGGAGCGCAACACAAGACCCCUUGCAUGCCCUCACUAAGUUGAGCCCAACUAUUUUUGAGCAUUAACAAUAUAUAUAGAUUGAAAAAAUAAAAUAAAAAUCAAUCUAUUAUCAUAUAUAUUAUAAAAUACAUAUUAUUGCUCCAUCCUCCAUACACUUGCAUGCCCUCUUACAAAGUGUGAAGUAGAUUUUUUGUGCUCCAACUCAUUGACUAGGGCUGAAACAUGGUUAGUUGGAUUUAUAAGAUCUUUUGUUUUUUGGGAAUUUUCUGAAGCACGGAAAAUCAAAUAAAAUUAAUAAAGCAGAAACUGUACCCUUUAAUUAUAUAUGGACAUAUGUUUUUUUGUUUUCAAGUCUUAGAUGACAUGGGGACCCCUCUCAAAUUUAAGUGGUCCAUUAUUGUUAACCACAUAUUUUAUGGACCAUCCAGCUUCGGUACAUUUCUCCCACAUGCCACAAUUGUAUAUUCACAAUUACGUCUGAUACAUCACAUCAUGCCACUUGCCUCACAUGCCACAAUUGUAUAUUCACAAUUACUUCUGGGUACCCCUCAUCAGUCGUCUAUAAAAUGGUGAAGCCAGUUGCUACUGUUACCAUAAGAGCCAGCUCCGACUUUCUUUAAUUUCUUGCUACAUCUGUUGCUAAGUUAAUUUCAGUCCUAAUGGGGUUUCAUCUCCCACUCAUCUUUGCUAUUCUCAGUGUAAGCUCUGCAAUUUGAUUAACUUUUCCAUUCUCUCUCAUUGUACUCUAUAUAUAUAAAUGAAAGUUUUGUGUUCCUAUAAUUCUCUCCGAUUUUAUUUAGUACGUACUUAAGUGUCGUCCACUAAUUAAUUACACUUUGUGAGAUUUGAUUUUAAUUAGAGUUCGAAUUAAUGUUGCAGCUAGCAGCGGUUGCACUGGCAAACAAUGCUGCUCAACCAGCACCUCAACUUUACUGGAACUCCGUCCUGCCAAACACACAGAUGCCAAGAUCUAUCAGUGAACUUCUGCAUCCUGGUUUGUGUUCAGCUCUUUAUAAUCUUAGAUAUCUCUUCUACCUGCCAUUUUACUAAACUAUGUUCGACCACAUAUUUAUCAGUUAACUACUGUCAUUACAAGAAUGACACUUAUUUUCCAAUAUAAUUUGCAGACUCCACAAAUGAAGAAAAGAGCAAACCUGAAAUUUUCCCAUUGCAGGGCAAUAGAGUUUACACUCAAAGCCAUUAUAAAAAACGUCCUCCUCCUCCAUCUGACGAGGGCAAACCUGAAAAUUUCCCAUUGGCCAAUAGCUUUUACACUCAAACCCAUUAUAAAAAACGUCCUCCUCCUCCAUCUGACGAGGGCAAACCUGAAAAUUUCCCAUUGGGCAAUAGCCAUUAUUCUCAAACAGGGUAUGCAAAAGGUCCUCCUCCUCCUCCUAAAAUUUUCCCAUUUUCAGGUUACAGUCGAAAAAGGUAUGGAGGAAGUCCUCCUCCUCCUUCUCCAUUCGUUCAAAAAGACUAUGGACAGAACGAUAAACAUUACGUUCAAAAAAACUAUGGAAAAGUUCCUCCUCCACCUGACAAUCAACUACUCCAUUAUAAAGACUUGGCUAUUUUCUUCUUCGAGAAGGACAUGCGCCCUGGCGCAACAAUGAAGUUCCAAUUCCCUAGAAAUUCAAACACGGCUACUUUCCUGCCACGCGAAAGUGCUCAAUCGAUCCCCUUCUCCUCUAAGAAACUACCAGAAAUUUUCAACCAUUUUUCAGUGAAGCCAACAUCUGAGGAAGCCAAAACAAUUAAGCAAACAAUCGAAGAGUGUGAAGCUCCAGGCCUUAAGGGAGAGGAAAAAUAUUGCGCCACAUCUUUAGAAUCAAUGGUUGAUUUUAGCACUUCGAAGCUUGGAACAAGAAACGUUGAAGCAAUCUCAACGGAGGUAUUGGAAGAAGGAGCCACCAAGUACAUGCACAACUAUACAACAAUGCCGGGACUGAAGAAGUUGGAAGGUGACAAAGUCGUUGUGUGUCAUAAGGAGAACUAUCCCUAUGCUGUGUUUUUCUGCCAUGCAAUAAAACAAACAGCAGCUUAUGUUCUCUCCCUGAAAGCCGAUGAUGGGAUGAAGGUGAAAGCAGUAACCAUCUGCCAUCUAGACACAUCAGAAUGGGACCCAGAGCAUUUGUCCUUCCAAAUCCUCAACGUUAAGCCCGGAACCACUCCCAUCUGCCAUUUCCUUUCCACUGAUGCUAUUGCCUGGGUUCCAAAACACAAGUCUGCAUGAUCAUCACUUAGCACUGUACGUAUAAUAAGCUUGGUCGGGUUGCACCCUAGGCCUGCAUAAUUAUCUCCCUACUUAUUUCUGCCUCUUUAUCAUGCGGUGUAAGAUAUAUGAUGAGAUGAAGUUUUCUCUUGUAACUAUGUAGACUACUUCAACUUGUACUCAUAAUAAAGCACGCUGUUGGGGGGUUCUACUUAAUUUCGUUCUCUCCAAUGUUUGAGUGUUGAAUUGUUACGUUGGAAUAGGCUGCUAAUGCAUGUAGUUAGAGAAGCCUUCAUUUAUAUCAAAGUCCUCAAACUAUCAAGAAUUAAUGUAUCCAGAAACAUAUACCAAGACGCAAAAUGUCACAUCCCGGAAUCAGCUACUUCCCAGUGGGUCACCCAUCCUGGGAUUGCUCUAGCCCCCAACUCGCUUAACUUCGGAGUUCCUACGAUUCCGAAGCCAGUGAGCUCCCAAAAGGCCUCGUGCUAGAUGGAUGCGGGUGUGCACAUAUAAGGCACAAUACCCCCUCUCCGUUGGUUUGAUGUGGGAUCUUACAAUCCACCCCCCUUAAGGGUCCGACGUCCCCGUCGAUACACUCGCACCACACGGCAGAGUGGCUCUGAUACCAAAUUGUCACAUCCCGGGAUCAGCUCCGCCGUAGCACGAUAUUGUCCGCUUUGGGCCCCCCUCUCUGCCCUCACGGUUUUGUUUCUGGGAGCUCACGAGCAACUUCCCAGUGGGUCACCCAUCCUGGGAUUGCUCUAGCCCCCAACUCGCUUAACUUCGUAGUUCCUACGAUUCCGAAGCCAGUGAGCUCCCAAAAGGCCUCGUGCUAGAUGGAUACGGGUGUGCACAUAUAAGGCACAAUACCCCCUCUCCGUUGGUUUGAUGUGGGAUCUUACACAAAACAACAUAUUUUCCAUUCUCUGUCUGUAACACCAAGGCAAACUUCCUUUAUCACAUCAUUUAAAGGAUCAAAUUCCAGUACUAAUCUAAUCCAUCAUGUAAAGCAUACAAGUGCCUACCUAAAUUUGUCCAUUGGAUAUAUAUGUCACUUCUUAUUUUUUGAUAGAGAUAUAAAUGUUGAGAAAAUUAGAGUACACAACUCCAAUAUAGACUUGUUAGAGACAAAACAAGUAAACAAAUUCCUUGUAUUAGACUCACAAAAUAUUAAAACAAGACAACUCUCAAAGAAAAGACAAACUCUCACACUUCUCACAAGGACUACUUAACUUUAUAGCUUAUUGCAUAUAGCAUAUGCAAACACAAUUACAACAUACCUACGUACACUAUGGAAACACUCGUGUAUAUUUGAACACAAGAAAACAUGUGCACCGUGCACGGUUCACAUGAAGUAAGAAAUGAAGAGGAAAUAAAGGAGAAGAAUACAAAAGAAAAUGGAGAUGAGAAAAAAAAAACACGAAUAAUGAAAAAUGAAUUGACAAUUAUAUGUGGUUGACAUUAGAUCUAAUAUUAUAUGUAACAACUAUUGAUCUAAAAUAAACAUUAAAUCAAACAAUAAUUAAAAGAUUUGACAAUAUAAAAAUUUAUUGAGGACAAAAAAAGGCAAAAACUUAUGAAAAAUGGAAACAAUAAAUAUGAACUGAGUCAUCAACUCAUCAUGGUAAGUUUGCUGACGUAUAAAAAUAGUCAAUGAACUACAUCGAAAAGUAAUUGGCUUACAUCAAAAAUUAAAAUCACGUGGUCUACCUACUAUAUAGGAUGAAAAAAUUACGUGAACAAUAUACUUACACCAUGGGAACACUCCUAUAUAUUUGAACACAUGAACACGUGUUCAAGGUUAUAUAUUUCAUUACCUUCACAAUAGGUACCAAACCGUACCAUGCGAACAUUCAUAUACGCACAACAUACUUAUAACAUACCUACACUAUGGGAACACUCGUGUAUAUUUGAACACAAGAAGACCUGUGCACCACCGUGCACGGUUCACAUGAAGUAAGAAGAUGAAGAGGAAAUAAAGAAGAAGAAUACAAAAGAAAAUGGAGAUGAGAAGAAGAAAAAAAAAACACGAAUAAUGAAAAAUGAAUUGACAAUUAUAUAUGGUUGACAUUAGAUCUAAUAUUAUAUGUAAUAACUAAUGACCUAAAAUAAACAUUAAAUCAAACAAUAAUUAAAAGAUUUGACAAUAUAAAAAUUUACACGUAAGCAAACUCACCAUGGUAAGUUUGCUGACGUGUAAAAAUAGUCAAUGGACUACAUCGAAAAAUAAUUGGCUUACAUCAAAAAUUAAAAUCACGUGGGUUAUUCCUAAGAAACCUUAAUAUUUUUGGGUUUAUAUAUUUUUUGUAUUUUUUUAAAAUAAAAAAAAGAAAAGAAAUCUGACCAUGUAUGUAUGAUGAUGAUAUGCAUGUUAUUUUUAGACCUAAGGUAAAACAGACAAACUUUUUACUCCAUUUUUCAUGAGGUUUAUCACAAUAAUUAAACUGUUAUAUCCUCCAUUUUAGAUCUCAUGCUUCCAUUUAAAGAAAAGAAUAUCAACAACAAAAAAAAGAAUAAAGUUACAACAUUGAUCAAUUCAAAUGUCCAACUACCGGAUCAUGAGCUCCUGCACUUAGCGAUAUGCAGAUAAAUGCGUAGUGUCUUAAUGCAGAGGCUCGGGAUCCCCAACUACCAUUGAAACAUAAGAAACUAAAAUCUGCAAGAAAAUGCUAUCAAUUGAAAAAACAAUAAUUAAAAAACAAAAAAAGGAAGGGAAUUCGCACCGCUAUGCAAAAAAGAGCAAGUCGGUUCAAUGAUUUUUUUUCUUCUUCUUUUUGUUAUGGAAAUGAAAAGCUCAAUGAUGGGCUAUAUAUAGGAAGAAGCUCAAUGAUUGAAUUAUUAUCUUCUAUCUACAUUCUACCCUCUUCCUCGCUACAUACACAAAUGGUGCACACCAGUAACUAAGCUUGUUUUGGGUUCGGUGGCUCACUGUAAAAGCUCAAUGGAGAUGGUUUGAGGUAGAAUUUUCUCCUAUUUCAAUAGGACAAUGAUGAGCUCUAUGGAUUUUUUUUGUUUGUUUAUAGAAAUUAAAUGGUAUAGGGUCUAUCUAUAUUAUUAAUGCUAAGAAUGAGAAUAUGACUAAAUAACUCAAAAAAAAUUUAUAAUAAAUCAACAAUUUUUUUUUUUUAAAAAAAAAUCUAUAGAAUCUUUUAUUAGAUCAAUAGGCACCACUAGAAAAUCUCCAUAUAAGCCACUACUAAUACACCCGUGACUACUGACAAACCCGUAGCCAAAGAGUAUUGGCCACCUGCCACACGACAGUGGUCCAAGCAUAAUGUUGUCAUUCAUUAUUCCCCACAGCAACCAGCAUCCAAUAAAGGGUUGGGGCCCACCCAUAUUCCACCUCUCUUUAUGAAUAUAAAAGAAAUAUUUUUUAUUCAACAUGGACGCAGAAACUGUUGCUAAACUGCAAACUUCUUAAAAUAUUUAUCUAACUUUCUAGAUCCAUGUACUGAGAUUUAUUAGGGAAAUAUUGUAGAAACUGAUUAUUUUGAAAUAUUAAAUGUGAAAAACUGAACAAAAAUUUGAUGGGUUACAUAUUUCAACUCAUUUCAGCAGCUUAGAUUUUGAAGACCUCGGAAGAGGCUAUGCAAUGAGCCUAGCUAGUGCACUGUUGAUCACUUCAGUGUCUACCGAUCUGUAAUUUUUCCAGAUUGGUUAUAUUUUCCUUUACAUAUUCUUAUAUUACCGAUCACUUCAGUGUCUACCGAUCUCAUAUUUCUGGCAGAACAAUAAAUCUUUCAACAUUAAAAGUUUAAAACUCCAAGAUGCUAAAUUUAACGUUAAAAUAAAUAAUUAAAAGGGCUAAUGAAACCUAUAUGCCCAGGUGAGGAGCAUGCCACAAACUUAUUUCAACCCCAAAACUUCAUUAAAAAGCCCAAAACACUCAAUGAGGCAUCUAAGUAAUUUAAUAAUUAAAAUUAAAUUCAAUAUGACCAGCUAUCAUUUUUUGGGUUUUUUUUUGUUUGUUUCUAGAAAUUAAAUAGUAUAGGAUUUAUUUAUAGUUUUAGUGCUAAAAAUGGGUAUAUGACUAAAUAUCUCUAUAAAAAAAAUACCUAUAUGUUUGAGAAACAAAAUAAUAAAACUACAACAUAGGUUAAAAACAUUCUAAUAAACUCAAUACAUAUGGUCUACGUACUAUACAGGAUGAAAAAAUUACAUGAACAAUAUACCUACACCAUGGGAACACUCCUGUAUAUUUGAACACAUAAACACGUGUUCAAGGUUAUAUAUUUCAUUACCUUCACAGUAUUCAUCAAAACCCACCAUGGGAACAUUCAUAUACACACAACAUAACAUACCUACACUGUAGGAACACUCGUGUAUAUUUGAACACAAGAAGACAUGUGCACGGUUGAUGUGAAGUAAGAAGAUGAAGAGGAAAUAAAGAAGAAUAAUACAACAGAAAAUGGAGAUGAGAAAAAAAACACGAAUAAUAAAAAAUGAAUUGACAAUUAUAGAUAGUAGACAUUAGAUCUAAUAUUAAAUGUAAUAACUUUUGAUCUAAAAUAAACAUUAAAUCAAACAAUAAUUAAAAGUUUUGACAAUGUAAAAAGUUAUUGAGGACUAAAAAAGGCAAAAACAUUUGAAAAAUGGAAACAAUAAAUAUGAGCUGAGUCAUCAGCUCACUAUGGUAAGUUUGCUGACGUGUAAAAAUAGUCAAUGGGUUAGAUUAUUAUUUGUGGGUAACUAAAAUCUCGUUUAACAACAAUAGUUAACGUUUGUUUAGAGAAGGAAAAAAACUUGAUGAUGUGUCAUGUUCUAAAGGGUUAGAUUAUUGUAAUGGCUUAGAUUUAAUGAAAUACAGGUAAAUGCGUAAUGUCCAAAUGUAGAGGCUCGGAAUCCUCAUCUACCAUUGAAACAUAAGAAACUAAAAUUUUCAAGAAAAUGCUAUCAACUGAAAAAACAAAAAACAAAAAACAAAAAGGGAAGGGAAUUUGCACCUGCUAUGAUGGGUUGAAUGAUUUUUUCUUCUUCUUCUUCUUUUUCUUUUUCUUUUUGGUUCUUUAGAUCUAGUUGCACAUUCCAAAGAAAUAAAACCUCAGGCAUGCAUGCAAUGCAAGCUCUUUUCCCAUGUUUUCCUCUGUUUUCCUCCUAUUUUCCCAUGCAAACUCUUUUCUUAUAUGGAAGUGAUUAAAGUGUGAUUCAUUGAAUAUUUGCGGGGUUUUGUUCAGACCUAACAAAGUUCUAAGUGAGCACAUCAAAUUUCUUUUACCCAAUCAAAUUCAACUAGGUUUAUUCUACGACCUUAUGCUCGAUCAUUUUCCACAAGCAACCGUCCACGUACCAAGUAUUUAUUUUAUAUCAACGAGUACGAUGGUCCAUGUAAGUAUUCUAAUAAUUCACUCCAGUUGCAGGCCCCAAUAAUAUAGAAGGGCCAAUGGUCUUUCAUUUGAUGAAAGCUGCUAUCUACUGAUAACAAAGUUCAAUGAAGACGUAGGAAGAAACUUUGAGAAGAAGCUUGCAAUUUCUUUUAUUGAUUUUCUCUCUUUUUCGAUCUACUUCACAAUGAACAGUAUCUAAUAUUUAUAUGACAGAAGCACUUAGCUUCUCAGCUACGACUUAACAAACACGUGAACCCACGUGAACUUCUAACUAACUAAACGCAUUAUAUACAUGUCUUUUGCCAAUCAUCCCCCCUCAAUCGCAGUGGUGGCUGGACCAACACUAAGAUUGUGACAGUGUUUCAAAAACAAUGGACUAUGCAGGCCCUUUGUGAAAAUGUCGGCAACUUGUUCUUCAGUAUUGACAUAUCGAACCACCAAAUCAUGACGCUGAACCCGUUCUCUGAUAAAGUGAAAAUCAAGUUCUAAAUGCUUUAUGCGAGAGUUUAAAACUGGAUUACUACUUAAGGCCAAUGCUGAUAAAUUGUCACUAUGUAAGACUGGAGCUUCAGGAACAAUAAUAUGUAAGUCUUGAAGAACAUAUCUGAUCCAAGAGAUAUCAGCAGCACAGUUGGCAAGAGCUCGAUACUCUGCCUCUGUAGAACUACGAGAGACAGAAGAUUGCUUACGAGAGGACCAAGAGAUAGGAUUCUGUCCAAGAAAUACAACGUACCCUGUAGUAGAGCGACGAGUAUUGGGAUCCCCAGCCCAAUCUGCGUCACUAUAGCCAACCAAAACAGAAGAACCAGAUGUAAAUGUCAAACCAUAAGAUAAAGUGCAUUGCACAUAUCUCAGUAUACGCUUAACUAAAGUCAUAUGAAUAUCAGUAGGAGCAGUCAUAAACUGGCAUACGGUGUUCACAGCAUAUGCCAGAUCUGGGCGUGUGAAUGUGAGGUAUUGAAGAGCUCCAACCAAGCUGCGAAACAUUGUAGGAUCAGGAAGUAAUGUACCAUCAGUUGUCAGAACAUGACAAUGAGGUUUACAAGGUGUAAUUGAUGGUUUACAAGUUUCCAUGCCAGCUCUCCUAAGUAAAUCACGAGCAUAUUUAGCUUGGUUGACAAACAAAUCACCAUUGGACUGAUAAGAAACCUCCAAGCCCAAGAAAUAAGUAAGCUGGCCAAUAUCUUUCAUAUCAAACACUUGUCCCAAAUCAUCAAUCACAGAUUGCGCUAGGGUAGAACUUGACCCCGUGAUGAUAAUGUCAUCCACAUACAGCAAAAGAAUAACCACAUUAAGACCAUCAUGCUUCACAAAGAGACUAGGAUCGGAGUGUGAAGAAACAAAGCCCAAAGCUGGAAGAUAUCCAGUGAACUUGGCAUUCCAAGCACGUGGUGCCUGUUUAAGACCGUAAAGAGACUUUCGUAGCCGACAUACAUAAUCUGGAUAAUGAUCAUCAAUGAAUCCCAAAGGCUGUUUCAUGUACACUUCCUCCUGUAGGUCACCAUGAAGAAAGGCGUUUUUAACGUCCAAUUGGCGCAAACACCAUCUAUGAGAUGCAACCAAACUUAAAAUCAAUCGAACUGUGGUAUGACGAACUACAAGACUAAAGGUUUCGUCAAAAUCUAUACCUUGUUCUUGACUAAAACCUUGUGCAACUAAACGAGCUUUAUAUCGAGCAAUACGUCCAUCAGCAUGUCUUUUAAUUUUGUAAAUCCAACGACAACCAACAAUAUUCUUAUCAGAGGGUGAAGGAACUAAAUUCCAUGUACCUUGAGUUUGUAAUGCUUUAAUUUCCUCUGUCAUAGCCUGCUGCCACUCAGACUUUGUACUAGCUUCUCGAAAAGUAUGAGGCUUAUCAAGAGCAGUAAUUGUAGAUAAACAAGUGGAAAAACAUUGAAAAUCACCAAAAUCUUUCUUCUUGCUAAUACCACUUUUAAGACGAGUUUGCAUAGAAUGACCAUGCUGUGGAAUGGAAAUAUGAGAAGAAGAACUAGAGGCAUCUGUGACAGAGAGAGGAAGCAAAACCUGUAAUUGAGCAGGAUCCAAAAUAGGUUGCAUAGUCUGAGCAGAACCUAAGACCUCUUGAGCCUCAUAUGUAGAUACUGAAGAAGAUGAAUUCUCAUUUGAACAUGGGAGAGGAGAGUGAUCAGACUCUGUGGUAGUAACAUAUCUAUAAGGCAAUGAAACUGCUAUAGCUGAGGGAGACAAUUGUGUCAUGACAGAAGAAGAUUAGGUUGAGGAUACUGAAUAAUUCUUCAUUGGAAACUGAGUUUCAUCAUAAAUCACAUGUCUUGAAAUAACCACUUUAUGAGUGUCAGGAUGAAAACAAAUAACACCCUUAUAACCAAGAGAAUAUCCAAGGAACACAUGCUCUGCUGAUCGUGGCUCUAACUUGUGAGAAUUAUAGGGUCGAAGAAGUGGAUAUACUGCAGAUCCAAAAACCUUUAAUGAUUGAAGCUCAGGAUUAUGACCAAACAAUUUGAAGUAUGGAGAUGUCAUUUGAAGAAGCUGACAAGGCAUACGAUUUAUGAGAAAGGUAGCAUGAGCUGCAGCAUAGUACCAAAACUUGUCAUUCAAGGCAGCAGUAGCAAGUAAUGUAAUUGUGGUUUCAAUAAUUUGCCUAUUCUUCCUCUCAGCAACCCCAUUUUGCUGAGGGGUAUAAGGACAUGAAAUCUGAUAGAAGCCAAGAAAUCUUUAAAUGCUUUACUAUUAUACUCCCCACCACCAUCAGAUUGAAAAUAUUGCACAGAAGCUUGAAAGUUCUUAGUAAUAUACGCAUGAAAUUUCACAAGUGUGGGAAAAACCUCAGAUUUAUUGAUUAAUGGAAAAAUCCAGAGAAAUCGAGUACAGUCAUCGAUGAUUGACACAUAAUGUCUUUUCCCAUGUUUUCCUCUGUUUUCCUCCUAUUUUCCCAUGCAAACUCUUUUCUUAUAUGGAAGUGAUUAAAGUGUGAUUCAUUGAAUAUUUGCGGGGUUUUGUUCAGACCUAACAAAGUUCUAAGUGAGCACAUCAAAUUUCUUUUACACCAUCAAAUUCAACUAGGUUUAUUCUACAACCUUAUGCUCGAUCAUUUUCCACAAGCAACCGUCCACGUACCAAGUAUUUAUUUUAUAUCAACGAGUACGAUGGUCCAUUCUAAUAAUUCACUCCAGUUGCAGGCCCCAAUAAUUUAGAAGGGCCGAUGGUCUUUCAUUUGAUGAAAGCUGCUAUCUACCAACCCUGCAAUAUGAGCUAUGCAAUGGUGAUGGUGUUACAUGACGUCAGAAUGUCGUAGGGAAAAUAAAAAAUAAAAAGUCAAGGUUUCUUAUUAAUGUUAAUAAAGGCAUAGCAAAAAAUUUGUAGCUCCAAUUGUUCAAAGCAAUUACCCAUGCACUUGAGAUUCUGUGUUUGAAUCUCCAAUUUUCUCUAAUAUUGUUUGUAUAAAAAUAAAAACUUUUGAAAAGACAUUAAUAUUGUAUUCUAUAUUCUAUAAAGUGUUGGACAUGUUUUAUAUUGUUGACAACCCCCUAAUACUUUGGUGGUGCCUAGUUAUAUUCAAUUCGUAUUUAUUUAAUUUGCCACUUACAUUCUUGCCUUAAUACAUCUAGGCUUAUUUUUAUACUAAUUUCUCUAACAUAACUUUUGCACAUUCUUUUAGUCUCUAAUAUAUAUAUUCUAAUAAAUGAUCUUACCCACUUGAGUUAUAAAUCUUUUUUUUUUAAUCAUGAAAAAUCGACAUUUUGACAGUGAGUUGAAAAGCACUCCCCAAUUUUAAUGUCAACCACUUGAAAAAAAAAACAUAAAUUUAAUGACAACAAUUACAUUUAGCAAUGCAACCUAAAUACUCAAAACCUUUGCGCCCCUUUUGCAACGCAUAUAGCAGGGUGAGGAUAUUGCCAAAGGAACUGCGAUAGCCAAUUAAAAAAAAAAGUAAUGAAGGCUUAUAACUCUGGGUUAAGAGAUUGGUCGUGGAGAAUUUACAUAAUUGGAGAAUGUACCAUCCCACAUCGACCAACGGAGAGAUGGUGAUGUGCCUCAUAUGUACAUGCCCACCUCCAUCUAGCACGAGGCCUUUUAGGAGCUCACUGCAUUCAGAGUCAUUGGAACUCCGAAGUUAAGCAAGUUUAAACUAGAGCAAUCCCAGGAGUGGUAAUCCACUGGGAAGUUACUCGUGAGUUCCUAGAAACAAAACCGUGAGGGCAAGGGGCCGAAAGCAGACAAUAUCGUGCUAUGCCCACCUCUAUCUAGCACGAGGCCUUUUGGAAGCUCACUGGCUUCGGAGUCAUGGGAACUCUGAAGUUAAGCGAGUUUGGGCUAGACCAAUCCCAGGAUUGGUGACCCAUUGGGAAGUUGCUCGUGAGUUCCCAGAAACAAAAUCGUGAGUGCAGGGAGCCCAAAGCCUACAAUAACGUGCUAUGGCGAAGCCGAUUCGGGGUAUGACAGAGAAUAUUCAAAUAUUCAAAAUAUUUAUUUCUUUGGAGUGGAGAUUUCAGCUUGAAGACCAACAAUCAAUGAUCAUGAUUUUAAUCCAAGAAGGCAUAAAUUCAACGACAAAUUUUUGUCAACCCGGGGAGAAUGAUGCAGAUAAAAAGCCAUUAAAGUUUAUGGGGCAUUUGAAUCAAAAGCAUUAAUAAGUUCAAUGCAUGAACGUUUUGUUUUGGCUUCUAAUAAAUUCUAUGUAUUUGGAAUGGAAUAGCUAGAGUCGUAAUUAUUUGGAUGGGGCUUAAUGUAUUUGGAUUAAUAGGUUAAUUAAUUUAGGUGCUAGUUCAAUGUGUGCGGUGAGAGAUUAAGUCUUUAAAUACUUGUAUGCUCAUAUUUCUCAAAGGAGUGGUUGUUGAUAAUUGAAAUUGAAAACAAAGAGAAUGUUCUCUCAUCUUUGCUCAUAAUCUGGAUAUUCUUAGAAUUAACGGGUUUGAGUAUUUUAUUCUAUCUUUUAUGCCAAGUUUCGGGUAUUCUUAGACUAAACGGGGCUUGGUGGUUCGUGGUUCGUGUUUUCCAAUAUCCUUGCUCUUUCCAACAUCCUUGCUCGAGUGCCGCUGCACUAGUUGGUAUCAGAGCGGGAUUCAAUUGCAAAACUGAAAUCCUGUGGAGGAACUGCACCCUAGUUGUGUAGUUAGUCAAAUCUACAUCAGCUGUUAUUAGAAAUGGUUAGUGGUGAUCAUACAUUUGAUCAUUUAUUAGAUUUGGAUCUCCCUCCAGUAUUUGAUCAAUGUUCAGAUGGUUCUUGCGAGAUUUGUUGUGAUUAACAUUUUAUAGUGGAAUGCAUUGAAGAAGUCGUGGAAAAUUAUGUCAACCUUCAUAUUGCAAAUGUCGAUGAUUCCAUCGCUUUAUUCAACUCUCAUGAUACUUUCGAAGUUGUUGAAUAUAUUGAUUUCACGGGGGUUGAAAAUUUCAGUCAUCGUAGUGCAACCACUUUGGUUGAUACCAUAAUUCAUAAUAUCUGGGUUAAGAGAUUGGCAGUGGAGAAUUUACACAAAUGGAGAAUAUUCAAAUAUUCAAAAUAUUUAUUUCUUUGGAGUGGGAGAUUUCAGUUUGAAGACCAACAAUCAAUGAUCAUGAUUUUAAUACAAGAAGGCAUAAAUUCAAGGACAAAUUUUUGUCAACAUGGGGAGAAUGAUGCAAAUAAAGAGCCAUUAAAGUUUAUAGGGCAUCUGAAUCAAAAGCAUUAAUAAGUUCAAUGCAUGACCGUUUUGUUUUGGCUUCUAAUAAAUUCCAUGCAUUUGGAAUGGAAUAGCUAGAGUCAUAAUUUUUUGAAUGGGCUUAAUGUAUAUGGAUUAAUGGGUUAAUUAAUUUAGGUGUGUUUAUAUCGGAAAUAAACGGCCUAUGAUCACCGAACACGUGGACAGGAUUGAUAUUGAUCACAGAACCCCUUCGGCAUGCUUCCUACCGAAGCCAUCUAUCUUGGCCCUUUUUACCAUCGGACACGUGUCAUGCUCACAAUCCAUGUCCACAGUCCCACAUCGGAAAUAUGAGCACAGUGCACACCUCCCAAGGCCUAUUUAAGAAGACCCCUAUCCUCAAAAGGAGGAGAUCAGAACGAACGGUACGCUACCGAUUGAUCUAUCAGUUAACAUUACUAAAACUGUACUUACUAAAGCAUCGGAGAGCCUUCGGCCGGUACCACACCGGUACCCCAAGGAAUUACCGAACGUGUCCUUUUGCAGGUACUUACCCUUCUGAAGUAGAACAUCUUCCGAAGACAGUCACCUGCCGAAGGCAUAAUAUCACUAAGUUGGCGAAAUACGUGCCGAACCACUUUUUCGCAUCAACAGUUUGGCGCCGUCUGUGGGAAUCCAGAAAAAUCAUCAACCCACUAUCUCCAAAACACAUGGGGACCACUUCAGUACCCACGUUCUUAUCGGAAGAAGGGGUACCGUUCGGAAGGUAGACCGGAGCUAGCCCAGCGCUACCCCCAUCCACUCCCUUCGGAAACGCCCCCGCAACCCAAACAACCGCCGAAGCCGAGCUGUUAGUCCAAAUCGCGUCCCUACGGAAGGACAUAGCGAGACUUCAGGAACACAACAACCUUCUUUCGUCCAAAGUGGACGAAACCCAGCAGCUGCUCCACCAGCAGCACACGCAGAACAUCCAAGCAACUCACUCUUCCCAGAGCUUGCAGACCCCCCAUAGGAAGAAGAAACACGAGAAGGUAGCGAGGGCAACGCCCGCACCUUCCAAACAGUUGGUAGUUCCGGCACCCAGGGAUCAGCCGCACAUCCCCAAGAAAGUCUACUCCGAUUGCCGACAUCGGAUUAACGAUCGGGAGGCAGAGAGACAGAGGUCUCCGAUCAGGAUUAGCGCUCGACUAAGGGACUCACGGAUGAAAAUCCUAGGAAGCAAGUCGCCUAUUCGGAAGGUCAGAGGGCUGGACUCCGCAGAGGAGUCAGAAUCCGAAUAUAUCCCUUCCAGGACGCAAGCUUCCACCUACCGUUCGACAACGCCUUCACGGUACUCGGGGGUUAAUUCAUUAAGUCUAGAAAGACGAUCGGAAGAUUAUGGUUCCAAGGAAAUCUCUAGUCGAGACCCUGUUGUCCGACUCCUUUUUCAGAAAGUCCAAAAAAUGGAAAACGACAAAGCUCGCUCCCAAGAACCGGAAUGAGGAAGCUUCGGCCCGGACCAUUCACCAGGCGCAUCCGAGACUCUCGGUAGGAUAAGAAAGUGCAGCAACUGCGUAUACCGUUCUAUAUGGGAACGGAGGACCCCUUAACACACCUCCACUCAUUUCAGUCCGCCAUUGGAUGCAAGGGCCUGAGCGAUGAAAGGCAGUGCCUGCUAUUCCCGUCUUCCCUUACCGAAGCAGCCCUGAACUGGUUCUACCGGUUGGAGCCGGAAACGGUAAAUUCCUUCGACGAGCUGAAACAAAUUUUCCUCAAUCACUUCAUGAUCCAAACGGAUCGUCUUUACUCUGCCGAUGAUCUGUACACGAUUCGGCAAAGAGAGGAUGAACCGUUGAGAGAAUACGCGGUGCGCUUCAGUCACGAAUACUCAAGGUGUCCGAAAACAGACGAUAGGGCAACCUACGGCGCCUUCAAGAGUGGCCUUCGGUCCUCGCAUUUCCGAUACCUAGUACACAGCAGCAACUGGCGCACGUACGAUGAACUGAUGCAGGCAGCAAUCCAUGCCAAAGCCGAAUACUUCAACUCGAAACCCGCGGUUUCGGCACGGCGAGGAGAUGCCGAACCAAGUGCUUAUCCGGUAAAGGCGCCACCCUACGAGAGAGUCGACCCAUAUUUGGCAGGUCAUAAGAGGAAAGACGACCGUGCCGAUCGAAGAGAACACCCGAAGAAGGGAAAAGGGAGGUAUGGUCGCAACGACCACCGAGCGCCCCUGCCGAAUCGUGACCACGGCAAUGAAGUCUUCACCCUAUUGAACACUACCUACGAGGCCGUCCUAAUGAACGAACAAGAAAUAAUACCAAAGCCGAACCUGCGAAGAUCCAAUCGGCAAGACAACCGGGAUACCGGUAAAUUCUGCCGAUACCAUCAGCAUAACAGCCAUAAUACGGAAGACUGUAUAAGCCUAAGAAAAAUUGUCGAACGGUUGAUCAGAGAGGGGAAGCUAGAUCAGUAUAUCGCCCGGCAGCCACCGGCGCCGGUACCGAAUCCAAUUCGGCAGAUAAACAUGAUAAGCACUAUCAGCGGUGGCCCCACCAUCGCAGGAAUGAGCAACCGUUCAAUGAAGCAAUACGUGCGCGCCGCACAAUUUCCGCAGGUAUUCGGCAUAGAGGUGAAUCGGUAUCAUGAAAUACCGAAAGUUCAUUGGGAACCAAUCACAUUUUGCGAAGAGGAGGAAGAGGGCAUCCUCUAUCCCCACGACGACCCAAUGAUCAUUCGAGCAGAAAUUACCGACUACGAUGUAGGACGGGUACUGAUCGAUACCGGGAGCUCGGUGAACAUGAUUUUUGCCGAAGCUUUCCGAGAGAUGGGAAUAAAGGACAGCCAGGUCAACCGGCAGUUGACACCUUUGUUAAGUUUCUCUGGGGACCUGGUCCAACCGGUCGGUAGUGUAAAACUGCCAAUUACCUUCGGCACCGCGCCAAGGAAAACGACGGUAUACAAUCAGUUCCUCAUCAUUGACUGCCCGACAGCGUACAACGUCAUAGUUGGAUGAACGGCACUCACCAGGGUCAAGGCACAUCUUUUCCCCCACAUGCUAUUGAUGAAGUUCCCGACCCCCAACGGCAUAGGAGCUGUCAAGGGAAAUCAGCUAAGCGCGCGGACUUGCUACGCCACGGCCCUCAAGUCAACCUCUUUCAAAAUCCCCAACGAGACCAUGUCUGUACAGGGGAUACCGAACGGUACGGGACCCGUUGACGACCCAAGAGAUGAGCCCCCGACUCCUCACACACAACCCGCCGAGGAACUGGAGACGAUAACCCUGAGCGAAGAGCAGCCCGAUCGUUGGGUUAGAAUCAGCACCAGACUCACCCCUGCCCUCCGAACGCAGUUCAUAGACUUCUUGCGGCGCCAUUCGGAAGUAUUCGCAUGGUCCUACGAAGAAAUGCCCGGCAUCGCCCCAGGGGUCAUCAGCCAUAAACUCAGCAUCUCUCCCGCUUAUAAGCCUGUAAGACAGAAGCGCCGUUCGUACGAUACCGAGCGAUACGAAGCCAUGCGUAAGGAGGUUGACAAACUUCAAACCAUCGGCUUCAUCAGGGAGGCUACGUAUCCGGUAUGGCUGGCAAAUUCGGUGAUGGUCCGGAAGGCUACAUGCGGGUGGUGAAUGUGCCAAGACUAUACCGAUAUGAACAAGGCCUGCCCAAAGGACAGCUUUCUGUUGCCACGGAUAGACCAGCUCGUGGACGCCACCGCCGGCCACGAGCUGCUCAGUUUCAUGGACGCCUAUUCCGGAUACAACCAAAUUUUCGUGCACCCUUCCGACAGCGAACACACCGCCUUCAUAACGGACAGAGGGUUGUACUGUUACAAUGUCAUGCCGUUCGGCCUGAAGAACGCGGGGGCAACAUAUCAAAGGCUCGUCAACAGAAUUUUCGCCAAAUACAUCGGCAGCAUCAUGGAGGUUUACGUUGACGACAUGUUAGUAAAAAGUAGAACUGCCGAAGAACACCUGCACAAUUUUUCAAUCAUGUUCGACACACUGAAAGACUACCGGAUGAGGCUGAACCCGAUGAAAUGCGCCUUCGGUGUAUCUUCCGGGAAAUUCCUCGGAUUCAUGAUUAGUCACAAGGGUAUCGAAGCGAAUCCCGAAAAAAUAAAGGCAAUCAUCGAUAUGAAAGGUCGAAGACGACGAAGGACAUUCAAAGCCUUACCGGACGCGUGGCGGCCUUAACUCGCUUCAUAUCCAAGGCUACCGACAAAUGUGUACCGUUCUUUAAAGCCUUGAAAGGGGAUAAACAGAAUAUCAUAUGGACUGCCGAGUGUGAUAAAGCGUUUCAAGACUUAAAGGACUACAUGGGCAAAGCACCCCUUUUAUCAAAACCACUACCUGGGGAGAUUCUCUCCCUAUACCUUUCGGUAUCUAGCACUGCCGUCAGUUCGGUAUUGAUUCGAAAACCAGAGAAAGCAGAGUUACCGAUUUUCUAUGUCAGUAAGGCACUCCAGAGUGCUGAACUUCGGUAUCCCCCAUUAGAGCAGCUUACACUAGCCCUUGUGGUCUCGGCACGAAGACUUCGGCCAUACUUUCAAGCACACAGAAUCAAAGUUCUGACUAACCAACCGCUCCAGCAAGUGCUCCAAAAACCAGAGACUUCUAGCCGAUUGAUCAAGUGGGCGAUCGAACUCGGAGAGUUCGAUAUACAAUUCAUGCCAAGGCCCGCCGAAAAGGGUCAAGCCAUUGCCGAUUUCAUCUCCGAGCUCACCCCAUCAACAGCACAGGAGAUACCCGAGACCGGGUUGCUAGAGGAACUUGACACCGAGCGCUUUGGUGCCUCAACUCCCGUAUGGAGUCUGCACGUUGAUGGUUCGGCAAACCAACAAGGAUGCGGAGCGGGCUUGGUACUGACAACACCGGACGGACUCAAGAUCGAGUACGCCCUCCGAUUCGACUUCCGAACCUCCAACAAUGAAGCGGAAUAUGAAGCUCUCCUGGCCGGCCUUCGGCUAGCCAAUAGCAUGAAUGCAAAACAAAUCAGAAUUCAUAGCGACCCCCAGCUCAUUGUGAACCAGGUAACGGCGGACUUCGCUGCCAAAGACGCCUCCAUGUAUGCCUACCUUUCGACUACCCAUCAACUGCUCUGAAGCUUUCGAGCCUACGAGAUCAAGCAGAUCCCCAUAAGCGAAAACAGCCAUGCCGAUGCAUUGGCACAUCUGGCUUCGGCAAUUAACGACAAAAUCGGAAGAAAUGUGCCAGUAGAGAUUCUUGCCCAACCGAGCACGGUAGCCUCCGAAACAUGUACCGUACGGUACGAAGAUACAUGGAUGUCUCCUAUCUACUCGUACCUGACCAACGGCACCCUUCCAGAAGACAAGGCCCAGGCCCGAAAGCUUAGGCACCGAUCAGCAAAGUACACCGUCAUCAACGAUGUCCUUUACAAACGUGGCUACACAACUCCAUAUCUCAAAUGCCUUACGGCAGAACAGGGGGACUACGUCCUUCGGGAGAUCCAUAAUGGUGUGUGCGGCGACCAUUCUGGGUCCCGGUCACUCGCCCACAAAGCCUUUCGGCAAGGAUACUUUUGGCCGACCAUGCACCAGGACGCUAAUUCGCUAGUGAAAAAGUGUGAUAAAUGCCAGCGCUUCGGUAACAUACAGCAUAUCCCUGCCGAACCCCUGACACCGAUCGUGAGUCCUUGGCCUUUCGCACAAUGGGGACUAGACCUGAUCGGUCCGAUGCCACAAGGUAAAGGCCAGGUAAAAUAUGCAGUGGUUGCCGUCGACUACUUCACCAAAUGGGUAGAAGCCAAACCUUUAGCAACCAUAACGGCAGCAAAGAUGGAGGAUUUUGUCUGGACUCACAUUUCGUCUGGAUUUCGGUAUCCCAUAUGCUAUCAUUAUCGAUAACGACAGGCAGUUCGAUUCGGAACUCUUCAGGCAAUUCUGCACCGGCCUGAAAAUCAACUUGUUUUUCGCAUCACCAGCUCAUCCCCAAUCGAACGGUCGGGUCGAAGCAAUAAACAAAAUCAUCAUGAAACUACUGAAACGGCAGCUGGACAAAGCCAAAGGAGCUUGGUUGGAGAAGCUUCCUGAAGCACUAUGGGCCAUUCGGACAUCUUACCGAACGUCCACUGGAGAAAUCCCUUUUUCCCUGACUUUCGGUUCGGAGGCUGUGGUGCCUGUGGAAAUUGGCGAACCUUCCUACCGAACGAAAACCUUCGCACCAAAGCCGAAUGAAGAAGCACUUUCUCUAAGCCUUGAUCUUCUUAAAGAGCACCGGGCACAUGCCAACCUUCGGAAUGAAGCCUACAAGCAACGUGUCUCUCGGUACUACGACUCUAGUGUCAGGCACCGCUCCUUCCGAAUCGGAGACUGGGUCAUGCGCAAGGUAUCCCUAGCAACCAAGGAUGCCACGGAAGGAACCCUCGGACCUUAAUGGGAAGGACCCUAUGAGAUCAUCGGGAACCUACCGACUGAGAGACUCCAACGGCAAGACCCUCGGUCAUCCUUGGAACGUGGAACAUCUCAAAUACUACUACAAGUGACCUAGCCUACGGCAGGCCCGAACUGUAACCGCUCAGAAUGUAUUUGUCCUUCAACUGAAAAUAAUAAAAGUCUUCAGCACUAUUACUUCAGAACCUCUUUUUAAUUAGUCUACUAGCCCACGACUGCCAAUAAUGUCGAGUUAACGUUCUACGGCAUCUUUAUUAGCCUACGGCAAUAAAUGACUUUCGGCGACAAUACGUUCGACAAUUUAAACACAUGUUCAGAUUGUUCAAACAACAGUAGAUAAAAACAUGCAUUUGAAUUAGAGAUGCCCUCGGCAUCAAUGUGUUCGGUACACAAAAUAAAAAUAGAAAAAAACUAAUUCUACUAUUAUAAAUAAACGGCAAGGAGCCUCAAGUUUCAUCGGCGGCGACAGCCUCGGCAGAUCCGGAGCCCUCGGCGGCAUCUUCCCCUCGUAUUCUUCAAUCAUGUCCUCCGUCAGCCCUUCCGGUAGAGGAGUAGGAUCAGCGAUGAAGUUCAGAUUCAGCUUCUUCCCGAGGUUGUACCGUUUGAACCGGUACAACAGGUCCGCCAUCUCCGAGCCCACUUCCUUAUCCAGGAGAACAGUGAACUCUUCAGACGAGCGGUACCCCCGGAUAGUUGACCGAAUGGCAGCCUCAAUCUCCGCAGCCUUGGCCCGCUCCGACUCCUCCAAGGCCACCUGCACCGCCUCUUUGGCAGCCUCGGCAUCCCUCGCUGUCGCCAGCGCUGCCUCCAGGAGACCCUUCAUCUCCUCCACCUUCGCCUCCGAAGCGAGACCCUUUUCAGCAGAUGGGCGUGGUCCUGGAGCGCUUUGCCAGCCUCGGCAACCUUGGCCCUGCCGUCCUCGUACGCCUUCUUGGCACGCUCGGCAGCAGCAAUGGCCCGCUUGACGCAGAGCCACAUGUCCAUGGACGCCUACACAAAACAAACAAAGUUAGAAGCAUGCCCCACUUACCAAAAAAAAAAGGACGAAGGAAGAAAGAAAAUCUUAUCGAGGCUUGAAGCCGGAAGGCGCGUCCGGCCUCCUCCCGAAGAAGCUUCUUCGGUAGUUCGUCGAUCUCCAGCAGCUCCAUCUGAGAACCGAGGAUCAUAUGGUUGACGAACUGGACCGUCUUCGCGGGGCAGGCGAUGGUGACGGCUUCGGAAGGACCGUCCACGUCCUCCACCGCAAGGAAAGCCCUUGGGACCUCCGAUUGGCGAGGGCGUUUGGGGACUGGCUCGGCUUCCAGAUCGACUGUCUCCGGCCGCUUGCCGGCAGCCUUGGAAGCUGCGGCCUCGGUAUCCCGAUGCCUCGGUGCAGAGACCUCACCGGCAGUGCGCCCCAGAACAGGCUCGGUGCCCAGCUGUCGCAGGCGCUCCGCGAGGGUCUGAUCCUCCGGAUCCACCACCGCCUGCCGGACGGAAGCUGCCUCGGGCUGCUUUUUCUUUUUCUUGCCCUCCAGGCCCAUCAUUAGGCGCCUCCUGGAGGACUCGUUCAUCUUCUUCGCCUCGGCAGCCUUCUUGCGUCCGUCACUGGUCAAAAGUGUUUGGUCAGUUGGCAAACAAAAGCAACACACAAAAACAAAAAAAAAAAACAAAAAGAGAGAAGGAAAGAUAUACUUACUCUCGGCAGGGUGGACGAGGCCGGCUCUGACAAGGUUGUCGGUGGAGAAGAAGCGUGGGUAAACUCGCUCGGCAGCAGGUACUCUCAGCCUCACUCUGUCGAGCUGCCGGAUCUCACUCUGCUUGGGGCUCGGCUGUUUGAGUUUACCUGUCGGAAGAAGGAAAAUUAGUAAAAUAAAGCAAGAAAAAAGAAGAGAGAAGAGAAGCCAGCCUAUCAAUCGGUAUUUCGGAAACCUACCGGCAAUCUGAAAUGUCGUGGGGACCGGGAAGCGAGGAGGUGUUCCCGAUGGCGAUUCCCAAUCGCCGGAGAGUAGCACCCGCCGAUUCCUCCACGACUUUUGAGAAGUCGGCACCGAGCUGAUGAAGUGCCCCUGCUCGGAAGUCUUCAGGCAGUUCGCCUGAACCCAGCCGCCGUGAUCGGCGCUCUUGGACUUAGUAAUGCUGUAUAAGUACAAGAACUGCUCGUAGGAAGGCUCCCCCUCCUCGGCAAUCCCGAACGCAGCAAUUACCCCGAUCAAGGCCACCCAGAAGUUGGGGUUGUACUGGCCGGGAGCGUACCCGAUCUGGGCAAGGAACUUCUGCACGGCAGGUUUCAACGGCAACCGAACCCCUUGUAGAAGAACGUCGGUGAAGAAGGUCACUUCACCGUUCACUGGGUCGCUGAGGGACUCGACAGGGCUCGGUAUCCUCAUCUUCACCGAGUCCGGAAUGAGGUACUCGGCCCUAAUCCUCUCCAGCUCUCGUUCGGUGAUCUUGUUGGGCUCCAAUUAGUCGACCCCGAACAGAGUCUUCCUAGGCACACCCACCGGUAUCCUAGGCUGCUCUCGAUGGACGAUCGUCACCCUCGGCCGGGAGGGACCGGCAAUGCCCUCACCACGACCGGAGGUGGAGGCCUCAGGCUGAUGCUUAAACGGGCCGACGCGGGUACCGUCCUUGUACACCACGGUCAAGGGUAGCGGUUGCCCCGUCAUAAGCCCCUUGCCGAUGCCAUGGGUGGGAAUGGAGUUCACCUCCUCACCGAAUAACUCAACAUCGGUGUCUUCUCCACCCUCAGCGUCGAGGCUCACAGCCCCGCUGGACGUAUCCCAGCCCGAUGACAACUCCCCAUCGAACGCGUUGGGCUCACUUCCGAACGGCGACUCGCUAUCAGACAUCUACAAAACAAAGAAAGGGAAGCUAAGGCCCGUGCCACAAACUACUCUACCGAUGCCUACAUCGCUACCUAUGGCCACUAGACUACCGAAGAAAAAUUCUAUUUUACGUUCGGCUAGCCUACGCCAUGAAAAGACGUACAAUUAAAUAAAUUGAGAGUAUUUUGAGGGGUACCGAACGGUAUCUUACCUUGAGUAGUGUGGGAUGAGUUGAUCACCGAUCAGAGACUUCGAAAAUUGCCCUGUAUGCCGAGAACCGCUGUAAAAAUCGCCUUGAUUGCCGUUCACUCUCUUCGGAAAUCGCCCGCACAGAGCUCUCGCGUCAACUCACAAUUGCAAAGUGAGCCUUACAUCCGGAGCAACCUCUAUUUAUAGGGAGAAAGCUGUAACGGUACACCUCGGAAGACUAAACGGCUCUUUAAUGCGUCGUCAGACGUGCUGUUGCUGGCCACGUGUCACCCGACGAAUGGCGCCGCUGACUGCACGCCAGGCACGGAAGACGAAGCGUCUCUCUGCCCUUUUGCUCUCAGCAUCGACGACCCCUCAAGUCCCAGGUCAAUCUCCCCCGAACGAUCCUACCGAACGGCAGGUCAACCUCCGAACCGCUAUAGAGAACUAAAUUCCCUUCCGAAGGACCUUCGGAAGAGAACUUGGGGGACUACUGUUUAUACCGGAAAUAAACGGCCUAUGACCACCGAACAAGUGGACAGGAUCGAUAUUGAUCACAGAACCCCUUCGGCAUGCUUCCUACCGAAGCCAUCUAUCUUGGCCCUUUUUACCAUCGGACACGUGUCAUGCUCACAAUCCAUGUCCACAGUCCCACAUCGGAAAUAUGAGCACAGUGCACACCUCCCAAGGCCUAUUUAAGAAGAUCCCUAUCCCCAAAAGGAGGAGAUCAGAACGAACGGUACGCUACCGAUUGAUCUGUCAGUUAACAUUACUAAAACCGUACUUACUAAAACAUCGGAGAGCCUUCGGCCGGUACCACACCGGUACCCCAAGGAAUUACCGAACGUGUCCUUUUGCAGGUACUUACCCUUCCGAAGUAGAACAUCUUCCGAAGACAGUCACUUGCCGAAGGCAUAAUAUCACUAAGUUGGCGAAAUACGUGCCGAACCACUUUUUCGCAUCAACAAGGUGCUAGUUCAAUGUAUGCAAUGAGAGAUUAAGUCUUUAAAUACUUGUAUGCUCAUAAUUCUCAAAGGAGUGGUUGUUGAUAAUUGAAAUUGAAAACAAAGAGAGUGUUCUCUCAUCUUUGCUCAUAAUCUGGGUAUUCUUAUAAUUAACGGGUUUGAAUUUUUCAUUCUAUCUUUUAUGCCAAGUUUCGGGUAAUCUUAGACUAAACGGGGCUUGGUGGGUCGUGGUUCGUGGUUCGUGUUUUCCAACAUCCUUGCUCGAAUGUUGCUGCAUCAAAGGCAGACCAAUAAAAAAAAGAGUAGCAAAGGCUUAUAACUCUCGUAAAACAAGAGUGACGUGGACAUAAUAUGUUACGUCGUACUGAAGAUUUUUGGGUUUCUUUAAUUGGUUAAGUUUAUAUACAUUCAUUUGAAGAUUCUUUAUUUGGGUUUCUUUCAAGAUGAAAACCAUAUCCACAACCAUAACCACAACUUGCCAGGGGCGGAUCCACAGAGGAGCAAGGGUGGUCAAUUGACCCCUACAACCUCUGAAAUCUGCCAUUAGAGGAGCAAAAAUUGACCCUCGCAAGAUGUUCGAUGAAAUGCCCCAAAGGGGCAACUUGUCUGUCCAUGCGCUCCAGCGCUGCUUGCGCGCAGCGCGCGAGCCUUUUUUUUUUUUUUUUUUUGUUUCUCUCGACUUCAAAGGUCGGGUGAGGUUGUUGAGUUCCAACUCGUCUCCCAUCUUGAUUGGAAGUGUAGCUUGCUUACUUUUAUCUUGACGGAGAUAACGAAGUGUGUUCUCUAGUUUAGGGUCAUAUGGUAUAAGCUCGUGACUCUGCGAACGACGACCCAGCAUAUACCUGAAAUUGAAAACAAAACUCAAUUAGAUUGACAAUCCCCGGCAACGGCGCCAAAAACUUGUUGGUAAUUUUUAACAACAAUAUUAAAACCUUGAAGUGCACAAAUCAAAUGAUAGUAUAGUAACCAAGCAAGGGUCGAUCCCACAGAGAUUGUGAUCUAAAGAGAUGUUUAUCAAUGUCACACAAUGAGAACUAAAACACAAUUAAACACGAAAACAAAAUAAAGAUUGAAACCACAAGGACUUCCACACACACGCCAACACCAAGGGGGGUUUUGAUUUGAUUUUGUGAAUAAAACAAAACAAGGAAAAGAAAAGAAAACAGAAUUUAAAUUAGAGUUUAAGAGAAAUUGGUUUAAAAUCAAUCAAGAACAAUAGCUAGGACUUACUAUCCACCUCCAAACAAUCAAUCAAUCAAUCAAUCCAUAAACAACAAUAGAUAAUCAAUUUCUAGCAAGCACAUGAUGAUGACACUCACAACAAGAUCAUGGCAUUUGACUCGAGUUGUGUGAUUCCCUCUGAAGUGUAUGGCAUUUACAUCAAUACGUGUAUUCUUAAUUAAAAUCUAGUAUGAUAUUUACUCAAAUUAACAAUCAAGAAUCCAUUAAGAUCAAAGAGAAUAUGUGUGUCACAAAAACCCUAAAACAUGGCAUUUGUUAUUAGGAAUUCAAGAAUCAAUUUCUCAUAACUAGUUCUGAACUCAAUUAUUCGUUGCAAACAAGAACACAUUCAAUAUGGCAAUUGACCUAUGUUCUACAACAAUUUAAUUCCAAACAUGCUUCCAAGUUAGCUACUCAAAGAAACAAAAUAUCAGAAUUCACAUAACAUAGAGAAACCAAAAUCAUCACGCUUGUAGAAACUGAAAAUCCAUUCAAACUUGUUUAUAAAAUUGAAAUUAUGUUUAGGGCUUCAAGAUUAAGCCCUAACUAACAAGAAAUUAGUUACUCAUAUUCUUGGAUGAACUCAAAAAUAAAUACAUAAGAACUGAAAAUUAAAAGAAGGAAGGAAAAGAAAGAACUCGUUGGCAGCUUUCUCCUUUUGCGCUGUUGAUCUCUUUAGGACGUGAAUUCCCUGUAUGAGGGCCUUGGCUGGCUUUUAUAUCACUUAUAUCAGAGUUCUAAACCCUAAUAUUGACUGAAAAAGUCAUCCAAGAAGUCUUGGUAAAUAAGGAAUCCAAAUAGGGAAGUAAAGAUCACAAUUCCUAACUCUAUAGGGAAAUACAGCUCAGCCCAAUUGUUACACGAUUUGGGGAUCUUCGGCCUUGUAGAAAAAUCAUUAAAAAUAUAUUUUAGAAAGAUAAAUGUCUUAUCUUUCCAACCAUAUAUAGCACGUAACUUGAACAAUUCGGGAAGGCUUCCGUUUCUUCGUAUUCACGUAAUAUGUACGAAACUGUCCUGUCUGCACGUGGGCUAACUUUACUUGUAAUACUCUACCAAUUGGCUUGGUAUAAAAUUCUACAAAAUCACAGAUUGAACUUCAAGAUGUUAGCUUUCAUCUCCAAUUGGCCUUGCACUAAAAUUCCUCUGAAAAGUUAAUUUUCCCUUAAAAACCUUCUAAGAGCGCAGAAAAGCUGAAAAUCAGAAAAGUAAAGUCAUAAGCCCUUUUUAAAUCCAAUUAUCCUACAAAACCUAAGUAAAAAGAGUACAUAAAUGAGUAUAUUUAUGGACUUAUCAAAUUUCUGGCGUGUAAGGCACUUCCCAUACAUGGCGUUGGAAUUUCCGGCUUAUGGGAAGAUUAUGUGAUUAUUAGGUCUCACACGUGGCGUUAGAAUUUCCGGUGUGUGAGACACUUCCUAUAGGUGGCGUUGGAAUUUUCGGCAUAUGGGAAGAUUAUGUGAUUAUUAUGUCUCACACGUGGAGUUGGAAUUUUCGGCGUGUGAGACACUUCCCAUACGUGGUGUUGGAAUUUCCGGCGUAUGGGAAGAGAAUAAGGAGAGGAAAAAAUAAUUAUUUUACUAUAUCGGGGAAAGAUUGAUGCUUAAAAGAAUAAUGUCUUGUGUGUUGUGAUUUAAGGAAAAGGAAUAAUUCUAUAAUUUACUAUUUUAUUUUGCUGUAAUGGAUUGUAUGUUAUUGGAAUCGAGAUUCUUGUAGAAAGAACUACAUGUGGCUUGAUCCCUCAGUAAGGAUACGUAGGUAGCUUAGGGUCUCACCCAGGUGCAGCCGCGAAAUAACUAUAUAUAUAAAAGGUUUAACCGGUUUUGAAUGUGUGAAUGAAUUUUGAGGUGGUUGCGGGAUUUGAAUCCUAAUUAUUACUACUACUAGGUUCAGUUUUGAUUAUGAUGGAACGCCUGAAGCUCGACUCAAACUUGAGCGAGAUUAAAUGCUUGUUUAUUUCUCGAUUAACUUGAUUGGACUUUAUUAAAUAGAAUAUGUGGUUCUGAUAUGUCUGAGAUCCAUUUCGAAAUAAAUGACUGAUAUUAGGUUGAUUAUAUUGAGUAAUGGGCUUGAGGCCCCUAGAACCGAAAAUCGCGUGCCCUUAUUCCUUUUUGGGAAAGGAGGCUAUAGUUUUAGUGACUGGGCCCGACAUCGUGGUGAUGUCAAAUUUUCCACAGGAUAUGUUCUGGGUUCCGAGGAAUUCGAGGCAGGUCUUGUCAACUAAUCAAUCGUCACAUCCCAGGAUCGGCUCCGCUGUAGCACGAUAUUGUCUGUCCGCUUUGGGCCUCUCUCUCUACCUUCACAAUUUUAUUUCUGGGAACUCACAAGCAACUUUCUAGUAGGUCAUCAAUCUUGGAAUUACUCUAGCCCCAACUCACUUAAUUUCGGAGUUCCCAUGACUCCAAAACUAGUCAGUUCCCAAAAGGCCUCGUGUUAGAUAGAGGCGGGCAUGUACAUAUAAGACACAGCACCCCCUCUUCGUUAAUCAAUGUGGGAUGUUACACCUCCCUUCUAAUCUUGUACUAAAAAAAAACUUACACUGAGAAGAGCAAAGAUGAGUGGUAGAUGGAAACCCAUUAAGAUUGAAAUACUUAUGCAACAGGAAGGUGAUGAAUAUGAAGGAAAAAUAAAACUUAAUAUAUAUAAGAUCAAGUGAAAAACAAAAUUAAGUCAUCAAACACUGACAGAGAAAGUAAAACCACUUUAGUUGAUCAAAUCCAAAUUUUAUAUAAUCUGUAUUAAUGAGUGGAGGAGAGACUUGAAGAAAAAAAUGAUAAAAACUUUCAAUCUCUAACAAUUUCUACGUUUGUCCUUCAAAUUUGCUUUUUGGCAACUCUUUUUUCUUUUUGUGAAGUUGGGUCUCAACUUCCAAGGCCCAAAAUGCAAAAACUACCUCAAACUCAAAGCAUUCCCUGGGCCUAUACAAUCCUCAAGAAGAAGACAAGCCCAAUGUGAGGAAGAAGAAAAGAAAAAGGCAAGGAAUCUAUGAGUUGACCUGAUCAUUAUGCAAUUAUUCAGAGAGAAUUUAUGUCACAUCUACAGCCGGAGAAAGCAAUCUGCAACUGCAAGUGAGCUUUUCUAGUCAUUAGCCAAAGGCAAAACAAACUUGGUCCUUGCAUACAUAGCUUAGCAGGUGCGAAUUCCUUCACUUCUCUCUUUCUACUUUUUUUUCUUUUCAUUUUCAUAAUAUUUCUUCUAGAUUAAUGUAUUGUUCUAUAAAUUGAUAUAUAUGUUUCCACAUGUCCAUUUGCCUGAAGGUUUAAGUCGCUUGUGUUUCAUGGUAUGUUUUGAUCGAGGAGUAGGUUGACACACUGGUCAAAGUUGAGGGGGUUCUUUGUAUCUUAUACCCUAUCGAUUUUCUUAGGGGUGUCCUUUCGUGCCGUCACUAUGGUUUUGCUCAGCAUAGCACAUCAACAGGAAAAUGGAAGAAUGCAAUCAUGCUGGUCCAAAUGACACAAUUAACAUGCCAUACGUUCCAUUAGAAACUUCAUUGAGGGAGGAGUUAGAUAGCUUGCCUGCCUUGUCCUCUUCGUGUUGUAUCUACAGAGUUCCCAAUGACAUACGACGUCUGGAGGAAAAGGACUACACACCUCAAGUCAUCUCCAUAGGUCCACCUCAUCAUGGCAAGGAAGGUUUAGAAGCCAUGGAAGAGCUGAAAAGAGGUACCUACGAGAUUUUAUGUGUCGGACUAAGAUAAGCUUGAAAGACUAUAUCAAGAAAAUAAGGGACCAAGAAGCAAGACUGAGAAGUUGUUAUGCAGAACCCAUCAAAUUUAGCAUUGAUGAAUUUGUAAAAAUCAUUCUAGUGGAUGCUGCCUUCACUACUGAGUUCUUAUUGAGGUUCUAUCUGAAAGAAUCUGGACAUGAAGGAGACCGUUUGUUAAACAAUCCGUGGAUGUUCAGGUAUGUACAGCCUGACAUGUGGUUGCUUGAAAAUCAGCUCCCAUUCUUUGUUCUUGAGGAUCUUUAUCACACAUACAUAAUAACCGACUCUUUUAGGAAUUAUUACAGUACUCAUGAUCAUGAGAGGCUUUCAAUAAUUAAUAUUUCAAAGAAUUUCUUCACAGCUGGAAUAUUGAAUUUGGAGGGUAAAGGAGACAAAUGGAACAGAAUAUCAUCUUCUUCUAGUUCUAUUAAUGUGCAACACUUUGUUGAUCUUAUAAGAAUUUUCUAUCUACCAUUGGAAUCAGAAUUAAGAGAUGCAGGGGAGCUCAAAACCUUGAACAUACCUAGCAUCAAAGAGAUGCACCAGGCUGGAGUCAAAAUUAAGGUAGGAUCAAGCAAAAACUUAGUCGACAUACAAUUUGCAAGUGGAACUCUCAUAAUUCCUAAAAUAAUGAUAACUGGUGACAAACUGCGGACCCUGGGAAAUGUCCUUGCCUUUGAACAAAGCCAUUGCAUGGAAGACAACUACUUAAACGAUUAUGUUAGCAUCAUGGGUCGUUUUGCGAACACUCCAAAGGGUGUGGAGUUGCUUGUUGAGUUUGGAAUUUUUCAAACUGCGGGUACCACCAGCGUGGUGUCAUCUAUGAUUACCAAACUUGCCUCUGAGGCUCUUUUCUUUGUCGAUAGAUUCUGUUACGCGACUCUUUGUGAAGAGCGGAACAACUUCUGCAGAUCGUCCUGGAACAAAUGGAAGGCAAAUUUGAGACAAAAUUAUUUCAACACACCUUGGGCAUCUAUUUCUGUCAUUGCCGCUGUUGUUCUCCUCACACACACUCUCAGACAAACGGUGUGCUCUGUUAUCUCUGCUACUUAACCAUUAAAGGGUAAGUCCCUGCUUUGCCGCUUUCUCUUCUGACAAUAAUAUGUAGACUCAUCUCUGUUUUUAUUAUUUAUUUAUUCACUCACAUGGUUCUAGCAGGAACACUUUCGGGAAACUAGUAGUAUUUCAGGUCCUCAUCAAGUAAAGGGAUCCGAGGAAAGCCUGUGAACUCAAGUCCAGAUGAUGAAUGUAAUAUUUCUAUUGUUUGUCCAAAUUUUCACAGUGAAUGAAUUCAAACUGCAGGUUCUUCCUAUCCAGAUUGUUUCUGAUGAAAUAUUAUUUAUUUCUGUGCUAUAAAUUUUUUAGUAAUGAAAAAAGAGAGAAAAAAAAACUUCCAAUGUCCACCAAUCUCUGUAAAAAUUAAUUUGUUUUAUGAUUAAUUUCUCCAUGGUGGUGAUCAAAUCUUUAUUCUUUUUGUGGUUAAGUUGGAUCCCAAGGCCCAUAAACACAAAAACUAACUCAAAGCAUUCCUGGGCCUAGAAACCGCUUGGCAUCCUCAAGAAGAAGACAAGCCCAACAUGAUGUGGGAAGAGUCCAAGACUAAACGGCUCAAGUCGAAGGAAAAAGCAUAUAAAGAGAGUUUGAUAUUUUUCAUCAUCAAAUCCGUUAAGAAUUUUAUGUAUUUAUUAUUAGUAAAUUUAGGUUUUACCCAUAAAAAAAUUUUCAUUUUUGGAAAAAGCCAAAGCUUUUUGAAAAAAGACAGAAUAACCUCUUAACUUUCAAACCAAAGACAUGCAAAUGUAAAGGAUUUCUUAGGAAAUCAAAAAAUAAAUAAGGGCAAUUUUGUCCAUUUUUGCUUGUUUUAAAAAUUUUCUCUCUCCUUUGGGCUUUUCCAAAGUCUCCCUUUAUUAUUUUAUAUUUUUUUAGUACAAGCGAUAGGGAGGGGUUUCUCACACACACAACUAAUGUCAUGGGGGUUUGAACCUGAUACCUCUCUGGUCUACAAAUCAAAACCCUUUUUCACUCCACUAGACCCUGUUGGCUUUUUUUUUUCUUCUUAAGAGCAUUUUAAAUCUAGUAAGAAACAACCUAAUUUUUUCCGGAACAUUUUCAUGGAAUAAGCAUUGCACACUCCGCACAAAGGACACAGAAACUUCACCGAAACACAAAAGCAGAUUUUACUUAUAGUCGACAAACCCUUGUACAAAAUGUUGAUUUUUAGUUGUCGUGGGACCUGCAAUGGAUUAUUCAAACUUCCCCAGGACGCGCAUAGACAUGUCAAAGCAAAGGCAAGGAAGCUACAUGAGGAGUUGACCUGACUUCCAAACCAGAUUCACUAGUUCUUAUACUGAAAUCUAGCAGAAGAGCAAGCUAUCUGCAUUGAGCUUUUCUAGCUACUCAUCUACCAACUGCCAAAAAAAAAAAAAAAAACUUGGGUUUCAAUCCAUAGCAGGUAUGUUUUCAAUGCCCAAACUCCUUUCUCUGUCUUUCUUUAUUUUUCUAUGUUUGCUUGCACAUCCAAUUUCUUGAAGCUUUUUAAGUGUCUUGUGUUUCAUUUUAGUUGGAAAUUGGAAUUGAGCAAAAGGUUAUGUAAAUGUCGUAUAUAAUUUUCUUCUCUUGUAAUGGGAUUUUGGUUUGUCUAUGUUUUGACUGGAAGCAUAAUCUACUAUCUGAUAUCAUUACACAAAGAAUUUGUUUUAUUAGAAUCUCCAAUAAUGCAGAACACGAAAAAGAUUUUUUUUUUAUUUUUUAUUUUUUAUUUUUAUAAAUGUAAUAAUUCAUUCAAGACUUUCAAUUCUUUUCCUUUCGAACAAAUAAAAAAAAUGGUGUCUCUAUGUUAAUGUGAAUUAAACUUUCGUACUGAUUCACAUGAUUAGUAGGAAUUUUUCAAUCAAAACUGCAUUAGAAUCUUCCAAGAAUAAUUACAAGAAACAGAGUUGACCAGAAGAGUUUUGAAUGAAUUUGGUGCAUUCAAAUCAAAUUCUUAAGGCACUAGUGUGGUAUGUAAGAGUUACAAGGAUCAAAAGUCUUUGUGUGUUUGGUCUUAUAGUUGCAAUGUUUGUAUUAAUUUUCUCAACCAUCUUGAAAAUUUGUUUAUUGUUGUGUCAGUGACUAUCAUUUCAUUAUCAUCCAUUACGAUUGACAACAACAAACACAUCAGCGGAAAAUGGAAGGAAGCGAUCAAGCUCCACAUGAUAUUGAAAACCCCUGCAUUCCAUUAGUAACUUCAAUGGGCGAGGAAUUGGAUGGCUUGUCUCCCCUCUCCUCUCUGUGUUGCAUUUAUAGAGUUCCUGAACGACUACGGCGUGUGAGUGAAAAGGCCUACACACCUCAGGUAGUCUCUAUAGGCCCACUUCAUCAUGGCAAGGAAGGCCUAAAAGCCAUGGAAGAUCACAAAAAGAGGUACUUACAAGAUUAUAUACGUCGGACCAGGGUAAGCCUAGCGGAUUAUGUACAGAAAGUAAAAGACCAAGAAGCAAAACUGCGCAGUUGUUAUGCAGAAACCAUUCAGGUUAGCAGUGAUGAAUUUGUGAGAAUCAUUCUGGUGGAUGCCGCCUUCAUCAUUGAGGUCUUGUUGAGGUAUCGUUUCGAUGAAUUGCAGGAUGAAAAUGACUGCAUAUUUAACAAACCAUAUAUGUUGCAGGAUGUAUGGCCUGACAUGCGGUUGCUUGAAAAUCAGCUGCCCUUCUUCAUUCUUGAGGAACUUUUUGACCCCGACAAAAUCGAAGUCUCUUCUAACAAUAACAAUAUUGAAAGGCUUUCGAUACUCAACCUUUGCCACAAUUUCUUCAAAAAUCUAAUGCAUAUAGAGGGAACAGAUGGCAAUAUGGAGAAAUUAUGUGCUUCUAAAGUUGAACACUUUGUAGAUUUUUGUAGAAAUUUGCAUCUACCUCUACCAUUGAAACCACAUGCUAAAGGGCGACUUGAAACUCUAAACACACCCAGCAUCACAGAGUUACACAGAGCAGGAGUCAAGUUUAGGGUGGGAUCACCCAAAAACUUAUUCAACAUAAAAUUCGCUAAUGGGAUUCUAAAAAUUCCAAAAUUAGCAAUAAGUGAUGAGACAGAGCUUACAAUCAGAAACCUCCUCGCUUUUGAACAAUGCCAUUGCAUGGAGAAUUACAUAAACGAUUAUGUUGUCAUCAUGGAUCGCUUUGUGAACACCGCAAAGGAUGUGGAGUUGCUUGUUAAGCAUGGAAUCGUCGAAAAUAGUCUCGGUGACAGUAGUGAAGGGUCUACUCUGAUUAACAACCUUGCGGAUGGGGUCAUAGUGGACCCUAAUGACUUCUAUUUUGCUAUUCUUUGUGCAGACCUCAACAAGUACUGCAGAACGUCUUGGCACAAAUGGCAGGCGAACUUGAGACAAAACUAUUGCAACACACCUUGGGCAACUAUUUCAAUUGCUGCGGCUAUUUUUCUCCUCAUACUCACUUUUAUACAAACAGUGUGCUCUGUUAUCUCUGCUCUGCCUUCUAAGCGUUGAGAGUAAGUCUCCUCUUAGCCGUUUUCCCCUUGUCAUUUCCUUUUGGUCCUCCGCAUGACACGAGCUGGGUUUGUCACCAGCCUAGAGGUGCAAGAGAGCUGGAGAAAGAAAAAGUUAGUGUAUAUGUAGAAAAUAUAGCCUCUGUUAGUGAAAGUGAGCUGUGCAUGUAGAGUGAUGGAAGCAAUGUGGUUGUUUUAUUUGUUUCUCCAUGCUUGUUCGGUAUGAAACUGUUCAAAUUUUAUAACUUUAUUGUUAAUCCGAGAGCUGUUAUGUUGGGUACUCCAAUGUAACAAAUCAUUGAAAAUCUCAUGUCGGUAGAUACUAGUCUUUAAUCUAAGACAUCCUUUGUCAAUGGAGGUUUUGUGCAAAAACUAUUUUAUACACAUAUUUUAUACCCUAAGUGAAGCCCCUAUUUUAUACCCUAAGUGAAGCCCCUAUUUUAUACACAUGAAAAACAAUUUUUGAUCUUCAAAAAAAGCAAUGCAUAUUCGAAAUAUAACUGAAAAAAAGUGUAUUGUCUAUGAUUUUAUUUUUGUAUUUUAGGUGCAUACAAUUGGAUCUAAAAUUGCCACAUAACUAUCAUAAACUUAGAAGCCAUAUAAUUACGCUUACGAAAUAUGCUAGCGUGCGUCGCAUGUGGGCAUGUGUCACCCUAUUACCAUACUGUAUGUCCUGGACGGUAGAUGACUGGACCUUUGCCUCCGACCAAAAUAUACAUAUAUUUUCCUCCUUUUCUUGAGCUUUAUAAGCGUCCAACUCCAUUCAUAGUUGAUUUCGAACCAAAACAAAGAAUUCAUAAUUGAUUUAUUAUUUUUCCAACUAUAUGCACAAGGACCUAUAGCCUUUUCGAGUGUAUAAUUAAUUAGCAUGAAGAAAAGGAUAGAAUUCUUUUCUUGCAGACCCAUACAUAAAUGUAGAUUCGAUACAUUUACGCAGUCCACCCGCACCAAAAGAUUGCAAAAAGUUCACAAUAUUUUUAAAUGUAGAUUCGAUACUUUAAUUGAUUGCUAUGAAAACCUUCUCUGGUGAGGCAUUAGUGGUCUUCAGCUCUUCACCUUGGCAUUGGUGGGUGAAGUCACACCACAUCCCCUACCCUCGGGUUUAGUAGAGUCUCCCGACCACAAAGGUUGGGCAGCGCAAGCAAACCAGAAAAAUUAUAGUUUUGGGAGCUUCUAAUUUAUUUUAUUUUUUUACACUAAACAAACACAGUUGAUUUAAGUAGAAAUCAAUUUAGUCCUUUAGCCAAGCUUGAUGGUAAAGUGGGGCCAAUCACACAGUCCAUAUCCACCCCUUGGAAUCUCCAUAACCCCCAAAAAAGUUUCAAAAAAAAAUUUUUACAAAUAAUUUGAAAUGUUUGAUAAUGAAUGUACACAAAUUAUAGCUCUGGGAGCUUCUAAUUUUUACACUCUAUAGCAACCAAAAAAAAAAAAACCCAGUUAAUUUAAGUAGAACUCAAUGAAGUGCUUUAUUUCACUAAGCCAAGCUUGACGGUGAAGAACUGAUCAACUAACAUUUCUUUUGCAGGUUCUGAAAGAAAAAGUAGAGAGGAAAAAGAAAACGUUGCUUUUCUGCUUUUAUUAUUAUUUGAACCAAUUAAACCGGGGUUGCAUAAGCGCUUCUAUUAUAAAAAUGUUGAAAUCUUCAUAAGAAAUCCAAGUGCCUCCUGGUAAAACAAUUGGGAGUGCUAGCUUAUUUAGAAAGCGCUUCUAAAGGUUUAAGCCAAAUACUGUCAUAAGCGCUUUUGGUUGUUAAAAAAGCACUUUGAGCUAUUCUAGAAGCAUUCACAAACAUGCCCUGGCUAUCUAUGGACUUCUCCUUUUUAUACCCUUGGGAGAGCUACGAACCCACUAAUUUAUAAUAAGUAAAUUUAGGUUUUACCCAUAAAAAAACUUUCACUUUUGGAAAAAGCCAAAGCUUUUUCAAAAAAGACAGAAAAACCUCUCAACUUUCAAACCAAAGACAUGCAAAUGUAAAGGAUUCCUUAGGAAAUCAAAAAAAAAAAUAAGGGCAAUUUUGUCUAUUUUGGCUUCUUUUAAAAAUUUUCUCUCUCCUUUGGGCUUUUCCAAAGUCUCCCCUAAUUAAUACAACAUGCCAAGCCUUAGAAAGGUAAAGCCAGGUUAAGCAUAACAUGAACAGUGAAAACCAGGUUUCACUACAUAUGGAUGUCAUUGCAGCUGUUGUUCUUCUCAUACUCACUAUCAUGCUGUCUGCCUGCUCUGUUGUCUCUGUUACUUAACUUAAUGUUAAAGUAUUUUAGAGAUCGAUUCAACCAAUGUUGUGCCUAUUGUUUUCUUAUAGUUCGUUUGUGUGAGUGGUGGUGGUAUUCAAAUUAUUUGUUUGAUGUAAGACUAAAUAUAUAAUUUUUAACAAAUGUAUCAGGGGUAAUUCCCUUCGCACUGAGAGUUUGAAUAGCUUAUUUAUAUACAAACAGAAGAACCUCCACUUCCCUAGUUUAUUUCUUUUGACUCUGUGGACCAUUCCUCGAAAGAUGAUUCUCGAUCCUGUUCGUAAAAAAAUUUCUAUUUUUAGUUUAAAUUUUUUUUAUAGGUUUACCAUAAUCUUUUUUAAAUUUAUUACUUAAAUAGUGGUAGUGGACAUUGAACAACCGGGAGCAAUUUACUUAUGAUACUUAGUUGACAUUCAUAAAAAGUAUCUAAUGAAUUAUGAGUUCAAUACAUCUAAAUUUUAAAUCAGUAAAAUAUUUAAAUAUUCACUAAAGAAAUAAUAAUUAAAACAUAAUUACUAAUUAAAGUAAUUAAAAACGGCUAAGGUAUUACUUAUUAAAUUAAAGAAGUUGGCCAAAAAACAAAAGUAAAGGAACAUAUUUUAUAUUUUUAAAAUUUAAAGAUAAAAAUAAAAUAAAAUAAACCAAAACAACCUCUCUCGACAAAAUUUCGUCGGCACAAGUUUAUACCGGCAAUAUUUGCCGAAUUAGACCUCUCUCGACGAAACUCACCUCUGCUGACGAAAUUGCGUUGGGAGAAAUCUAAUUAGGUAAAAAGUUGCAUGCAUAUACCCGUGCCAACUAAGUGUAACAUCCCACAUCGACCAACGGAAAGGGGGUGAUGUGCCUUAUAUGUACAUGCCCGUCUCUAUCUAGCACGAGGCCUUUUGGGAGCUCACUGGGUUCGAAGUCAUGGGAACUCCGAAGUUAAGCGAGUUGGGGCUAGAGCAAUCCCAAGAUGGGUGACCCACUUGGAAGUUGCUCGUGAGUUCCCAGAAACAAAACCGUGAGGGCGGAGGCCUAAAGCUGACAAUAUCGUGCUACGGCGGAGCCGAUCCCAGAAUGUGACAAUAUCGUGCUUAUCACUGGUGGAAGACAGUCCGCAGACGGUAUGCUAACCCUGUUCCCUUACUUGGGAAGAGUUUCAGAGGGUAUUCUUCGAUCAGUUCUACCCGCAUUCUUACAAGAAUGUGAAGAAGUCUGAGUUCUUGCAUUUGAAACAGGGACAGAUGUUAGCACUGGAAUAUAAGCAUAAAUUAGGAUUUCUCUAGCCCAAACUCGCUUAACUUUAGAGUUUCCAUGACUCUGAAGCUAGUGAGCUUCCAAAAGGUCUCAUGCUAGAUGGAGGCGGCAUGUACGUAUAAAGCAUAUCACUCUAUCUCCGUUGGUUGAUGUGGGAUGUUACACUUCACCCCCGUUAGUGGCUCGACGUCCUCUUCAGCACACUCGCACCACACAGCAGAGCAGCUCUAAUACCAAAUUGUCACAUCCCGGGAUCGGCUAUGCCGUAGCACGAUAUUAUCCGUUUUGGGCCCCUCCUCUCUGCCCUCACGGCUUUAUUUCUGGGAACUCACGAGCAACUUCCUAGUGGGUCACCCAUCCUAGGAUUGCUCUAGCCCCAACUCGCUUAACUUCGGAGUUCCCAUGACUCCGAAUCCAGUGAGCUCUCAAAAGGCCUUGUGCAAGAUGGGGCCGGGCAUAUACAUAUAAAGCACAUCACCCCCUCUCUAUUGAUCGAUGUGGGAUGUUACAAUAUGUCACAAUUAUAAAUAGGAACCCAAGAAGAACAUAUAUCAUAUAAACUAUUCAACCAGUCAUCAUUAGCCAAUUCACAUUCUUUCAUCAAUUCCUUCCACUUUUCUUCAAAUUCCUCUAUCUUGUAUGUUGACAGAAUACAUUUCUUCAUCUGAAUUUUGAAUUUGGACUUCGUGAAGUACACAUGUGACAAUUUUUCUACAAACUUCUUCUUAAUAUGCCAGAGGCAUAACCGAUGGCGAGUGUUAGGAAAAAUCUUGACAAUUGCUCCUUUCGUUGCCAAGUCUUGGUCAGUAAUAAUGGAAACUAGAUGACGUCCUCCCAUUGCUUCAAGCCAUGUCUCAAACAACCACAAAAUGUCACUUCUGUCUCAUCUUGUAAAAGUGCACAUCCAAAUUGUAUUGAUUGCAAAUGGUGGUUUACUCCUGUGAAUGGUGCAAAUGGCAUAUCAUACUUGUUUGUCCUAUAGGUUGUGUCAAAUGUGACUACAUCUCCAAAAAGUGGUACGCCAUGCAUGAUCAAGCAUCCACCCAAAAGAAAUUAGCUGCCCUUCCGUUUUCAUCACAUUGAAUGGCAUAAAAAAAAAAUUGAGGAUUCUUAGCUUGCUUCUUCCUAAAGUAAGUAAGGACUGGUUGUGCAUCACCUCCAUCCAGUUGUCUAUGCCGGACAUUUCUCAAGUGGUUAUAACAAUCUCUAUUGUUAAAACCAAUAUGCAAUUGGCAAAUUUUCUUCAUGAAAUGUUUCAGUCAGAAUUUUAGCUGUUUUCGGCAUAACCCUAUUUGACUUCAUUUUUAUUCUUCUUUCCGGUGUAACUAGCUUGUGAUUGUGAGAGUCUUGGAAACUUGAAACUUUCCAUUUGUUUGACCAUCUAUCAAGCUUAAUUCUCAUACUUGCUUUGCAUCCACAUUUCACCGUAUAACAAUUUUUACCCGUUCUCUUCAUAUUCUCAAUCUCACUUAUGUCUCUCUCAUCAUUCUCUUCUGAAGCCUUCUGUGAUGUAUUUUUGGGCACAUAUUUUCCUUCAUGUGCACAAACAAAUUAUCUACUCGUUACCUCAUCUAAACGCCUUCUUGUCUUGGAGGAAGAUCAAGUUCUAAUCCAGAAUCCCUCUUGCCGGCCAUACUCUUCAUAAUAGUUUCUUGCUUCUUCCAUUCUGUCAAAUACCAUCCCUGUAUAUGGUGCUUUUAAUUGUGUCACUUUCUUUUUUGGAGUACUUGUUUCACCAUUCUCCACUUGAAUUAUCUCCUCUACCUAUUGAACAUAUUUAUCAUUCUUAACGAUGCAACUUAGAAAAAUAUUGUACAUAUGUUAAUAAGAUAUAUAUGAAAAUGAAGAAUAUGAUUAUCUCUGCAUCAAAAUAUUAAUGCAAGAUGAAAUAUAAUUGAAUAAACUUUCAUAUUGAUUUUAAAAUUUAAUUCUUAUGUUAAAAGACAAUCAUUAAUGGCACUACGAAUUAUUUUUUAACAUAAGAAUUCUUAAUGGCCCAAUAAUUCAGCAAUCCUAACAUCGUAUAAACUUUCAUAUAACAUCGUAUUUAUAAAUAUAUAAAAAAAAUUGCAAUCCUAAUUGUCUACAGGAAGAGCUACAACAAAGAUAAAAAAAUCUCAGAUGAAAGUAACAUACCAAAGAUAUGCACUAAGAGUUGGAGGAAAUAUCUUGUGUGCGCUCCAACAUUUUGAUGAGGCAAUAUUGUAUUCAGAUAUGAGAAAUUGCUUUGACAUAAAAGAACUAUACUGAAGAUGAAUUCAUGGUUGCGUAUAUGCUGUGCAUGAAGAAGAAUAAACUGAAAAGAGUCCUUAUUAGACCUUAAUAAAUAUUUGAGAUUAAAGAGGAGAGAGAGAGAGAGAGAGAGGCGUGCGAAUGUGAUUGUGGUUUGGGUAUUUAGUUUUUGGUGAAAUUUUUUAUUUAUUAGAUCCUAAUAAAUAUUUGAGAUUAAAGAAGCAGGAGAGAUCCUAAUAAAUAUAUUUGUUUGAUGUAAGACCAAAUAUAUAAUUUUUAACAAAUGUAUCAGGGGUAACUCCCUUCGCACUGAGAGUUUGAAUCGCUCAUUUAUAUACAAACAAAAGAACCUCCACUUCCCUAGUUUAUUUAUUUUGGCUCUGUGGAGCGUACUUCUAAGUAAUUUUCAUAGGCACAAGCCAUCACUCUUUUUUUUUUUUUUUUUUUAAAUCAGUAAAAUAUUUAAAUAUUCACUAAAGAAAUAAGGACAAGGACACUGUUACUGUGCUGCUGUUACUGUUACUGUGCUGCUGCUGGAAAAAGGACAAGGACUUCACAUGUUGCUUUCGUCUUUUGCGGAGGAGAGAGACCUAGGACUUGCAUGUCUUAGAUAUUUAAGAUAAGGGGCUUUUGUGCCAUUUUGAAAUUACUUUGGGUGUUUUUGAAAGCGGCUUGUUUCUUUUGGGUUUCUCACUAAAUUUCACUUUAGAGGGAAUAAGGGAAAUAAUAAUAAUAAUAGUACAGACCUUAUUAGCAACAGGGUUACAAACUUCUUCUACAACACACACCAACAUGAAUCUAGCCCAGAUCCACUCUUUUACAUACUUGAAAACAAAACAAAAAACAAGAUAGGGAGAAAAUGGCUACAGAGAGACUUACUGCUAAUACUUGAUCAAUAACAGAGAUAAUAGAGCACACUGUUUGUAUGACAGUGAGUAUCAGAAGAAUAACAGCUGCAAAGAGAGAAAUAGCUGCCCAAGGUGUGUUGAAAUACUUUUGUCUCAAAUUUGCCUUCCAUCUGUUCGUGGUCUUCUUGCAGUACUCGUUUAGUUUGCCAGCAAGAUCACCAAAAUAGUAGUUUUCGUGGUUCGGAGCAACUUUACUGCAAAGCUUGUUAAUCAUAAUGGAAACCUUAUUGUUGUCACCUAGCGUGUUUACAACAAUUCUAUUCUCAACAAGCAACUCUACAUCCUUUGGAGUGUUUACAAAUUUAUCCAGGAUGAAAACAUAAUCGCUUAUGUAUUUAUCCACGCAAUGGCAUUGUUCAAAGGCAAUGAGAUUUCUAUGUGUAAGCUCUGUGUAAUCAUGUAUUUCAAUUUUUUGGAAUUUCCAAGGUGUUUUUCUUGAACUGUAUAUCGAAUAAGUUCUUGCUUGAUCCCACGUUAAACUUAACUCCGGCCUGGUGUAGUUUUGUCAUGCUGGGUGUACCUUGGAGCCCUCCAUUUUUCUUUUCUUUUGGCAGAUGUAAAGUUCUAAUAAAAUCAACAAAAUGUAAAGGUUUUUUAGGAUCAGGAGGCAUAAAAGACUUACGGAAGGCUGGUGAGUUCUCCAAGUUUUCUAAACGCAGUGCCUGUUGGAAGAACCUGUAAGAGAGUUCAAUUAUUGAAGGCUCCCCAGUCUGAGCACCUGUGAGAUUGUAAAGAUCCUCGAGAAUGAAAAAUGGCAGCUGAUUUUCGAGCAUAAGCAUGUCAGGCAAUAUAUUUUGUAGCACCAUGGUUUUUUAAAUAUCCAAGCAUUAUCAUCCUGCAAUUUUUCUUCCUGAAAUUUUUCUUCGGAUUUAUUCCUCAACAAUAGCUCAAUGACAAAGGCGGCAUCAACUAGAAUGAUAUUCACAAAAGCAGCAAUGUUAAACUUCUUAGUGUCUUCAUAAUAAUGACGGAGAUCACCUUCUCUCUCCUUUAUUUUCUCUAAAUAAUCCUUCAAUCCUACUACUUUAGUCCGAUCAAGAAAACAUUUUAGGUACCUGAGUUUGUGAUCUUCCAUGGCUUCUAAGUUUUUGCUGCCAUGGUGAAGUGGGCCUAUUUAACUACUUGUGGUGUGUAGGCCUUUAGUUUUACGUUCUGUAGUCGCUCAGGCACCCUGUAGAUACAGCAGGCAGGGGACAGGGCACGCAAGUUUGUCAACUGAUUUUCCAUGGAAGUUGCUUGGUUUUCUAUGUCAAAAGAAGCUUCAUUGCUGCUUUCUUCCACUUUCUUCCUCCCCAUUAUGUGUUGUUCUGAUUGUAAGCGACGAGGAUGGUGAUGAUUCUAGACACCAUAAUCAACAAAUGUUUCAAUCAUAAUUGACAUUUCAAGAUGCUCCGACAAAAAAUUAGAAAACAUUCAUCACAAAAUGCGAACUCAUACAAUAGAUGGGAUGAGAAGAUCCACACAUUGCAAUCAUACAAUCCAAUUGCACAGGGAUUAGUCCCUAUUCUCCUCUCUCUCUCUCUCUCUCUCUCUCUCUCUCUCUCUCUCUCUCUCUCUCUCUCUCUCUCUCUCUCUCAAAAAGAUUUUCAUAUCGAUAACAUCUUAUUGCAAGGGAAUUGUACACCAAGUAGUGAAGAACAGAAAUUCAUAUUCUUUCAAUCAAAAUGUACAAAUUUCGAAAAUGUUUGUUUGUUUUAUUUUUUGGGGAAAAAAAUCUGUGCAUGUUAUAUGUAGACCUAAGGUGAAAACAGACCAGAUUUUUACGCCAUUUUUCAUGAGGUUUAAGUUUGUGAUGUAUAUAUUUAUCUCAAGUGUAACAUCUCACAUCGAUCAAUGGAGAGGAGGUGAUGUGUCUUAUAUGUAUAUGCUCGCCUCCAUCUAGUACUGGGCUUUUGGGAGCUCACUAGCUUCGGAGUCAUGGGAACUCCGAAGUUAAGCGAGUUGGCGCUAAAGCAAUCCUAGGAUAGGUGACUCAUUAGGAAGUUGCUCGUGAGUUCUCAAAAACAAAACUGUGAGGGCAGAGAAGGGGGCUCAAAGCAGCCAAUAUUGUGCUACGGCGGAGCCGAUCCUGGGAUGUGACAAUUUGGUAUCAGAGCCACACUGCCAUGUGGUGCCAGUAUGCCGACAAAGACGUCGGGCCCUUGAGAGGGGUGGAUUGUAACAUCUCACAUCGACCAACAAAGAGGGGGUGAUGUGCCUUAUAUUUAUAUGCCCGCCUCCAUCUAGCACGAGGCCUUUUAGGAGCUCACUGGCUUCAGAGUCAUAGGACCACCAUCCCAAGUUCAAUAUACAACCCAACAACCAUCUUAGCCAUCUUCUCAUUGAUCUUCCACCCAGCAUAUAACACUAUUGUUGGAGCAUGAAAUUUCAGAUCCUCCAACAAGUAAUUUUUUAUUUCCAUGUUGAGAAGCCGAACACCAUCUUCGAUUAUCACCAUUGAGUGAGGAGGGGGGUACCUGCAAGAAAACACUCCGACCCUCAAGUCAGUGUUCGUUCAUGAAUACCGCAAUAGAAUCAAUCGUAACUCCCUCCCCCUAUGCUGGGGGAUUAGUUAGCCUUUUGUAGCCAUUGAACCCUUGGACUCUAAGUCCCAUAUCCUUAUUUAUCUCCAUGCUCAAUGGUAGUGGAUAUCAUGUUAUUUGAUUCACUCCACUCCAUAAAUUUAGGGUUCAUGGGAAGUGGCUUGUUAUGUGGGCCUUAAUUUUUGCUCCCAUGUCUGCCCCCUUUUCUCUCGCUGGACACGUGUCUCGGGUGUAUAGAGAGAAAAUAUUCUUUGUGGGAAUUCAUUAUGUGUAGAAUUUUAUGUGGAGACUUGACUUAUAUUAUCUUUGAUCACGAAUUCGGCCUUUAGCCAUGAGUAUGGUCUUCGACCAUGAAUAUGAGCUUCGAUCACGAGUUCGAGUUUGGGCUUCGGCCGUAUAGUCUUCAACUAUGUAUUUAACUUUCAGUCACGACUAUGGCUUUCAGCCACAUGAGCUUGAAUUUCUUUCACAAUCGUGGUCUUCAACCACUUGAAUUUGACUUUCAGUCACAAGCAUGAGUUGAGUAUUGGCAUGCCCCCCAUUGGUUUAGAAUGCAUGUGUUUACUAACUAGACAUUGUGGCUCUUGUUUAUCCUCUGUUUAUGUUGAUUUUGUCGUUAGUUGGGCUUCAUAAAUUGCCACCAUAUAGAAAUAGGCUUAUGGCUUAUCUUGAGUGGUGCAGUAGCUGCCUCCACCACGCAAAUGUAGUCAAGAGGUUAACAAGCUGCCAAAUUCUAACCACAAGAUAAUAAUGUUAAUUUCGUCAACAAAAAUCAGAAUACGCAGGCUUAGUAGUAUCUAGAUAUUGAGCAGCAUAUGACUACAUUCAAAUUCAGGCAUUUUAGAGAGCCAUACAUGCAACUGUUCUCAUCUCCCAAAUGCAAGAGAAAUAAGUAAAAUACCUUGGCAUGUGUCAGAUGUAUAUAUAAUCAAUUUAAAAGCUUCUGAUCAUACAUCCUUGAGGCAUGAAUAUAUGCAUUGAUAAAAGAUGUAAGGAUGUUCCAUGCUAUAAUUCGUGGAUCCUGAAAGUGACAAUAGAAAACUUAUCUGUUUGCAGUUCGGCUCGUGCCCCCAUAGAAAUUGGUUUUUUGCCCAAUUCCAAAUUCAUAAUUCAGUGUUAUGACUUCUUCAACUACAUAACAUGACUGCGUACUUGAUGCUGCUAGGUCACGAAACUACCAAAAGCAUGGGGUAGAAAUUCUUCUCUAUUUGGGGCAAAAAUUCAUGCCCCCAUUCGUGCCCCUAAUUCAACCGUUUUGUCACAAACGGUUGCAUACAUCCCAAUAAAAAUUGGAUACUAACCUCUGAAAAUUGAAGGCUCUUUUCACGAAAAUUCUUUUGUGAGAUUUUGGAGCCAUGCGUGAUUGGUAUAGUCCAAUUCAUAUUGUUUUUAUGGCAAGAAGAUGCACUGUGAUAAAAAUUUAUAGUCGUGAAAUGAUAAAAGAGAGUAUAGAAUUCUUCUCUGUUGGGGGAUUUAAUUCAUGCCCCCAUUGUAGCUCCUAAGGCAAGAGUGUAUCCAUGGCUUCUAAUUAUGACUUUUUGUACGGUUUCCACAGACGGCGCCAACUGUUGGAGCAUGAAAUUUCAGAUCCUCCAACAAGUAAUUUUUUAUUUCCAUGUUGAGAAGCCGAACACCAUCUUCAAUUAUCACCAUUGAGUGAGGAGGGGGGUACCUGCAAGAAAACACUCUGAUGCUCAAGUCAGUGUUCGUUCAUGAAUACCGCAAUAGAAUCAAUUGUAACUCCCUCCCCCUAUGCUGGGGGAUUAGUUAGCCUUUUAUAGCCGUUGAACCCUUGGACUCCAAGUCCCAUAUCCUUAUUUAUCUCCAUGCUCAAUGGUAGUGGAUAUCAUGUUAUUUGAUUCACUCCACUCCAUAAAUUUAGGGUUCAAGGGAAGUGGCUUGUUAUGUGGGCCUUAAUUUUUGCUCCCACAACUAUCUUCAUAUACUCUUUAGCUUAAUCUCUCUGUUGCUUUUGUCUUUUAUUUUUUUCAAAUUAAAUUUUUUAGUUUAUAUUUUUUUUUAUUGGUGUAGAUUCAAUGACAAAGAACAUCGAACUCGUCGCAACAUCUUGCCCUAGAUCCGAACUCUACCACCAUCACAACCCUCCCUCUCUUGAUCUCCGACCAACCUUAACACCCAACUUCAAAUCUAUGUUGUUUGAAACUCAGCCCCCUUCCCCAACCCCCCCCCCCCCCNNNNNNNNNNNNNNNNNNNNNNNNNNNNNNNNNNNNNNNNNNNNNNNNNNNNNNNNNNNNNNNNNNNNNNNNNNNNNNNNNNNNNNNNNNNNNNNNNNNNUGUCAAUAAGAUAAGAUCUCAUUGCAAGUGACUUGUAGAUGAAGUGGUAAAGAACAAAAAGUCAUAUUCUUCCAAUCAAAAGGUAUCAAGUCAAACAAAAUUUCUAGUUAGUUUGCUUUAUGAUAGUUGUUUUUUGAAGGGGUCCUUAGAUCCAAUCUCAAAAAGUUUGACUUUUAUUAUGUUUAACUCUGGUUUUUGCAAUUUUUUUUUAUCUCUACCCACUAACUUUUAUCUCUCAUUUUUAUUACCCAUUUUACCCUUUAAAAUAAAUAUGGCAAUAAACUAAAAAUUCUGAUUUAAUGCAUGUUUUACUCAUAAGAGAACUAAAACCUAAAAAUUAUGUACUCUAACACAAAAAAUAAAAACUAAAAAUAAAAAUUGAAGUGGUUAUCAAACAGAUCCUUAUAUUACAAAGAAAAUAUCAAAGAUUGAACUCGUCAUAAGAGAACACAGAAAAACCUCACUGCUUGCAACACCACCACUACACGAACAACUGCUAAUUUGACAGGACCCGCCCCAAAUUUUCUGAAAUUCGAGACGAAUCCUGUGGAAUUCCCGACAUAAUCCUGAUGUCGGGCCCACUUCUAAAACUAUAUCCUUUUUCCCAAAAAAGAAUAAGGGCGCGAGACUUUCUACCGAAAUUUCGGCAGAGUCUCUCCUACAAAUUGGACAUUUCCCAAAAUUUUAACCUGCAUAAAACACAAUUUAUAUUUCCAAUUGGCAACAUGCACAAGAUAAUUUCAUGCAAUUCACAUAAACGGCAUUCGGCCGUCCAAUAAUUAUCAACAAACUACCAAGCACGCUAUCAACUCUAUUCAUACCUUAAACAAGGCAAACAAUAAAUUCAAUUAUGAAUACUAAAUACAACAUGCAUCAUCUAACUUUUCCAAUCCCAAUAUACGAGGUUUUAACCUCCUAACACAAUCACAUCUAUGUCCGCGGCUGCACCUAAUAACCUUAGGCUGCCUACGUACCCUCACUGAGGGAUCAAGCCACGCGUAGUUCUUCCUACUAAAACCCGAUUUCAAACACAUACAAUACCUUUAUUCAUCUCUCUGUUAUUCACAUAAUCUCCUCAUACGCCGGUACUACCAACGCCACGUAUGGAGUCUGUCAACACGCCAGAUAACCUACGCCACGUGCGACCUCAACAUACUAUCACAAUAUCUCCACAUACGUCGGUACAACCAACUCCACGUAUGGGGUAUGUCAACACUCCGGAUAACCUACGCCACGUGCGACCUCACUAUAUUAUCACAUAAUCUCCCAUACGCCGGUACAACCAACCCCACGUAUGGGGUCUGUCAAGACGCCGGAUAACCUACUCCACAUGCGACCUCAACAUAUUGUCACAUCAUCUCCCCAUACGCCGGUACUACCAACGCCACGUAUGGGGUGUGUCCGCACGCCGGAUAACCUACGCCACGUGGGACCUAACAAAUACAUGGUGGUACUUAUAAUGUAACCAAAAUUCGGGGAGGUACCUAGGGUAGUGUGUAUAGCACCUCAAACUGACAUUCUAGACUCUUUUUCAUACAUUUAUACCUAUAUUUAAAUAUAUAAGUUACUCUAACAUUGUAUAAACCUCAACAUCAUCCCAAGUACUCCACACAUCACCAAUACUUUACCAAAAAUGCUAACUUAACUAUUAAUUAUUUAUAAAAAAAAAAAGGUUUUCAAAAAAUCAUUAAAUUCAUAUGCCUAACAAUACCAUCACAAAGCCAUGCUAUUCAUUUAAAAAUAAGGACCAAGAGUUUCCUACGAUAAUAAUAAACACUCUAAAAUCUCAGCCCAGUCAACAUGGCUCAACAACGCUCAAGACCUGUCAUUAGGGUCAUUUUAAUCCUUCUAGGAAGGUAAAACUACCUCGGAAGACUCAAGGUCAACCAAGGGUCAAACUACCCACACUUGGUCAAACGGGCCCACGGGGCCCACGACCUCCAAAUUCUGAUCCGAAGGUUCCUAUGGGUUCUACAAGGUAUAGGACACUCGUCCUGCAAGUUUAGUCCAGAUCGGACGGUCAGAUCGCUCACGAUCGCACGAUCUGACGGUUAAUAUAAACAUAAACUUUAAAUUAUUAAAUCGGACAUCCGGGGCUCCAAUUUACGAUCCUUGAAUUCCUACACAAUUCUAGAAAUACCUAGAUUAACAUAUAUUAAAUUCAAGACCAUCCAACGGUCCCAACCUAUCAUACCCAGAUAACGCGCAAUAAGCGAUAUCCGUUCGAGCCUCAAACGGCAUCCAAAUUGACAUAUGAGCACACCUACGCACUCGUGAGAACCAGGAGUGCCCUUUUUCUACAGUGCCCACGUGCCUCCGCACGUGCCGGCAGCGCGUGGGUGCCCAAAGCGAUUACGCAUCGUCGGAAAAUCUCAAAAUCACGGCUCCAAACUCCUACCCUAGGUAUAACACCAUAUUUGGAGCCACUUUUGUUCUUGGACCUACCCCAAAAACUGACCGGAGGUGGCAUGAAUCGCAAUCCUAAAAUCGGCCGAAUUUAAAUUCGUAAAUCAAAUUUCCUACGCUAGGAAUCGAUCGAAUCCUACCCAACAGGCAGCUAGAGCACAUUAAAAAGAUGAGAAAGCAUACCAAGAUCGAGGAAAAUGGUGGCCGGAGGCAUUCUAACGAGCUCCUUGAAUUUUGGGUUAAAACUGGUCGGAUUUUUACAUUUUUCGGCGAUCACAGGUGGUUCCAGCAGCUGAGAUUGGUCAGGAUGGGAAGAGGGAGAUGGCCCAGUUCUUUUGGGACUGAUGCCACCCCACGCAGUGGCCGGAUGCGACAGUGGUGGCCCAAAAACCACCGCGGUGAACAGUAACAAGAGGGGCUGUUUCUGCGCGCAGGGAGAUGAGGAAGAAGAAGAAAAAUAAAAAGAAAAAGGAAAUUUAAAACUGCCCGGUUACUAUAGCACGGCACUGUUUGCUACAGUACAAAAUUUUAAAAUUUCCUCCUUCGUUACAACUCGGAAUUGGGCGUGCCACAUGUCUACAAACUCAUAUCGACGAGCUCUAAUGGUGCUACUUAAUUCUCCAAAAUCUUUCCGAAUCAAAAAAUGACCAAAAUACCCUUACCCAAAGGGUAUAUUCCUAAAUUCAUAUUUAAAUUAAUUUAAUAAUUUAAUUGAGUAAACAAAUUAGGAUCGGGGUGUUACAUAAUUAAAAUGAGUCACAUGUGGUACUUAACUCUAAAAACUUAUUUAGAUUAUAUAUCCAUACUUAUUUAAAUGAGGUAAAUAGUACGUUUACAGAGUUUAAGUGUAAUAAAUGAAUAAAAACAUGCCCAGAGGAUUGAUAAGUGAUAUCAAUUCUUGAAUAUACAGAACGUAAAAUAAAAGAACACGUAGAAAAUUAUUUUAUGUGGUAAAACCCCAUCUCUAGGGAACAUCCACGGGGCUUUUUAGUCCAAAACAAAUCCAUUAUAGAACGAGGAUUAUAAGAAGUACUCACACACUUAUCCUAGACACAUUCUAGAUAAUGUUUAUUGACUUCUUCGUAACUCAACUUCUGUCACGAGAUGAUCUUUCGACACUCCUUAUGUUGAACGCAAUACUGGUCACGAUUUCUUCAAGCUCCUAAUAGAGUUCUUCCAACUCUCCUUGUAUUGAAUCUGACACUAGUCACGAUCGAUUCAAGCUCAUCGUAAAAAAACCGCCACAACGGUCUUGGUGCCCCCAACCGUACGAGUCACUGAACAUGUAAAUGAAUACAAUAUGAAUGAUAAAAGUGUUUGAUAAAUCACCAAGUUAUGGAACACUUGAUGAUUUAUCUUAAAUAAAAACUCAGCUUUCCAAAGUUUAUGAAUUGAAAAUAUGAUCGUUAAAGCUCUCUAAACAAAGAAGAUGAAGGUCUUAUUCUAUAGAAUUUUUCUUUACAAGAAAGAAAACACGUUGAAAACCAAAUCUUCAAUUUCCAAGGCUUGACAGAAAAUCACAAAAGUAUCUUUCCUAUUCUAGAGAUUGGUCACAUGUAGUCCAACCAAUAGGAAAUGAGAUAUUUAAGAAAGCAAGAUUUUGAUCAAUAUCAAUAUCAAAUGAAUUCUUAUACGCCUAGUCAACUAUUAAGGGUAUCUUGACUCCUUGAUAUUGUGAUAUGAUUGAAACAUGAUUUCCAUGUUAGAAAAUUAAGGGGAUGUUAAAACAUGAAAGUAUUAGGAGAAUCAAAUUGAUUUGGACCAAAAUUGCCUAAAAAGAAAACACUCCUAAAUAAACUUCAAUUCACUUUUAAAAACAGUAAAACGUGAUUAAAUCGUUGUUUAAAACAAUUCCCUAAUAGACAUGCAUGAUAAUGACAUCACUUACUCCUAAAUCAAAUUGUCACGUCCUGGACUCGGGGGUUGGUGGAAACCCCGCGCCCGGUGCGUGAGAAAAUAAAAAGUAAAAUAAAAUAAAAAGAAAGCCGAAAUAAGGGUUUAAAAUAAACUUCUCUUAUAAAAAUAACUCCAAAAUCUUACAACUUUACAAGAAAUAAAUAAAGCUCUAUCAUUCUUAUCUAAUUCAGCCUCAACUGGUUUAGUCCUUGUCUUGCCCACUAAUUCAUCUGAAAAAUUAAACAGGGUGAGGGAUGAGCAAGUAAGGACAUGAGACCUUGCCACAGUAGAUUGAUAUAACUAAAUAUUAUCAUAAACAUAUAAAUAUAUAAGUAUUAUUAUAAUAGGAUUCAUAAUAAUUAAUAUAAAAGUAUAACAACAAUAUUGACAUAUACGUACCAAGAUAAUUACAUAUAUAAAUAUAACCAAUAUAUAUUUAUAUAUAUUUUAAAAUACGGGUCUUUACGCAAAUGCCUUUCGCGGGUCAAGCCACAAGUCUAUGUUUUGGAGAUUGCUGAGCUGCAUCAAUCCUGCCAAUGUCAAUUCUGCCCCUAGGCUCUCUCAAAGCAAGUUUAAAACCUAUGCUAACAUAUACUAGAGUUUAUGCUGUAUCUAGAAAAUGCCAACACUAAUUUCGUAACACGUAGAAAUUGUUAGAGAUGGAAGUUUUUAUCAUUUUUUCUUCCAGUCUCUCCACCACUCACUAAUACAGAUUACUCAUGUGAUGAGUUUACAAACCUAUUUCUCUACUCUCGCAAAGACUAUACUUCUUCUCAAAAGACUAGAUCACUUUACCUAUAUCUCUGUGAAAUGUAAAAAGUUGAAACUUUAAUGUCAAACCUCGACAAAGUGUUCUACUUUACAAACUUCUUGUAUCUACCAAUUUCUACUAAAAUUAAUUUCUCUACGGUGCUCAGAUUCAUCAUAUGUGUGUCCUUAAUUUUAGUUGAAAUUGGAAGUUUCCAUCAUUUUUGCUUUAAGUCACUCUUCUGAAGGAAGUUUAGGUUCCACCCCAUAAUUCAAAAUGUCAGGUUGACUUAAACAAUGUAAUUAUGUAGGAGUACUAUGACCUUUUAUAGCAUUUUUAGUUUGAAUUUGGGUUUUAUACAUAGAUUUCGAAAUUAAUAGGUUGAUGUCUAGGAAAUAGAAAUUGUAAGGGCCUAUAUUAGACUAGCCCUCUUAAAAAAAAUAUUGAUUAAUGAAUAUUUGUUCUUCUUAUUGUUUUGAAGUAGUGGUGGGAGGCAGACCAACAAAAAAAAUAUAGUGAAGGCUUAUAAGAGCAUUUACAAUCAUGCUCCCUAUUUUUCAGUUAAAAUUUAGCUGAAAAUAGAAAAAAGUUAUUAUAGGAGCUCUUUAUAAAAUUUGAACUCCAAUCAUACUCCCUAGUUUAGGGAGUCAUAAAUACUAUAGUUAUUUUUUAAUUCAAUUUGAUUUUGGUUAAUCUCUAUAAAUAAAUGAAAAUAUGAUAAAAUAGUUAGCAUUAAUUAAAAGUUUAAACUAUGCAUAAAACAAAGAAACAUUAAAUUAUAGAGAGCCACUAUAAGUCAUUUCUCUCUCCUCAGAUUUAUGAGCUCCUAGAGGUCUCCUUAUUUUAGGAGGUGGAUAAGGAGUGUGAUUGGAGUUGUAUUUCUUCAAUUUCCUCCCUAAAAUUUGUCUAAGGAUGUGGUUUAUGGAGCCCAUUGUGAAUGCUCUAACUCUGGUAAAACAUGAGUGACAUGAACAACAUAUGUUACGUCGUAGUGAAGAUUUUUGGGUUUCUAUAAUUGGUUAAGUAGCAUCCACAAUGAGUUUCCUAAAUCAUCUCCUUAGACCAAUUUUUAGGGGAGGGAAUUGGGAAAAAGUACAACUCCCACCCAUGCUCCCUAUCCACCAACUAAAAUAGGGAGACCUCUAGGAGCUCCUAAAUCUGAUGAGAGAGAAAAGACUCUUAGUGACUCUCUAUAAUUUAAAAUUACUUUAUUUUAUGCAUAUUUUGAACUUUUAAUUAAAUCAAAUUAUUAUUUUUAUAUUAUUUUGUAUACAAAUAGACUAAUUAUAUUAAAUUAAAAAAUAAUUAAAGUAUUUAUGACUCUUUAAAUUAGAGAGCAUAAUUGUAGAUCAUCUUAUAUACCUUAAUUUGAAGAUUCUUUAUUUGGGUUUCUUUCAACACUUAUCACCUUAGCCACACCACCUACACCAAAUUGACGUCUGCAAGCUUUCGUAAUCUAACAAGGAAGGGGAGGCUGCGCAAUACUUAUCACCUUAGCCACACCAACACCACAAGACCAAUAUGUGUAGUCCAGGAGGCUUUCCCAUUUUAAUAUAUAUUAUCAAAUAAAAUAAAAAUCAAUCUAUUAUCAUAUAUAUUAUAAAAUAAAGAUUAUUGCUCCAUCCUCCAUGCACUUGCAUGCCCUCUUACAAAGUGUGAAGUAGAUUUUGUGUGCUCCAAGUCAUUGACUAGAGCUAUAACAUGGUUAGCUGGAUUUAUAAGAUCUUUUUUUUUUUGGGAAUUUUCUGAACCAAGGAAAAUCAAGUAAAAUUAAUAAAGCAUAAAUUAGAAAGGGAAAGUAUCUAGAGGAUGCAUUGUAGGAUUGCACAUGCCAAUAAUUGUACCCUCUAAAUAUAUAGGGAAAUAUUUUUUUUGUUUUCAUGACAUGUGGUCCUAAAAUUAUUGUUCCUAGCGGGCUCUCCAUCCCCUCUCAAUUGAAAACCAAUGGUGUAAAUCUUCAAUCCUGAAUAAUGCACCUAAAACUCAAGUGUCCCAGGCCAAUUAUUGCUCUCAUACUACUUGUUGUAAUAAACAUCCACCCAUUCUCAAGGAAAGAUAACUAUCGAUAUUAUCUCAAAUUUAACCACUUAACUUUAUUAUGAUUAACUAUGUAUCUUAUGGACCAAUCCAGCUGUGAGGUUUUAUACCCAAUUAGAUCGACCAAUACAGAGGUCACACGUGGAUUGAAAAGCGUCAUCGGUAGGGGAGUGUUCGACACCUUUUACUGCCGAGCGCAACACAAGACCCCUUACCAGGAACUUACCUGCUAAGACACGUGGAGACCCCACAUGUAAUAUCAACAGUCCCACAUCGAAAUUUAACACAACAUGCACACACCUCAAGACUUAUAAAAGUGGGCACAAGUCCCAAAAAUAGGGGAACUUGGUCUUUUGGCAAUUCAGCCAUUACUUUAUCCAUAUUAUUAUACACUCCGUACUUAUUCUAAUUUCAGCAUUGGAGAGCCCUCAGCCCAAGGAAUUACCAAGCAUUCUCCAUCUUGCAAAUUAAUUGCUCUACCGAAGCCCAGAAGGAGCCAAAGGCCAAGAUAGCACUAAGUUGAACCCAAAAAUGUUAAACUAUUUUUUAGCAUUAACAAUAUAUAUAGAUUUUUAAAAAAAAAAAAUCAAUCUAUUAUCAUAUAUAUUAUAAAAUAAAUAUUAUUGCUCCAUCCUCCAUACACUUGCAUGCCCUCUUACAAAGUGUGAAGUAGAUUUUGUGUGCUCCAAGUCAUUGACUAGAGCUAUAACAUGGUUAGCUGGAUUUAUAAGAUCUUUUUUUUUUUGGGAAUUUUCUGAACCAAGGAAAAUCAAGUAAAAUUAAUAAAGCAUAAAUUAGAAAGGGAAAGUAUCUAGAGGAUGCAUUGUAGGAUUGCACAUGCCAAUAAUUGUACCCUCUAAAUAUAUAGGGAAAUAUUUUUUUUGUUUUCAUGACAUGUGGUCCUAAAAUUAUUGUUCCUAGCGGGCUCUCCAUCCCCUCUCAAUUGAAAACCAAUGGUGUAAAUCUUCAAUCCUGAAUAAUGCACCUAAAACUCAAGUGUCCCAGGCCAAUUAUUGCUCUCAUACUACUUGUUGUAAUAAACAUCCACCCAUUCUCAAGGAAAGAUAACUAUCGAUAUUAUCUCAAAUUUAACCACUUAACUUUAUUAUGAUUAACUAUGUAUCUUAUGGACCAAUCCAGCUGUGAGGUUUUAUACCCAAUUAGAUCGACCAAUACAGAGGUCACACGUGGAUUGAAAAGCGUCAUCGGUAGGGGAGUGUUCGACACCUUUUACUGCCGAGCGCAACACAAGACCCCUUACCAGGAACUUACCUGCUAAGACACGUGGAGACCCCACAUGUAAUAUCAACAGUCCCACAUCGAAAUUUAACACAACAUGCACACACCUCAAGACUUAUAAAAGUGGGCACAAGUCCCAAAAAUAGGGGAACUUGGUCUUUUGGCAAUUCAGCCAUUACUUUAUCCAUAUUAUUAUACACUCCGUACUUAUUCUAAUUUCAGCAUUGGAGAGCCCUCAGCCCAAGGAAUUACCAAGCAUUCUCCAUCUUGCAAAUUAAUUGCUCUACCGAAGCCCAGAAGGAGCCAAAGGCCAAGAUAGCACUAAGUUGAACCCAAAAAUGUUAAACUAUUUUUUAGCAUUAACAAUAUAUAUAGAUUUUUAAAAAAAAAAAAUCAAUCUAUUAUCAUAUAUAUUAUAAAAUAAAUAUUAUUGCUCCAUCCUCCAUACACUUGCAUGCCCUCUUACAAAGUGUGAAGUAGAUUUUUUGUGCUCCAAGUCAUUGACUAUGGUUGAAACAUGGUUAGUUGGAUUUAUAAGAUCUUUUGUUUUCUGGGAAUCUUCUGAACCGCGGAAAAUCAAGUCAAAUUAAUAAAGCAGAAACUGUACCCUUUAAUUAUAUAUGGACAUAUGUUUUUUUGUUUUCAAGUCUUAGAUGACAUGGGGACCUAAAAUUAUUGCUCCCAGUGGGCUCUCGACCCCUUUCAAAUUUAAGUGGUCCAUUAUUAUUAACCACAUAUUUUAUGGACCAUCCAGCUGUGGGGUUUUAUCUCAAAAACCUUCGGUACAUUUCUCCCACAUGCCACAAUUGUAUAUUCACAAUUACUUCUGGGUACCCCUCAUCAUUCGUCUAUAAAAUGGUGAAGCCAGUUGCUCUGUUACCAUAAGAGCCAGCUCCGACGUUCUUUAAUUUCUUGCUACUUCUGUUGCCAAGUUAAUUUCAGUCCUAAUGGGGUUUCAUCUCCCACUCAUCGUUGCUAUUCUCAGUGUAAGCUCUGCAAUUUGAUUAACUUUUCCAUUCUCUCUCAUUGUACUCUAUAUAAACGAAAGUUUUGUGUUCUUAUAAUUCUCUCCGAUUUAUUUAGUACGUACUUAAGUGUCGUCCACUAAUUAAUUACACUUUGUGAGAUUUGAUUUUAAUUAGAGUUGGAAUUAAUGUUGCAGCUAGCAGCGGUUGCACUGGCAAACAAUGCUGCUCAACCAGCACCUCAACUUUACUGGAACUCCGUCCUGCCAAACACACAGAUGCCAAGAUCUAUCAGUGAACUUCUGCAUCCUGGUUUGUAUUUGAGCACUUUAGAAUCUUAGAUAUCUCUUCUACCUGCCAUUUUACUAAAAUAUGUUCGACCACAUAUUUAUCAGUUAAAUACUGUCAUUACAAGAAUGACACUUAUUUUCCAAUAUAAUUUGCAGACUCCACAAAUGAAGAAAAGAGCAAACCUGAAAAUAUCCCAUUGGCACGUUCAGGUUACAGUCGAAAAAGGUAUGGAGGAGGUCCUCCUCCAUCUGACGAGGGCAAACCUGAAAGUAUCCCAUUGAGAAAUUCAGGUUACCAACGAAAAAAUUAUGGAGGACGUCCUCCUCCAUCUGACGAGGGCAAACCUGAAAGUAUCCCAUUGAGAAAUUCAGGUUACCAACGAAAAAAUUAUGGAGGACGUCCUCCUCCAUCUGACGAGGGCAAACCUGAAAGUAUCCCAUUGAGAAAUUCAGGUUACCAACGAAAAAAUUAUGGAGGACGUCCUCCUCCAUCUGACGAGGGCAAACCUGAAAGUAUCCCAUUGAGAAAUUCAGGUUACCAACGAAAAAAUUAUGGAGGACGUCCUCCUCCAUCUGACGAGGGCAAACCUGAAAGUAUCCCAUUGAGAAAUUCAGGUUACCAACGAAAAAAUUAUGGAGGACGUCCUCCUCCAUCUGACGAGGAAAAACCUGAAAGUAUCCCAUUGAGAAAUUCAGGUUACCAACGAAAAAAUUAUGGAGGACGUCCUCCUCCAUCUGACGAGGGCAAACCUGAAAGUAUCCCAUUGAGAAAUUCAGGUUACCAACGAAAAAAUUAUGGAGGACGUCCUCCUCCAUCUGACGAGGGCAAACCUGAAAGUGUCCCAUUGAGAAAUUCAGGUUACCAACGAAAAAAUUAUGGAGGACGUCCUCCUCCAUCUGACAGUCAACUACUCCAUUAUAGAGACUUAGCUAUUUUCUUCUUCGAGAAGGACAUGCGCCCUGGCUCAACAAUGCAGUUCCAAUUCCCUAGAAAUUCAAACACGGCUACUUUCCUGCCACGCGAAAGUGCUCAAUCAAUCCCCUUCUCCUCUAACAAACUAUCAGAAAUUUUCAACCAUUUUUCAGUGAAGCCGACAUCUGUGGAAGCCAAAACAAUUAAGCAAACAAUCGAAGAGUGUGAAGCUCCAGGCCUUAAGGGAGAGGAAAAAUAUUGCGCCACAUCUUUAGAAUCAAUGGUUGAUUUUAGCACUUCGAAGCUUGGAACAAGAAACGUUGAAGCAAUCUCGACGGAGGUAUUGGAAGAAGGAGCCACCAAGUACAUGCACAACUAUACAACAAUGCCGGGACUGAAGAAGUUGGCAGGUGACAAAGUCGUUGUGUGUCAUAAGGAGAACUAUCCCUAUGCUGUGUUUUUCUGCCAUGCAAUAAAACAAACAGAAGCUUAUGUUCUCACCCUGAAAGCCGAUGAUGGGAUGAAGGUUAAAGCAGUAACCAUCUGCCAUCUAGACACAUCAGAAUGGGAUCCAGAGCAUUUGUCCUUCCAAAUCCUCAACGUUAAGCCCGGAACCACUCCCAUCUGCCAUUUCAUUUCCACUGAUGCUAUUGCCUGGGUUCCGAACCACAAAUCUGCAUGAUCAUCACUUAGCACUGUACGUAUAAUAAGCUUGGUCGGGUUGCACCCUAGGCCUGCAUAAUUAUCUCCCUACUUAUUUCUGCCUCUUCAUCAUGUGGUGUAAGAUAUAUGGUGAGAUGAAGUAACUAUGUAGACUUCAACUUGUACUCAUAAUAAAGCAUGCUGUUGGGGGGUUCUACUUAAUUUCGUUCUCUCCAAUGUUUGAGUGUUGAAUUGUUACGUUGGAAUAGGCUGCUAAUGCAUGUAGUUAGAGAAGCCUUCAUUUAUAUCAUAGUCCUCAAACUAUCAAGAAUUAAUCCAGAAACAAACCAAGACGCAAAACAACAUAUUUUCCAUGCUCUGUCUGUAACACCAAAGCAAACUUCCUUUAUCACAUCAUUUAAAGGAUCAAAUUCCAGUACUAAUCAAAUCCCAAGGGCGAAACCAAGAAUUUUUCAACGAGUGGGCUAGCUAAAGUUAUUAGCUUAAAAUUUAAUGAUUUUUUCUUUUUUUUGGAACUUCCAAUUUCUCUAGUCUUUCUAGAAAUAAAAGUAAACAUUAAAUCAUAUCAACCAAGCUAGUCCAUAGCUCCAUAGACUAAUUUUCAAAAAGUUUUAACAUAAACCAAAUAGGGUUUAACACCAUAAUGGAUUAAACAUCUAAGACUUUUUACCUAGAUUGACCUUAGGUUUCUUCAUGCAUUCAUAUCAUACAUGAAAAGUUGUUUUAUGUAAAAAUAUUGACUAAGUAUGAAAAAUGGGUUUUCGAAAUAAUCAUUUUCUCAAGAUAAUUUUUGAUGGCUUUUAUUCCUCACACGUCAAAUAAGAAAACUUGAUUUUAUGAUAUUUUAGUAUGAAGUACAUAUUGACUUAAUGAGCCAUCAUUUUUAGCCUAAAUUGUAUUUUGCACUAAAACUGAUUUUUCAUAUUUUGAUUUUGUGGCAAUUUG
RNAcentral lists this long non-coding RNA (160809 nucleotides) under Prunus persica (peach). Lineage: Eukaryota; Viridiplantae; Streptophyta; Magnoliopsida; Rosales; Rosaceae. The record is from RNAcentral.